UUUUUAAUAAGGUUGCGUAAUGAAAUAAUGUUUGAAGAAAUAUAUAGGGAUAACUUCAAAAACCCCCCUGUGGUUUCCAACUUUCUCACUUUAGUACCCUGUAGUUUAAAAUGUAUCAAUUUGCCUCCCUGUGGUUUCCCUUUUUUCUUUUUUUAUCAAUUUUAUUAUUAUUUUUUUCUCAAAUCAGUAACAAAAUUAAAAUUAAAGGGUACUAAAAUAAAUAUUCGGUAAAUCUAGAUGGAUAUCUGUUGUUUUUUUGCAUAUAAUUUAACGAAAUAUUAAGAAAAAAGCUAUAGAAAAAAUAAAAACAAAACCGCAGGGUGGCAAAUUGAUACACUUUAAACCACAGGGUACUAAAGUGAGAAAGUUGGAAACCACAGGGGGGGUUUUUGAAGUUUUCCCAAAUAUAUAAGUAGUAUUUUUGAGAUAAUUUACUAUUCUAGGAUGUAGGAAAAAAAGAAAAAUUUGUGUUCGAUUUGAUAUUUUUUGCAUAUAAAAAAUAAUAUAGCAUAAAAUAUAAAAUAAUUAAAAUAGUAUAUAUUAUACAAUUAUAGUCAAUUAUAUAAAAUACUUCGAUAUUAUUAUAUAAUAACAUACUUCAAUAAAAAUACAUGAAAAUAUAUACUUCAAAAAUAAUAUAUAUAAAUAAAAAUAAUAAAAGACAAAUAUUUUAGAACAUUAUAUAUUUAAUAUAUUUAUUAUCUUAUAUAAUAUUUUAUUUUAUAUUAUAUGGUAUAUUAUAGGAUAACGUAUAAUAUAAAUUUAUGAAAAUAAUAAAUAUAAUAUAAUAUAAUAUAAUAUAAUACAAUCAUUAAUAGUCGUUGUAGUACUAAUAAUAUUAACAAUAAUAAUAAUAAUUGUCCCUGGCGCAUGCAAGUGGCAAAUAUCCGAGGUUUCAAGUUUGAAGUCUAGCUUGUUGCUUCAUAUUUUCAACGAAAUUUAUUUUUAAAAGAAAUAAACGAAAUGAGUAGUAUGCUAUCUUUUUCUAAAAACAAAAAAAACAAAAAAAUCGUAUUCCUCUAAAAAAAAAAGUAGAAUAGUUGUUUUCGGAUUAUUCUAAAAUUACUUAAAAUAAUGCGGUUUGAUCAAAAUUGUCAUUCUUGUUUUUUUUACGGUGUUUAACGGAAUAGCAAUGAUAACUUUCGUUGUUCUUGAUUUAUACCAAACUGAGUCUAACAUUAUAGCGACGGGUUGGUUAAGUAUAUGUUCUAUGUGGAUCGAAUAUCUGUUGUUGAAAAAUCUUUUUUUGUGUCGUUAAUUUGGAUCAAUUUUUUAUGUCAUAUGGAUACAUUUUGGUUGAUCGAAGGCGCUCAUCGCUACUUAUUCAUUUGCUCAAUCUAUAACCAAAAAUCAACCUCCACUUAGGUAGAUCAUUAUUAUAUACUAGUUGAUUAGGUGAUUAGUACUAAUUAAUAGUUUUGAGUUCAUUACUUAUGUGAUGUUAAAAUUUAUGGUACUCCACUACUCCAGCAACAAAUUAUUUUUUUAUUAUAAAUCAUUAAAGUGAAAUAUUCUUUACUAACAAUUGGGUUAGAGGAUUAGGGAUUAAUAUUUUUUUUUUCUUGAGGGAAAUCGCGGAGAGCAAAAAUUUAUUUAAACAAAAUGAGGCAAUACAAAAUUAAAAAAGUCCUAAAAAGAGGACUACAUAGUAUAUUUUUUUAUUAGACAGACCCCAAUUAACUAAUCGAUCCAUUUGUAUAGCAUUUCUGGAGAAGCGAGAAUUCCAUCCAAAAAAGAAGGCGUGACAUUAAUAUGAAAAUCUGAAUUGUGUUUGGUAUCAUAUCUUAAAACCCAACUAAGAAUGCAAAAGGUAUGGAGACUCCAGAUUUUAUCCAAAUUCAAAUCCGAAUGUAACGGAUUUAGUUUUUAACUGACGCCAAAUAGCUAUGGUUUCAGUUGUGGGUAUAAAAAACUGAAAAUCCAAAAGAUUCACAUGCAUUUACUUAUGAUAUAUAUAUAUAUAUAUAUAUAUAUAUAUAUAGAGUGAGGCUACUAUGCUUCUGAAAGCACGAAGCCUUCCGUGCUUUCAGGUCGUUUUCGAUGUUGCGACUUUCGAGUCAUCGAUCGGCUCCGUUAAACUUGAUCUAGAGCAUUUGAAGUAUCUAGAAAAUAAAUUUUGUAAUUUUUCGAUAUCAUUUGCCUAAUGUACGAAGGGGCUCAAAAUCAACGGCUGAAAAUAAAAAUCUCACAAAACGUGAUAAUAUGACAUUAAAAUUUUAGAUCAAAGAUAUUGAUCUUAUUUUAUAUAGUAUAAAGAACUUUCUAUCAAAAUUUUUCGUGAUUUGGAUAUUUCUACACCGUUAAACUUGCAAACGGCUGACUACGGCCAUUAAAAUUAUUUGACUUUGAGCCCCUUCGAUCACUAGGCAAAUGAUAUUGAAAAAUUGCGAAAUUUAUUUUCUAGAUACUUCAAAUACUCUAGAUCAAGUCUAACGGAGCCGAUCGUCGAUUCGAAAGUCUCAACAUCGAAAACAACUUGGAAGCACGGAGUGCUCCGUGCUUCCAAAAGCACCCAGACGCACUCUAUAUAUAUAUAUAUAUAUAUAUAUCCAACCCGAACUUGUUUUAUAUUAUAUAAUAUAUAAAAAAUUAAAUUUGCAUUGAAUAUGACUAGGGGUGGAAACGAGCCGAGCUCGAGCGAGCUUAUGUAAGCUCAAAUUCGGCUUGAAAUUAAUUUCGAGCUUAAAUCUAGGCUCAAGCUCGGCUUGAAAUUAAUUCGAGCCGAGCUCGAGCGAGCCUAAUUUCGAGUCGAGCUCGAGCGAGCCGAAUAUCGAGCCGAACACGAGUCGAACGGGAGCCGGCUCGCUCGUUUGCCAGCCCUAAAUAUGACAUGUUAUAAAAUUUGAAAACGAGAAACAGUGCUUCCAAAUUUUUUAGCGGGUUCGAUUUUCAUUUUGAAUUUUCAAUCAGAUCCCAUCCCUUCAAUUAAUUGACAAGGAAAACUUCAAAUAUUUCUAUGUGGUUUCGCACUUUUUCACUUUAGUAUUUUAUGUUUAAAGUGUAUUAAAUUAGUAUCAUGUGAUUUCGCACUUUCUCACUUUAGUACCCUGUGGUUUAAAGUGUAUCAAGUUAAUAACUUGUGGUUUCACACUUUCUCAUUUUAGUACCAUGUGGUUUAAUAUUUCGUUAAAUUAUAUACAAAAAAACUUCAGAUACUCUACCUAGGUUUAUCGAAUAUAUAUUUUAGUACCUUUUAGUUUUAACUUUGUCACUGAUUUAAUGAAAAAAAUACUCCAAAAUCGAUAAUAAAAAGAGAAAAAUAAAACCACAAUGUACUAACUUCAUAUAAAAAUAAAACCACAGAGUAUUAACUUGAUACACUUUAAACCACAGGGUACUAAAGUGAGAAAGUGCGAAAUACAUGAUACUAACUUGAUACACUUUAAACCAUACUAAAGUGAGAAAGUGCGAAAUCACAGGGUGCUAACUUGAUACACUUUAAACCACAUAGUAUUAAAGUGAGAAACUACGAAACAACAAGGGAGGUAUUUGAAGUUUUCCCUGAUUGAUAAAGAAAUUAAUAAUCCAUACAAUAAUGCAUAAGAAAAUGUUCAUAAUAAUCUAGUAGGAAAUGAAUUAAAAUAAGGGAAAACUUCAAAAACCCCCUAUGUGGUUUCGUUGUUUCUCACUUUGCCCCCCUGUGAUUUAAAAUGUAUCAAUUUGCCCCCCUUUGGUUUCUUUUUUUUCUUUUUCAUAUCAAUUUCAUUAUUUUUUUUUCUUAAAUCAGUGAUAAAGUUAAAAUUAAAGGGUACUAAAGUGAAUAUUUGAUAAAUCUAGAUGGGUAUCUGAAGUUUUUUGAUAUAAUUUAAUAAAAUAUUAACGAAAAAGCUAUCGAAAAGAUAAAAACAAAACCACAUGGGGGCAAUUUGAUACAUUUUAAACCACAGGGGGCCAAAGUCAGAACUAUGAAACCAUAGGGCGGUUUUUGAAGUUUUCCCUUAAAAUAACUUUCUUUGUGUAAUAUCAACAAAUUUUGGUACAUGACAUAUUAAAAUUUAUCAUCACACUAAUUAACUAAUUAGUAAUUAAUAGUGUACGAAGAUACUUAUUUAUUCUGUGAGGACAAAGAUAUGUACAUCCAUUUUUAUGAUGUGCCGCGUUUAUGUCGGAUCGUAUCCGUGACCAAUCAGCAUAUGGUAUUUUAAUUUAUAUUUAUUAAAAUUUUAAAGGUAACUAAUAUAUUUUUGGUAGACCAAAAUAUUCUUAUUAAUUACAAAAAAAAUUCUUCAAAUUAAUAUACUCCUAUCCUUAGAAUUUACUUAUAAGAUUUGAAAUUUUGAAGGAUAUUUUGAAAAAUAAAUAGUAAAUUCAAAAUUUUUAAAUAGUAGUGAACGGUUUUUGAGUAAAAGCCUCCUAUUUAUAUAUAUUCUAUGACUUUAAAAAGAAUUCUGGAUGCUAAAAAUUUUAAAAUAAUAGUCUUUGGAUUGAGAGAAUGAAAUAGAGAAAAUGUUUUGUGUAAGAGUCACCCGACAUAAGCUAUAUUUAGCCAAUCAAAUACCUCAGUUUGAAACAAAAUUACAAAAUAAAGAACUAACUUUUUAUAAACUAUGAUGGGAUGCAAAAAUCUCAAAUUGUGAUGGGCUGCGCCAUGCCACGUAGGAAAUGUGACUUAUAUAUUCUAAACUCUUUUCCUUCUUCUUUGGAGUGUACUAAUAGUAUUGUUCAAUAUCACAAUAGGGUAAAUCUCACGUUUGAUCCUCAAACUAUGAGCAAGUGGUAUAUAAGUCCUCAAAUUUUAAUGUGCUGUAAUUUUUUGUUUGAAUUUUUUAGAAUUGUUGUAAUGAAGUCUCAUAAUCAUAUUUCGUUAAUUAAAUAUUAACGUAUCGCUGAUAUAAAAGUAAUGUGACAUCUUAAUUAUUGACAGUAUUAUCAAUCACAAUGUCACGUCCUGAAUUACCACGUUUCUUCGGGCAUGCCAAUAGACCGGCCGUAUACAAAAAAAUUUCCUCUGUAUACGAAGCGAUAGCUGUACCUGUAUCUGUAAUCAUAUAAAAGUACAACUAGUAGUAUAGAGCUACUAAACUGAACUGUAUAUAAAUAAACAUCAGGUUCACCAUACAUACAAAGUCUCCCUGAUACAACAUCUUUUAUUCCAGCGAGUAACAGCAUAAGUAUGUACAUGAACUAGAAACCAAAACUAUCUGCAGCUGGUACAACUCUAGUACUGCAACCAGGGAAGGGAUCUAGCUCACAACUCUCUUUCAACGAUCAGUAUCGGCAACAGUAGCAGCCGCAGAAGAAGGCUCCGCAACAAAGGGUCAACAACCGAAUGUGAGAACUACUGUAAGAAGAUGUAUUCCUCAGUGGGUACCGCUACCGACCUCAAUGGCUCACCCACUAAGUCUACAGAAAGUAUGCAGAAAGAUAGUAAAGGAAGUUGGUAAAACUCUACAGCUAUAUGCCACUAUACUAUCACUAACCAUGUAAUAGGCUGAAACUUGAUUAGAAGCUAAUUGUGAUCAAAGUGGUCACAAUAACGCUAAAAUGGAAAUUAAGUGUUUCCAAACUUAACUAGAGGCUUGAGAACACCAAGUGACAGGUUUUGGAAAUGUGGGAAUAGAUAAGAAUGGAAUUGGAGUGGCUAAAUACAUUCAAUNAUGAAUGUAAUAAAGUGCAUGUAAAUAAUUAAAUGUUUCAGUUAUGCAGGUUAGUUUAAAGUUUUAAAUUACAGUGAAAUAUUAUGUUUAGCUAGCUUUACUAUCACUUGUGUUUGUUGCUUGCUAUCGUGCAAGUCAUGUAUAUUGAAAUGUGAUUCUGGGAAUUGUUUAUUUCUUAAUACAUGUAUUCGUUGUUGUUGAGCCUUGGGCGAACAGAGGAGGUGCUGUUCAUUCGGCGUCUGUGUACGGGCCCGGAUCGACCAAAUUGGCGAUAGCGGGACGUGACAAACCAAGUCUAAUUAUCUGUAGAUAUGCAUCCCCUGCAACAACGACUAUACUGUCAAGGGACUGCCAACAGGCCCGUCCCGCCUGCGUCCGAGCUAUACCGUACACCGCCACUGAGGUGGCCGAUCCUAAAGCACCGAGCUAUACCGCGCACCACCAUUGAGGUGGCCGAUCCUAAAGCACCGUCCAAACAGGACUGCUGCGACAACAAAGCAAAAGUACAAAGCCUGACUCCGGAGUGGCACUCGUGGGCGCUACCGAACCGAGUAUCCAAGCGUGUCUCUACUGAGCUCAAUCAGGCUCUCACAGGCUAUAAUUAAAGCAAAUGAGUCUAACAAUCAAAGCUCACGUGCCCUUGACAUAAUCUGAUGCAAAUACAGAAAUCUGGGUCCACCGUCAACCGCGACGGUACCCGACAGUCCGAAACAGUCUAUACACUACUGUAAAAAUAAACUCGGCAUCCCAGCACGAGCGUAAACCCAUCCUACACUAAUCUGAAUAUCUACCGCAUACAAACUGCGGCAAUACAAUCAAACCACAGCUUCUAAAGCUAAAUCUGGUAGUUUUCAGAAAAUGACAUUGUAGGAUCUACAAUUUUCUCCUAAGUCAAUUUCAAAUCCAACAUAUAAAAUUAUACUACUACUACUUAACUCCAAAUUCAGAUUUUAAGCUUAAUCCAUGAAUUCGAGUACUAUAUAGCAAGAAAAUAAAUACAUUAUACAUGUUGACGAUAUAAAAACUUAGGAGGUAUUCCGGCGAUUUCGGUAAACUUCAACCCACCUCGAAAAGCUAGUCCAACAACGGCGAGAAGUCGAGAGAAGAAAAAACACGCGCUCGCCCGGCCUCCAACGGCGCAACUGCGAUGUCCACGCUCUCUAACGGCUUCCCGGCGCAACGUUGACGUUGAUCCGAGCUCAAGCCGUAGCCUCCACCAAGCACACAAUUAAAACUAGAGAGAUGAGCAUGAGAUAAUUAAUCUCUCUCAGGUGGAUAAAUAUAAGGGAGUAGGUAGCGUGGAUAACCACCACCACAAAUGACCACCAUACCCUUUUACCAACUCAAAAGACAGCUGGAGUAUCGGUACCCGAUUUGGUUACCGGUACUCGGCCUCUCAGCCCACAAGCUCACACACAGGGUAUCGGUACCAGCCCGAUACCGUACAGGUACUCAACACUGAAAUCCUGCACUUUACGGAUUUCAGCGUCAGAACUCUACUCUCGCCUCGCGUCGAGUCCUUUUUGCGUUCAUUUCGCGCCAAAACGACUCCGACUGGUCCCAAAACUUUCCAGAUGUGUCGACAAGCCUCAAAUGUUGAAAUCACACGAGCUGCAGAACACCAGGGAUACUACACAUAACACUGCUUUCCUUCUACAGUCACAUAUCAAUAAUAUUUAGUUAAUUAACUAUCUUUUGAGGAUUUUUUUUUAUUUCUGUAUCGUCUUAUUUUAUUUAAAUAAAUUUUCGCUCUCGAGCGAUUUCCCUCAAAAAAAAAUUUUUUUUAACUAAAUUUGGUUAUAGAAUUUGAUUGUAAUAAUUCUGGAAGUUCGAGCCAGAAAUUAUAAUAAAUUAAAGGACCAAAGUACCACCUAUCUCAUAGUUUUGAGGACCAAAUGUAUGUGACGUCUUCAUUAUUGGCAUAUCAUCAAUCACAACACUGCUAUAUUUUUAUAUUAGCGACAAUAUCAAUAUUUACUAAAUUAAAUUUAAUUAUAAGAUUUAUUUGUAAUAAUUCUGAAAGUUUGAGUUAGAAAUUAUAACAAUUAAAGUUUGAGGACUAAAAUGCCCCCCACCUCAUAGAUUGAGAACCACAGGAGCAAUUUACACUAUCAUAAAAUGAUAAAACUACAUACAAUGUUGUUGCAAGAAAUAUUUAUCAAAGAGCAAACUUAGCCAAUUAAUCUAUGAGCUACAACUGUUGGCUUAAAUGGGUCAGCAUCCUGCCCUGUGGCAGUAGGCCGGGUUGGGCCGAGUCACGUUCGAACUGGCGUGAGGCUAGGUGGGCCGAGUCAUGUUCGAAGUAGCAUGAGGCCGGGUAGGCCGAGUCACAAUCGAGACCCGUAGGCGCUGUAUUUGUACGCUUUAAGUGAAUUGAUUGCGUAUUUCUAACAGCUCAAGCUUUUGAGAUUAAUGGUUAGUGUCAACGAUCCGACAAGUGGUAUUAGAGCUAGUGGUCACAGAUUCGAUUCCCGCAUGCUGUAAAUGUGUGCAGGUGCUGGAAGGGGGAUUGUUGGCUUAAAUGGGCCAGCAUCCUGCCCUGUGGCGGUAGGCCGGGUGAAUUGUUGGCUUAAAUGGGCUAGCAUCCUGCCUUGUGGUGGUAGGCCGGUGUAGUAUCCUGAACUUUGCAAAAAUUGUGAAGUUGGGAAGUGGGGUUGAGAAGUGGCUUGUACCCACAGGUUUUAUUGUUUGUAAAGGUGUUUUGGGCCAAUUUUGAGAGCUAUUAGACUUUUGGAUACAAGAAAGUGCGUCGUCGAAGCGAUUUCUGAACUUAUUGCAUUAUAGUAUACUGAACCUCAGCAAAUUGCGAAGUUCGAGUGAGGAAUGAUAUUUGGAACCCUCCCACAUGUUCAAAAGGGUUUAAAGAUGUUUACACAUAAGUUUGAGAGUGAUCGGAAUGUCGGAAACAAGAAAGUGCAUUGCUCGGGCGAAACUCAGCAUUUUCUGCUUGGUGUACCGGUACAGCCAUUAUGGUGUACCGGUACACAAUGCAGAAUCGUGGCAGCUUGGGUAUUUUGGUAAUUUCACACUUGAUCCCUACCUAUUUGAUCCCAGCACGACUCUGGGACUUCAGUGGAGUAUGCAAGAGCUCUGAGAAAGCUUCUUUUCCCUUCUUCUCUCUCUCUCUCUAGGGUUUUUCUCUCUCUACAUCGAAUUCGCCGAUUUCGCUCGUUUUCGUCGCCGCGCGCGUUCUUCGCUGGUUGCGAGCGUCGCAGCACCUUUGUGCACGUGCAAGAGAGUGUUUUGGAGGGAUUUUUGCAGCCCUGGACCAGUAAGGAGCUCGCUGCAAGCUUGAGAAGGUAAUCGGCUCACGUUUUCCAUUUUUUCGGCAAUUAUUAGACGAGUUAUGUAUAGUUUUGGAGUUGUUGCUUCUAGUUGCUUUAAUCUGAGAUUUCAGCAAUUAAAGUUGGAUUAUUUANGCAUAUAGCCACGACAGGGACAGUGUUGCCAGAGAUGGUAGGAGUUGAGGAGCGAGAACGGAUGAUGGAACGGCUGAAUGAAUUCCGUCGCUGCAACCCUCGUAUCUUUGAUGGGGAGAAAGCCGAUCAUUGGGUGGUCGAGAAAUGGUUAAUGCAUAUGGAGAAGCUAUUCUAUGAUACCUUCGUCGAUGAGCGAUAUCGAGUUUGGUUUGCGACACACCACCUUGACGGCGAGGCUUACCGGUGGUGGGUGGACAUUCGUGAGGAUCCCCGUGCUGAUUUAUCUGCUAUCACGUGGAACAGGUUUAAGGAAUUGUUGUUGACUACCUAUUUUCCACAGAGUGUGAAGAGGCAGAUGGAAAGGGAUCUGAGGAACUUGAGACAGGGAGACAGGACAGUGGCUGAGUACGAGCGAGAGUUCUCACGAUUACUACACUGUGUUCCUUUUGUGGUUAGAGAUGAUGAGGACAAGGCUCGUAUUUUUGAGGUGGGUUUGCGACCUGCGAUUUUCAGAUUGGUCCAGGCGUCAAACCUCUCGACUUACAGGGAUGUCGUGAACCGGGCCUUGAUUGUGGAAAAGGGGGCAGAGAUAAUGAAGGAAAGAGACGUGGUGGAUCUGCUGCCAAUUUGGGCGUAGUUCGAACUGCUGGAGUUGGGCCUUCUUCAGCAGUUCCUACUGUAGCAAUUGGAGUUAAAUAACAUCAAACCAAAUACAGAAUUUGUGUUUACAUGCAGUUACAAUUAACUGCAAUGCAGUUGCAACUACAUGCAUCCAAACGGCCCCUAAGUGAAUUGGUUGCAUAUUUCUAACAGCUUGAAUUUUUGGGAUUAAUGGUUAGUGCCAACGAUCCGACAACAACAUCGAAGAAUCUGGUAAUAUAAGCUACUCAAAUUUAGGCUCCUUGGAUUACCCAAUUAUAACUAAACUACUGUUUCUUAAAAUUUGCACACAACUCCAACUACGGUAGUUGCACAGAGUUGCUUUAAAUAAAAAGUAAACUUAGCUACAUAAUUAUCUCAUAUAUAUAUAUAUAUAUAUAGAGUGAGGCUACUAUGCUAUUGGAAGCACGGAGCCCUCCGUGCUUCCAGCUCGUUUUCGAUGUUGCGACUUUCGAAUCGUCGAUCGGCUCCGUUAAACUUGAUCUAGAGUAUUUGAAGUACCUAGAAAAUAAAUUUUAUGAUUUUACGAUAUCAUUUGCCUAGUGAACGAAGGGGCUCAAAAUCAACGGCUGAAAAUGAAAAUCUUUAACAAAAGGAAUCAUAUGACAUUAAAAUUUAUAAAUCACAAUCAUAUGCUAUUGUUUUAUACAGUAUAAAAAAUUUUCGAAUCUCAAAUUUCUACUUGAUUUGGAUAUUCUAACCGUUAAACUUCAAACGCUCACACGACCAUGAAAUUGUGUCGAUUUGACCCAAUUUCGAUCACAAUUAGCCAAAUAAUCGAAAGAAUAAAUUAUUUCAGGUACUCUCAAAUACUCUAAGAUCAACGUUUAACGUAGCCGAAUCGACGACUUCAAAAGUUCGCAAACACGAAAACGAGCCGAAAUCCCAGCGAAGGCCGGCUCUCCGAUACACAGAUAAACUCACCUAUAUAUAUAUAUUAUAUAUAUAUAUAUACGAUACGGGCUAGAUAUACUUUACAAAGUAUCACCCAAUGAUACUUGUUUUUUUACCAUUGAUCUACUUUGAUUACUAAUAUUCCUUGGAUCCAACACUAUCAACCUACGAAACACACUACCACCACCUAACCACAUCAUCUCAACCUACAUCUCUCAUCCAACGGACUAAAAAUCAAAAAUCACACAAUAUCACUUGGGUGUAUACUUUACAAUAUUCCUAAGCCUAUCUCUAUAUAAUAUAUAGAAUUAGUAGAAUACCAUUAAUAUAAACACAUUUUUGCAUCAAGUUUUAACCAAUUGGAUGAAAAAAUAUAUAGUCAGAUGAAUUAGUCGUUAGAGUUAUGGUCCCCCAUAGGUCUGAGAUCCACCACGAGUUAUGAGUAUUUAAUCCCAAUGGUUAAAAAAUAAACAAUAGUUGACCAAAGCUAAAAAACUGGUAGCAAACAAUGAAAAGAUGCACUAAGGCUCCUUUGUUCGAGUAUAUGUAAUAGUAAAAUUAUCUCACCAUAUCCAUAUCUGAUUUCGGCGUGAAUACUAUUGACGCAUACGUGCGUUGUUUAAAUACAGUAAUUAAUACUAAUUACAGUUUAUAGCAAUAAAAUGACGUUUGUUACAUUAUAAAAUUAGUAAUGCCACAUACGAAAGUAGAGUAUUUUCUCUAAAUGCCCUGUGUGUCAUGAAUAUUAUUUGUUACGGAAAUCACAAUCGAGGAAGGAGAUCGUAGAUGAACUACUAUUGGGAGACCGACACAAUAUGAAUAUAUCAUAGUUCGCCGAGAGAGAGAGAGAGAGAAGACAAGAGAGAGAGAAGAGAGAGAUAAACGUCAGCAGAGAGGAGCGAGAGAAAGCGCAUGCGAAGAAGGGGUGAAGGCGAAGAGAAUUGAAAAACAUGUGUUCAAUAAUUUGGGUUGUGGAUGGUAAAAGUCAUUAGCAUAUACGUACUAAUUAACUGGGUUAUCAGAAAUGCAAAUACAAGAACCCCCUCCCGUUAAUAUUUCAAUUAAUCCUGCUCGACUUUGUAUCACAUUAACGACUAUAUUACAAUAGUGACUUAACCAACACAUAUACUGGCAAUGCCGUAAAUCCUGCCAAGGAUAACUCGAACCAACUCACCCUAAAUAGUAACCCAGUUCAAGCAUAUAUAAUAUAUAGAUAUAUAUAUAGUAAAAUAAUAUAAAUAAUAUAAUAAUAAUAUAUAAAUAAUAAUAUAUAAUAUAUAUCUUUCAAGAAUUAAUCUCAACUUUCUAUAUAUAAAGUUAUUGAAUUUAUAAAUAUAAUAACCAACUGCAUAUAACCAAAUAAAAUAUUUAUAGUUACAAACUUCCAACCAAAAAAGAUAUGUAUUUGUUUAUAAUUCUUUACAUUUUCACCUGCAUACAGUUUAUAAUUACUACCACACAAAUUAUAUCACAUUUAUAAUUAUAUCCAAUUGCAUUUACAAUUAUUUCCCACUUUCCUCAAUCCUAGUGGGAUCGAGGGAGAGUAGGGAUGCAAAUGGCUCCAUGUUGAUGGAGCUCCUGCCCCGAUUCUUCCCGAGUGAGGCGGUAAGUAGGAAUAAAAAAAUAUAAAAAUAUAUAAUCCACUUCAAAUCUAUCUCAAAAAAUGAGGCUUCGAUCCGUUAAAAAUGCGUUCCUGUCUCGCUAUGCCUACAAUGAGGCGUUAAGUGAAUAGUUCGUCCCGAAUCUGCUCCGAUUCGCCAAGAAAUUGGAUGAAAAAUGGGAGACCCGUCUCAGGAUCUGCGUUGGUUUUAUACCGAAGAGAGAGAGCUAGUUAGAUCGACCACUUAAUCGAAAGCGCCCAUCGACGCAGUUGGCUGUGAUUCGCGUGCGCUGACUCAGAUAUACGCGUGGGAUCUUCUUGUCAAAAUGGCUUAAAUCCAAAAUGCCUCCAAGAAUUAAACCAUUAAUAAUUGAUCUUCUUACCAUUAAUACUGUGACAUACAUAUCCCCUAAAAUUUUGGCAUAUCUGAGUGCACAAAAUGUAAAAUAUAUAUUUUGCUGUUUUUUUUGCCUAUAUAAGAUCCCUAUUUUCAAUCUAUUUUUCCCAUCUCUAUCUCAAAACAGAUAAUAAGCAGUGUUCAAGUUUCAAGAUAUAAAAUAAUAAUAAUAAUAAUAAUAAUAAUAAUAAUAAUAGAGACAGAUCAUGGCUUGUGUACAUGUCCUCUACGCUAAACUCCAUGUUAUCCGUUCGAAUAAUAACAUUUAAAAAAUGUAGCCGUUGCGAGUGGGGCCAAAUGUUUGUGGGGGCGUGGCCACUGUGAAUUUUGGACCGUUGCGUCCGUAGCCUCAUGUGAUCGGUGUACGUAUGUAAGCGUAGCUAGGCUCGCUUUGGCCCAAUCAAUACGUGAAACCCAUGCAUACAUACUUUUUUUUUUGGGUGGCUCUAGGUUGCGAUCAUAACCGUUCGUUUGAAGAUAUUGGGUAGCGCGCCUAUAGAUCAACGGCCAGGGUUAUCCCGUCCGAGCGUACGUGCAUGGUUUUCCAUAUUCUUACACGAUCCAUCAUGAUUAGCUUACGUCGAGGGAGGCGCAUGAAUACGGAUAUUCGAAAUUUUUAUGGAGAUUUCGAUGAUAAACAAAUAUGAUUUCGCAUAUUGGUAAAAGAAAUGAAAAAAAAAAUCUGAUGGAUAUAGAUUCGACUGUCUUUAUCCGAUACGAACCCAAACUGGAAAAUAUUUCACGUUGUUAUAUAUAUUGUAUAUGAAUGAUAAAUAUUAUAUUUAAGUUUAUAUUUUGAACCGACCGUUCCUAAAACAAGUGGCAAAGGGUUUGGUGGUUGGUACUCGAGACCCAAGUUCGAAUCAUAGUUGAUUCACAUUUCUUGCUAAGUUUAUUUCUAAAUUUCUAAAUGAAAUAAAUGAAGCAGGUAGCGUGCUAUCACAAAAAAAAAGUUUAUAUUUUGAUAUAAUAUAUUUUAAGAUAUGGUAUAGAAAAAUGAUUGUUUUGAAUUCGAAUUUUGAAUUUUUAAUCAUGUUCUGGUUUGAGUUUCGUACUCGGUUGUCACAUUUAUGCACAGAGUUUUUAAACAUCUAUUCGUUCAGAAUCCGUCUCGUUGAAAUUCCUACUUACGCCUCAUUUCAUAGUUAAUGUUCAAUAAUGUAAUCCAAAAUUCUGACAUUCGAUUCAGAUCGAUUAUUGGGCAUAAUCGGCUGCCGGCAAUGUUUCGUAUUCGGGACGCGGUUGUUGCCAGGGCAAAGGAUUGGAGUGUUUAAUGGUGUUGUUGACUUUUGCAACUUUACUUUCGAUUUUGGCCCAAUCCCUCAUUAAUGUCUCUUUCCUCCUUUUGACCAUACAAAUCAGGCCACGUGGGCUCCGGACGAGUGUUCAUUAGAGAUGGGCCCACCAACGGUUUCAUUCCCAAGUUUGGGCAUCCAAAAUUGGUGGGCCUAGGGGUGGAAACAAGCCUGGACAUAAGCGAGCCGGGGUUGGCCCGUUUAUAAACGAGCCAGACAAGAACUCUCGAGUUGAAAAAUUCAGCUCAUGUUUGACUCGUUUAUUAAUGAAUUGAACACAAAGCAGUAAGUUAAAAAGAUUAAAAAUAUAUAUAAUUAGUCAUCUAUAUAUAUAAAUAGAAAAAAUAUAAAUUAUAUAAAUAUAAAAUAUAUGUAUUCGAGCGGUUAUUGAGCCGAAUAUGAGCAGCUGAUCCCACCUCGUGUUCGGCUCAUUUACUAAACGAACUGAAAAAUUCAGUUCAGCUCGUGUUCGGCUCAUUUAUUAAAUAAACGAUUCGAUCUCAAGCUCAUUUGAGUCGAACAUGAGCUAACUCGCGAAAUGCGAGCUGAAUUACCACCCAUACGUGAGACUGAAAAAAAAGUCUAAAAUACAACGGUCAUACAGGAUGAUGUGGUGCAAUAUCUAGUGGAUUAAAAAUCAAUAGAUUUUUUAUGCAAAACGGCCUUCAUCUAUUUCAUCUUAAUUACCUUUAAAAAAAUACUUUUAUUAUUAUUUUCUCUAAUUAGUGCCUAUUUUGUUCGCAUAAUUUAAAGGGAAAACUUUAAAUACCACCCGUGUGUUUUGCACUUUUUUACUUUAGUACUUUGUUGUUUAAAGUGUAUCAAUUUAAUACCCUGUGAUUUCCCACUUUCUCACUUUAGUACCCUGUAAUUUAAAGUGUAUCAAUUUAAUACCCUGUGAUUUCCCACUUUCUCACUUUAGUACCAUGUGAUUUAAAGUGCAUCAAUUUAGUACUAUGUGGUUUCAUUUUUUUCUUUUCGUCGGCUCCUCUGUUUAUAUUUCAUUAAAUUAUAUACAAAAAACUUUAGAUACCCUAUCUAGCUUUAUCGAAUAUUUACUUUAGUACUAUUUAGUUUUAACUUUGUUACUAUUUUUUUUUUCUUCCGUUAAUAUUUCAUUAAAUUAUAUACAAAAAACUUCAGAUACUGUAGUAUCCCUGGUGUUCAGCUUUUCACGGCUUGUCGACACGCUGUGAGGGUGUCGGGACAAGUCCGAGUCUCGUUGGCGCGAAAUAGACGCAAAACGGACUCAGCGGAGACGCGAGAGCAAGUGUUAGCAUUGGAAUCUGCGAAUUGCAGAUUUUCUGCUUGUUGUACCGGUAUGACAUCAGGGUUGUACCGGUACACUUUCUGUAUCGGUACAGCAUCAGAGGUGUACUAGUACACUUCGCUUGAUUGGCGAACAGCUGCUCUCGGGUUGCCUUUUGUACCGGUACAGGUGCACGUGUACCGGUACACGGGGGUAGGUGAGGGACAGAAAUGACUUUUUAUGCGUCGUACGUAUUACCCACUCUUCCCCUUACUACAUAGCUUCGUAGAGAGAAGCUAAGGGGAGUUUUUUGGCUGGUUUCUUCUCCUCUUUCUCUCUAGACUUGAUCCGAGCAUGCGGAGGAGCUCAUGUGGAUUUGUUUCGUCGCCGACGUCGCGCCGCAGAGCUGUUUGAGCACACGAGCGUUGUGGUGGCUGCAUGGGGAGGCCGAGCGAGCAUGUGAUUUCGCCGUUUCGACGUCGCGCCGGUGUUGGUUUAGCUAUCGAGGUGGGUUAAUCGGCGGUUUGUCUUCUAAGUAUAUAGAGAUAGUCGGCAUGUGUCGUUAUAGUUGUUUUUGCAUAUUCUAAUUGCUCGAUUCAUAGAUUUUCGCAUGUUUAACUGUAGAAUCUGAAUUGGAGCCUAGAGUUACUAAAUCUACUUGCACAUGUUGUACUUGGAUAUGACUUAGGAGAAAACAUGCGAUUUGAACCUGUCACAUGUUUAAACUACCUGAUUUAUCUCUAGAAGCCGUUGUUAUUUUGUAUCGCCACAGUAUCAGCGUGGUGGAUACCCCAAGUAGUUUAGAUUUCAGUUACGCUCGUGCUGGGAUGCCGAGUGUAUUUUUACAGUAGCGUUCAGACUGUUCCGGAUUGUCGAAUGCCGUUGGGGUUGACGGUUGACCCAUAUCGCCGUUUCGGCGUUAGAUUGUGCCGAAGGCACGUGACCUAUUGGUGGUUGACCUGCCUUACUUGACAUUGGCUUAUGAGAGCCUGAUUGAGCUCGACAGAGAUACGCUGCAUACUCGGUUGGGUAGCUCCCACGAGUGCCACUCCGGAGAUGGGCGUUGUGCUUUCGCAUUAGUGUCGUUCGUGCAGGUUGGACUUGCUCUCCACGGACCGUUUGUGUGGAGGUAGCUGUAUAGUCUCAAUCGGGCGGGACGAAUGUGUUCACAGUUCCUGAGACGGGUAUGCUUACAGUCCCUAGUGAGAUUGGGUCAGGAUCUAUUUUUCUACAGAUGAUUAGUGGUAGAGCAUUAUAGUAUAAUGGCAUUUAGCUGUAGAUUUAUUCUAGUAUUUUUCUACUAUCCUUGCUCCCUUCUGUAGACUUAGUGGGUAGACCGAUGAUAUUUAGGGCGGUACCCACUGAGGACUACUUAUUUUUAUAGUAGUUCUCACGCCCAGUUGUUACCCUAUUUUUGCAGAGCUUGCUGUUCCGGCUGCUGCUUCUUCGGAGACUGACCGCGGCAAGGGCGUUGCUAGUUAGAGCUUUUCCUAGUUACUGCUGUUCGUGAGGUUACCAGCUGCAGGUAGUGCUAGUUUUUGGAGUUUCUUAUACAUACUGGUUGUAUCUCGCUAGGCGAACUUUUGUGUACCUGAACGUAUGUAUGUAUAUGGAACUUGUUCCUGUUUUUACCAGUUUUAUUCGAAUAGCUCUAUACUACUGUUUGUAGUAUUGUAUGUUUUACAAGUACAGCUAUCGCUUCGUAUAUAGGAAAAAAAUUUUUUUAUACGGCGGAUUUGUCGGUGUGCCCGGAGAACGUGCAAUCCGGGGCGUGACAGAUACUCUACUUAAGUUUAUCGAAUAUUUACUUUAGUACCCGUUAGUUUUAACUUUGUCACUGAUUUAAUGAAAAAAAUUGGUGAAAUGGAUAAUAAAAAGAGAAAAAUAAAAUCACAGGGUACUAACUUGAUACACUUUAAACAACAUAGCACUAAAGUAAGAAAGUGUGAAACCACAAGGGCUAACUUGAUACACUUUAAAUCAUAAGGUACUAAAAUGAGAAAAUGUGAAAUCACAGGGGAUAUUUGAAGUUUACCCCAAUUUAAAAUCCCUGCAAAGAAUUGACUUCAUAGAAUUGUUAUCCUACAGUUGAAUUACAACGUAAUUAAUUCGAAUAUUUUUGUUCGGUUUGUAUCUUAGAAUAUUUCAAAUUUUAUCAUUCACAAUUUUAGUUCACUAUUGGAAAAACUAAAUUAUGUGAAUAAACUUUACUUUUAUACUCUUGUUGAUAGAAAUUGACAUUAUAAACUACUUUACACUCAAUAAGAUAAAGAAUAUAAAGCAUCAUAGGAGUAUUUAGCCUAUUAAAAUCAAACUCCUAUGAGAGAUUUUUUUGGUAAAAAAAAAAAAAAAAGUGGAGGUGAUUUUGAAAUUUCAUUUUUCGUGAAAUUAGAAGAUAUCAGAAGAAGAAUUGUAAAAUUUUUGUCACGUCAGACUUCUGUGACUAAUCAAAGAUAAAAAUUCUCAAUUUCUAACUCGCAUCUCUGAAAAUUUAAGAACCGGUUAAUUGCAUAUGUAUAUCUAUAAAGUGAUAAAAUUAUAUACUUAUCCCUACAAAGUUUUGUUUAUCAUGUAUAACUCUCCAAAGUUAUAUAGUUUACAAAUAUAUCAUUUUUCGUUAUUGACCGGCUAAAGUUGACUUUUGUUUUUAAUGAAAUGACUCUUCCACUCUGAAUUAUAUUUAAAAUUCUUCAUCAAUUGUAAUAUUUAUUUUCAUUCUAAUUUUUCUUGCGUUCUACGUGAAUCAUAAAUUGUAGAUUUUUAUAAGAAUAUAACGGUCCAAAAUGUCAAAAUUUAAUGGUCAACUAACGAUAGUAAACUAAUAGGAAUAUAUGUGCAUAUUUUGAAACUGUAGAGAGAUAUAUUUAAUAAUUAAAAUUUUAUGGAGAUAAAUCCUGAAUUUUAAAAUCUUGUAAGAGUACACAUAAAAUUACCCUUUUUCAAAAAAAUUUAAAUAAAAUAAAACCACGACCGGAAAAGCCCAGGUACCCAGCCGGCCGGCAUUCCAGCCCAGAACGACCGGACCGACAUCCGAAUGUGGGUCGUGCCGGCCAUAGGGACAAGUGCUGUGCGGUCUAUUUGGGCCAAGUGUAAUCCGAUCCGAACAAUUUAUUUAAUUAUUUUUCUCUUUUAUACUAUAUUUUUUUAAAUUAUUUUUAUUUAUUCUUUCAAAUAAUUUAAACUAUUCAAAAUUUAAAUAAUAUUUUAAACUCAUCUAAAACCUAUUUAUUUAAUAAAAUUCUUAAUAAAAUUAUAUAUAUAUAUAUAUAUAUAUAUANCAUUACAGAAAUAAUAUAGACAGGGACACAGCUGACAAGUCAAAAGUCACUAUCACAAUAAGUGUUAGGAUAAUCACUUUUAUCUUCUAAGGUUGACUCUUAUUAUACUACCUUAAAAUUCUAAAAUGAUAAUGUUUUACUUAUUUUUCAAAAAUUCUAACGGAACUCUUCUAUUGUAGGAAUAUUCAAUGAGCCUCGCUCCAAUUCAACUAUCCCACCGGAGGUUUCAAUGAACUUCUCACUCAAGUAAUGCCGGAUAAUUUGUAGUAUGGCAUAUCUCAAAUACAAAGUGUCCCUCACAAUCGAUCUAUAUUUUCUCUAACUUCAAUUUCAAAUCAAGUUUGUAUUGACAUAUAUGUCUACAUUACAUAUAGUUGUUUAAGUGAUUUUGACUUGGUUUCAGUAGCCUACGUCUGAGUGACUGGAAAUUUAGAAUUUUAAUUAUUGGGGUAUGUAUUACAUUAACUUGUUAUUAGAGUACACAAUUAAUUACUGUGCAAUUACUACUUUUUUUUUCACUUUUAUCCAUUUAUAAAAAUUAUAUAUAUAUAUAUAUAUAUAUAUAUAUAUAUAUAUUUAUAUAUAUAUAUAUAUAGUAGGGCUAGAAUACUUGUAAAAGUAUUAUGGGGGUGAUACUUGUGUGUUUUUAGCCCUUGGAUGGAGAGAUGUGAGGUUGAGAUGAUGGUGGUAGGUGGUGGUAGGUGGUGGUAGGUGGAAUAGUAUUUAAUCCAAGGGCUAUUAAUAAUCAAAAAGUAGAUUCAAUGGCUUAAAACCUAAUAGCACAAUGAUGAUGAUACUUGUAAAAGUAUCAUAGCUCAACUCUCUAUAUAUAUAUUCCAUAUAAUCAAUAGUAAAAAUUUAAAAAUUAAAUUAUAAUGUAAAAAAAUGAGAAAACAAACUGGGCCCAGCAGGCCUUGUCAGGUUAGUAGCAUAGUUAGUUAAUUCGGAUUCGGCAAAAAUUCGGUUCGGGUAUAAUUCGGAUAACUUAAUAGCAUCAAGUCAUUAAAACACUAUGUUUGAAUUUAAACUUAAACAGUAAAAUGCUGAAGUUUCUUAGCAAAUCAAAAACUGGUUAGGUGAGUGUUAAUUGAGCUACAAUGUAUCCGAAAAAUAAUAGUCAGAGCAGCUUUAACUAACAACACCUUUUCCUCCUUAAUUACUAUUUUAUUGCAUAAGCCUACACAAAAAUUGAAAAAAAAAAAAAAGGAAAUUGGUUAGGUUUUUUAUUGCAUGAAAAAAUUUUCUUCGAGCGUUUGGUAAAAACAGUAUGUGUAGUUGAUUUAGUUGCAUGAAAUAAAAAAGAUUUAAAAUAAUGAGUCCGGCUACUAUAUACUCUUAUAACUACGAUCGCAUUCGUACUUAUAAACAGUAUGUUGUUUUCGAUGAUAGAGCUUCCGAAUCGACGAUCCAUACCGUUAUACGUUACCUACAAUAUUUAAAACUUAUAGAAAUCAAAUUUUACAAUUUUUUGACAUCGUUUACUUUACAAUCAAAAGAUCUCAUAAUUGACAAUUUAUUACGGCGGGUAUGAGAUACUUGCUAGUUUAACGGUGUAAAAAAAUCGGAAUUGAUUGAAUUUUUGAUAAAAAAAUUUAAUUUACUAUCUAGAUAAAGGUCAAUAAUUCCGAUCUUAAAUUAAAGGAUUCGAUCAUCCAUUUUAAGAACGUUGUUCGAUUUUCACCGUUCAUUUUAUACCCGCUUGAUGGAUUUUAUUAUAAUUUUAAAAAAUUACAAAUUUUAUUUUUUAGAAGUUUUAAAUACUUUAGAUCAUAUUUAGCGGAGUGGAUCGUCGAUUCAGAAACUCUAUUAUCCAAAACAACUUAUGAGUACGAAAUGCUCUACACUCAUAAAAGUAUAGUAGCCCUACUCCAAAAUAAUAUAUAAUUUAUUCUGUUGUAGAAAAUUAGAAAUUAUUUUAUAAAUUUUAUUACUUAUAUAUACAUGGGAGGAUGAAAAUACUCUCAAUGUAGAAAAAAGAAAUUCUUUAGAAGGUGAUUAGGUCGUUGCAACAGAAAUUACGAGCAACUUGGAUGUUAUUUUAUUCGUUGCAAUUGAGUUUUCUUGUGCAGUUUUAAUUACAGUAGUGAAUUCAUGUGCACUAAAUCAAAAACAAUAUUUAGGACUAAUAUAUUGUUAAAUUAUAGUAUAGCUGCAAACGCAUGCGACCAAACAGUCGCAGUAUUCAAAGUUUUCUACAACACGAAGCUUUGUUGCUUUGCAUUUUCAAUUAAGGGCCCGUUUGUUUUGGUGUAAGUGGGGUGAUGGAACUCAAGUUCCAUCACUUCCGUUAUUUGUUUUGAUGUAAGUGAAAAAUAUAAUGUAACUCAAGUUACAUUAGAGCUCCACUUCACCUACUCUCGACUUCCUCCUCUAAAGUGCCGAACUCGACUUUUACUACACUCAACCUCCUCUAAAAAAUUUAUUAAACAGUAAAAUCUAAACUCUACUUCCUUUAUAAUGGGUUAGAAUUACUUUAUUUAUGAUAAAUUAGGAUUAUCUUUAAAUAAUAAUAAAAAAAUUAAUUAUAUAAUAGAUUAAAUUUUAUAGUGGUAAAUUUACUACUAUAUUUAGGAGAUAAUAAGAUCCACUUACUUACAUCAAAACAAACAACAGAACUCAAAAAAUUAAUUUUACCAGCACCAAGUUACAUCAAAACAAACAACAGAAGUGAUUGAAUAUAACUUUCAGACGGUACAAGUUACGUCAAAACAAACAACAAAAAAAUAAUUACACUUCAGAAAAACUCAAAUACCACUACACUUGACUUACGUUGAAUCUACAAAUACGUCAAUCCAAACGCCCCCUAAGUUCAUUUCCAAAUAAAAGGAAAUGAAGCAAAUAGCAUGCCACAUUUCUCUUUGAAAGAAAUAAUAAAGACGUACAUGGCUUAGGCCCUGUUUAACCUAGCUUUUUGAAAGUGAUUUUAUUAUUUAGUAUUCAAAAUAUUCUUCUAAAAUUCAAUUUCAUUAGUAAACCCUAGAGAGAAAAAAAAAAAAUAUUUGAAGGGAUUUUUUUAAAAUCAAGGAGGGUAUUUUGGUCAAUCAAAAGUAAAUAAAAUAUUUUUAAAAUUUUGAAAAAAAUAUUAGAUACUAUUUCAUAAAAUAUAAAGUAAUUAAACAUGAUUGGGAUACUCACAAAAUUAUUUUUAUUUUUAUAGGGUAAGAUAGAUUAAAUCAUGACACGAUAUAUUAUGUUUGUCUCAUGAAUAAAACAUUAAACUUUAUUAAACACAUUUUCAUAUAAAGUAAAAUUUUUUUAAAAAAUGUAAGAGGAUCCUUAAAUUUUAGAUCUUUAACAAACAAACGAUCGACUAAACUUUAAAUUUUGACAAAUAGACCCUCUAAACUUCAUCAAAUGUGUUAAAGGGCCUCCCUCUCCCUCUUCAAUUUUAGUUACUAAUUACACUACCUUUUGAUUAUAUGUCUUUUAUAUAAUCGCAUAAAGCUUCAAAACAUAAAAUAUAUAUAUAUAGAGCAGGACUGCUGUGCUCUCAGGAGCACGGAGGCCUCCGUAUUCCUGAGCCGUUUUCGAUGAUGAAAUUUUCGAAUCGACGAUCGGCUCCGUUAGACUUAAUCUAUAUAUAUAUAUAUAUAUAUAUAUAUAUAUAUAUAUACUAUAUAUAUAUAUAUUAUAUAUAUAGUGAGGUCUCCCGUGCUUUCGAAAGUACGGAGGCUUCCGUACUUGUAAGUGUUUUUUCGAUGAUAGGACAUCCGAUUCGAACGAUCGGCUCGUUAGGCAUAAUCUAUACUAUUGGAAACUAUCUGGAAACCAAAUUUAUAAUUUUUUCGACUUCAUUUACCAAGCGAUCAAAGGUCUCAAAAAUGACUAUUUUAACGGCGAUUGUGGCACGUUUUUUAGUUCAACGGUGUGAGAAGUAUCCAAAUUACAUGAAACUUUAAUAAAAUUCUACUUAACAUCAGAGUAAAAGACAAUACUUUCAAUUGAAGUUUGAGUCCUUUAUCGCUGUUUUUUAUGAGAUUUUUAUUUUCAGCCGUUCAUGUGAGGCUACUCGUUCACUAGCGCAACGAAGUUAAAAAAUUAUGAAAUUUUGUUUCUCAAAUAGUUCAAUAGCAUAGAUCAUGCGUAACGAACGAUCGCCGAAUAUGGACGUCCAUCAUCGAAAACAACUUACAAGCACGGAGGCCUCCGUACUUUCGAAAAACAUAGGCUAGCUCUCUCCCUCUCUCUCUCUCUGUCUCUUCUCUCUCUCUCUCUCUCUCUUAUAUUAUAUAUAUAUAUAUAUAUAUAUAUAUAUAUAUAGUCCGCGCUAUGGUGCUUGGUAAAGCCACCAAGCAUCUAUCUUGUGUCUUGUAAAUUUUUUACUGUUAGGAUUUAUGCCUUUGAUGCCUUUCACUCGUUAGAUUAUUUAUUCCAACGAACCACUCCACUCAAACCUAGGAAGGCCACAUCGAUCCUGAACCGCACAUUUCUUUAAUCCAAGACGAAAAUUAUAAGCACAAUGACUUGAGUACUUUUAAAAGUAUAGUACGCCAUUAUAUUAUAGUAUAUAUAUAUAUAUAUAUAUAUAUAUAUAUAUAUAAUAUAUUCUAACAUAUAAGAAAAAUAAGAAAAAUGCUAAUUCAAUUUGGCCUCUUUUGCAUAAAAUCCACUUAUUUUGACUUUUGCAAAAACGCGAUCACCUUUUUCGUUUUCGCAGAUUCGGUCCACUUUAGUUCACCAAACUGGAACACAAAAUAUCCUUAUUACUUUUUCUCUUUCCUCUUUCUCUCUCCUCUCGUCUUUGUCGUUCUUUUUUUUUUUUUACUCCGACAAUAAGUGAAAGAUAGAAAAAAAAAAUUGGCGGACCGUCGCCUUUUCGUUACCGUCGCCUCCUUACACUCCACCAUCCUUCUUCACCGUGUUUCCUCCUCACCCUCCUGUUCCACCACCCGGACUCCCCUCCUCCUCUCCUCCCGCGCGGACCCCCAGCCCGGAUCCCGUCGCCGUUGGUCUCGGCAGCCUGGGCCGAACGGCGACUGGGGUCGGGCUGGAUGCGUGAGAAGAAUGUACAACGGCGAAGAAGAAGACAGGGGAGGCAAGCGACAGGGCGCAGGAGGGGGGAGGCGGAAGCGCACCGGCGCCGGCACCAGCGCCACGCGCGUGUUCUUCUCGUCCGGCGUUGCCUCCUCCGCGCCGCGCAGAAGCGCGCGACCAGGCCCUCUGCUUCUCCCCGACGACGUCGAGACGCGCGUACGCCCGGGUGACCCAGCCCGAUCCGUCGCCGCGGCUGGCAAGCCGCUUGCUGAACGAUUUGGUCGGACUGUUUUUUAUUUUAACUCACAUCUUUAAUAUGAGUAUUUAUACUGCCUUCUCCUUCUUGUUGCCACCGUUUCUCUCUUGUGCCACGAUUUAAAGAGCAGAAAACAGUGCAACAGAGGAGAAACAGUGCAACAAGAGGAGAAGCAGUAUAAAUAUCUCUUAAAGGGGUUCAGUUUAAGAUAAAUGGGUGCAGUUUUUUUUUCUUGUUGCACCAUUUUUUCUCCUCUUUUUGUAGUUAACGAUACAAUUUCAUCUUCAUCCUUUUUUUUUAUAUAAUUUUUUAUCUUUAUUUUUUUUCUGUUUUUUUUUUUUGUCACCCUCUCUGUCAAUAGCCACGGUGUCGGUGACGACGCCGCUAAAGACCCCCCACUCCGAGGCUGCAGUGCCGCAGUGAUCUCCACGGUGUCGGCGUCGAUGUCGGCGAAGAUGCAUCGUCGUCGGAGGCAGCAGAGAAGGAGGGAGAAGGAGAGACGGGAAGGGCAGGGAAGAGCGAGAGAGGCGCCGUCGUCGGAAACUGCAGAGGAGAGUCAGAGAAGAAAAGAAAAGAAAAAUGCAAAAAAAAAAAGUCACAGUCCGGCUUUAGUGGGAUCGGAGGCGAGGAAGGUGGGGGCGCCGGCGGUGACGCCGCUCUGUCUUCGCCGCUCUCUGGGAAGAGAAAGAAAAAAAAGAACGAGAGAAAAAGAGAAAAGAAAAAGGUAUAAGAGCACCUACGCUCCGUCUUCGCCGCUCUCUGGGAAGAAAAAGAAAAAAAAACGAGAGAAAAAAAGAGGAGAGAGAAAGAUAAAAGAGAAAAAGGUAUAAGGGUAUUUUGGUAAGUUUGCUGAAAAAGCGGACCGAAUCUGCAAAAGCCAAAAAGAUGACCCGAUUUUGCAAAAGCCCAAAAUAAGUGAAUUUUUUAUGCAAAUUGGCCAUCAUAUUUUUCAAUCCUCAGACUUAAUUAUCAACAUUGGAAGAAAAUAAAGUAUUAUAAGAUUACAUCCACAGCAUGCGAUCAAUAUAAUCUGUGUAGUGAGUAACUACAAUCGAGAAGAGAAAUCUAUUGAACUAUUUAAUAACGUUUAGGACAACAAAUUGUAAAAAUUAAAAAUAUCACACGCAUAUUUGUAAAACAGCGCAGCAAAAGAUAUGUUUGUUUUUCCUCAAAAAAAUAAAAAUUAAUUUUUGAAAUAAUUUUUUUUUAUGAAAAACUUAUUUUUCAAAUUUUUUGUCUAUUUGGUUUCUUAAAAAAGUCAGCUUUUUCGAUUUUUUUUUCAGAUUUUAUAAAAGGAUAAUAUUUUUAUUUUAUCAUAUAUUUAUUCGAAAUACGAGAUAUUUUAUCUUAUUAAAGUAAACAUACUAAUUUUUUAUAAAAAUCGAAAGAAAAGAAACUACCUUUUCUUACAAUCAAACGUACGAAAAAUUAUAAAAUAUAUGUUUUUUUUAAAAAAAAAUAAUUUUUUUUUUCCCUUGGAGAGAAACCAAACAAUCCCUACAUAUAUAGUUCUAGUGGGGUGUCCGUGCAUUUGUAUUUUCCUCCAAAAUAUACUGAAUUCAGUGGACGGAAGAGAGCGGUUGGAUCGGGAUCGGACGGUGGGGAUCGGGUUAUGUUGUGUCCGCAUGCACCACUGUCAUCGAAACUGAACUUUAGAUUGAAGUGGAUUUUAAAUUAAAGUUGAGUUCGAUGAAAAUUUUUUCUUUUUCGAUAUUUAUUUUAUAGUUAUGAAAAUAAAGUUCUAUUAAUUAUGCUAUUUACUUGGUAAGAAAUAUAUGAUAUAAAGCUAUAAUUUAUAUAUAAAUAAUAAAUAAUUUAAUAAAUAAAAAAUAAUAUAAUUAUAUUUUUAUAUAAUUAAAAUUUAAUUUAAAACAACUAAAUUAUUUUUUGAAUGGUGGACAAAAUACUUAGGCAUCUAUACAUUAGGUAUAUUUAUUAAUUGUGAUGAUAUUUGAUAAUUAAAAAAAUAUAUUGUAUUUUUUGUUUUAAGUAUAUUUGAGAAGUCAAUAUAUAUGAAUAUAAUUAAUUAGUAUUAAGCUUUUGAUACUUCUAAACAUAAAUAGUAAUUCUUCGUUCCCUUUGAUGAUCGGAUCAGAAUUAGAUAGUAAAUGUGUGAAUCAUAAUUUUGAUAAAUUUUUGACUCAUUAAUAUCCAAAUGAAUCUUUGCUGAUGAUAUUAUAUGUCAUAUUAGAAUUGUCGCAUUGCAUCAUAAUCGAUUGGUUGUCAAAACUUUUAAAAAAAUAACCACCUAAGAAUGAACUGAUCAACCCAGCCAUGAAUUUCACCAAAUAAAACAAAUAAAAAAAAAGAAAACAUUGAGCCGAAUUGAAUAAAUCGAUACUCGUAUUCGUCUGUAUUAUAAUUGAGUAAACUCCACACCAGAUAAUUUAGAUUAUUAUACAUUUAAUUUAAGUGUAUUAAUUAAGUAUUAAUUAGUCAUGAGAUUUGGUUUCGGCACAAAAAAACAAAUAAAUAAGUAAAUAAUCCAUAACUAAAUAACUCCACAAUCCUCUGAUUUUUGUGGGUUAAAAUUGAGAUGAAUUUCUCAAUUAUCAUCUAUUGUUUCUUUAUCUCUCUAGAUAUAAAAAUUAACCACGUUCAUUUUUAAAAAAAUAAUUAACAAUAUUUUAUUUAAAUUAUCAAUAUAGAAAUAGUGUAAUGAUCAAAAUUCGCAUUUUAAUUUCAUUUAUUUAUUUAUCCUCGCAGAGGAGUUAAGUUCGCUUUUUUAUUUUGGGGUCAAGGGACUAUAUUUUAGGAGGCUCAUUUAUCUAAAGAGAUUAACACAAUAAAUUGAUAAAAUAUUAAAGGUAAUUUCAUAACUCUAAGUAAAAUAGUGAAUGACAAUAUAACUUGUUAAACAAAGUUCAACUAUUUUAUAUUAUUUCAUAUAAAAAAGUCAUAAUAGUUUGUCAAAUAUAUUUUAUCCCUGUCGAUAAUAUAUGUGUUAGAAUNNNNNNNNNNNNNNNNNNNNNNNNNGUGGUUAAUGUUACAAAUAUAUUUUUUACACAGAAAAGUUAGCAAUAUUUUUUUUAUAAUUGUUAUCCUCUCAUAAUAAAAAGAUUAAAUUCAUAAUUAAUUUUAUAAUAUAUUUAAUUCUUCUGUCGUCAGUAUUAAUAUUGGUUAUGAAAAUUUUUACUUAACCUAAGUGGUUCGGUAUUUCUUAUUUUUAUCACAUGCCUCCUACAUAUAUAAAUUGUACACUCUUUUUGUUAUGGCUUUUUUGGAUAGGAUGUUAUUUUGUCUAUACGGCCGCACUGGCAAAAUUAAAUUAUAAAUAGCUCUCUAACGGGUUAUCUUGUAAACUUGAGUCAAUUAAACUUAGAGACUAAAUAUUUUAUAAAAUAUAUAAAAAUUUUUACCAGGAAUUAUGACAUAUAAAAAAUAUAAAAGCAAUUUGUAGUUAGAUUUUGUAGUGUUAUGUUCGAUCAUUUCACGAAUUUAUAUUUUUUGUUUUGACUAGGAAAAAUUGCAUUGUGAUAUAUGAACACUUACAUACCAUUCAUAAUGAGAGAGUGAGUGAAUUUUAGACUAUGUACUCACUUUCUCUAGUUGAUGGGAGAACUUUUUUUUGCUGGUUACCGUGCAUAGCAUUUUGGCAUAAUCGGUCUUUUGGACUAUGUGGCAUUUCGUCCCGCAUCAUUAAACUCCCUAUAAUUUGUUUGUCUAAGAUGGCGGUGUCGGUGGUGUCGGUCCGGUUGUUGGACGUUCGAGUGUUGUGCGGAUGGACGGUACUCUCAGACAGGACUCCGCCUGUGCAGUUUUUGGCCCACGAUCGUCCCAAUUCAUUAAGGGUCCCGCAAGUCUAUAAGGUGGGUCUUUCUUUAUUAAAUCAUUUAAAAUAUAAACAAAAAUAAGUAAUGAAAAGAAAGUGCGAACCUUUUUUGCCUAAUGUUUCCUUUUGUUUGGAAGUUGGAUGGUAGGUUGAAAGGUGGACGACCUGAAAUAAAUUUUUCGUUAUAAGGAUUAAUUUGAUUUUUGUUGUUUAUGUCUCGGUACCGUAAGCAAAAGUAUUGUUUUUGAAUUUAAUUUGAGUUGAAACCGAAUACGCUUUCGUAAUUAUUAAAUUUUAUCGCUCGUAGUGUAGUAGGAAUAUUAAAAUAUUUAUUUAUAUAGUAUAUAUAUAUUUAUUAGGUAAAAGAGUUAUAUAUUUAAAAUAUAUUUAUUUAAAAUUAUUAUUAUUUUUAUUCAGUUUGCAUGAUUUAAAUAUAAUAAAAAUUUAUUAGUGUUAAGUUUUAAUACUUUCUUUAUUCAUUUUUGGAUACAAUUAAAUAUGAUAAAAAUUAAUUAAUUAGUAUUAAUAUUUUUUAUUUUAUAUUUUAUUGUUGCUAUACUAUGUAUUUAUCGUAUAAUUAUAUAUAUAUAUAUAUAUAUAUAUAUAUAUAUAUAUAUAUAUAUAUAUAUAUAUAUAUAUAUAUAUAUAUAUAUAUGAGUAUAGUAGCAUAGGAGAUCACUAUCAUCCUAACUGCACAUCCUUUAAUUAUAAGCAAAUUUUCUGAUAAAAUAAAUUAAUUUGAAAUUUUCGGUCAUUCAAUUCUCAUGGAAUAAGAAAAACUACCUCUCCCAGGUUGCUUUCAUAACUUGUUACAACAUUCGAACAAAAUUAAAUUGUUGAGCUUUAUUAUUUUAAUGUGUAAAGAUCAUAGUUUAAAAAAAUUGCUGAUGUAUUAGAAAAUCUAAAAGAAAAUUACAAUGGUAUAUUAUCAUUUGCUCAAUAUUUCAAAUUUUGUAUGCGCCUCUAAUGUCACACUUUAGGGGCUCAACUGCAGUAGUUGAACUUAUAUCUAAGUUAGCCGCAUAGUUAAUUACAACAAUUGACAGUAAUUUUGAACAAAAAAUAAGCGAAUGUAUUUUUUUUUUUCGACAAUAGAUUAAUCUCAGGUCUCGUAUAUAAAAUAUGAAAAUUUAUAAACACAGUCCUUAAUUACACGUAACUAAAUAUACUGUUUAUAGUUGUGGCAUUAUGUGCAACAUCUAAUCACGUAAAAUAUACAGUGCUGUAAUUAUUAUAUUUUUCAUAUUUUUGAGUGAAUAAAUUGCUAACUACACUAAAUUUACAAUUACAUCAAAUCCAGUAAAUCGCUAACCACACUAAAUUUUAGAUUUUUAAAUUUAGAUUUAAUCUUAGAUAUAAAAUUUAAAAUUUAGAAUUUUAAAUUUUCAAAUUUGAGAUUUAAAAACUUAGAUUUAAAUUUUAAAAUUUUGAAUUUAAAAGUUAUAUAUUUGAAUUUAAAAAAUUAUAUAUUUAAAUUUAAAAUUUAAAAUUAAAUUAAAAUAGAAGGGACCGCCCCAGCCCCCGCAUAUCAUUAUCUUUUCUCUUUAUAAUAUCCAACUAAUUCCCCCCCCUCUUUCCAUCUUUAUCUACUAAAUAAUAUUUUUUUAUUUUUAAAAAUAAUUUAAUUUUUAUAUAAAUAUAAAAUUAUAUCUACCAUUAAAAUAAAGAGUUUUUGGUUUAUAUUCGAUCCAAAGGACAACCUAAGAAUCUCGAUCAGGGGCAAUGAACAUACUUUAGCUGGAUUUGUAGGGGUGAUGUAGCAUAUUAUUCUCAACCGCUUACAAAAACAUCAUCAAGUAAUAAUAUUUGAUUUGAUAUGUGGUUUUUUCUCUCCUGCUUCUAUCAUCUCCUCCUAUAUAAACGAACCAAGCGAGUAAAACAUGAUAUAAAUGCGAAGAAAAGGACCAAAAAAAAAAAAAAAAAAAAAAAAAAAAAAAAAAAGCCAGCGCGAACGACGAUCACGCCUCGCCGUUGGAAGCGCCGUUAGAUGGAGUCCGGCGAAGGGCGGAAGAGGGAGGACGGCGCCGUCAGGCCGGUCGCACGUGAAGUACGACGCGGAGGUCGAAGAGUUCUGCGCUCCUCGCCGCAUCGCGACGCUUCGAGGGCGUCUCUCGACGCGCGUCGACUGACGCGAAACCGUCAGCGUGGGCGCCGUCGGGCGGGGCGCGGUGGGAGCCCGGCUUCGAGUGGGAGCUGUCGCGCGUUAGGCGAGGACGGAGCGACGAUCGCAGCUAAAGAUAAAAACGGGCGGCGGCGGCGGCGGCGGCGGACGGCUUCGGCGGCCGGGGAGAGCGCGGAGCGCGAGAAUCGACUCAACGCACGGAAUCCGGAAGGACAAUACGAGGUAGGGGACCCCGGUCCGUGAGGAUUACCGCUCGGAUGAGGUUAACCGCAUGAUGAGCGUAAUACAAUGCCGCGCAGUAGGGACGGAUGAGAUUAAGCGACUGACGAGAGAGGCGAUAGCUCGUGACUGCGGGUAGAUUAUUAGUUAUUUUUUCCCUUUUAAAGGACAGGAAAAACAAUGCCGGAUUGAUAAUGUGAAUAUAAUGUUUAUGAAAGGAAUUUCUAUUUUUAAUAUUAAUAUUAUUUAUUGAGACCUCUUUAAUUUUUAUCUUUUUUAUAUUUUGUAUGGUUCAUGAUGAGUCUUUUAGUAGUUAAUAAUUUUUAUCUUAUAAAUAAAAUAAUUAAAAUAAUCUAAAUAUUAAUAAAAUAGGUUUAUGAAAAUUACAAAAGAGCCUGAUCUAGGUAGUCAUUUCCUUCCAAAUAGUCUACAGUUAGGCGUCUUGCAUAUAGUGUAUGUAUGUAAAAAUUAAUUUUGAUAUUUCGUGGUAAAUGUUAAUUUCGGCUAAAUUACUUGCAUACUACAGUACACCAAAAUUGAAUCAGUCGGUAGCAUUAAGGAGGACGAAUUGAUAUAUUACAGAAAGAAGAAUAAAUAAUAAAUACUUUAGGCUGUAUAUGUAUGGACUAUUCAAACAUUUUCGCGCCCCGCAUGUUUCAACGCAAUUGUACGUAUUUUAAGUUAUACUGGCGUUGCGUGAUAGUGAUUUAUGUACAUAGUAAGUACAUCAUUAUUCCGCCUAUUGUUUCAUAGAUCUAUGAUAAUACUCAAGUUAUUUUUUUUUUCUUUUUUUCUUUGAAUGUGUUCCAAUAAACUUUUGCUUCUUUUACUAAUAUUUCAUAUUUAUGUAACUCUUAAAAAUUACUUUCUGGAUUUUGUACUUUCUCACAUUUAGCACCUAUAGUUUUAAAGUGUAUCACAGUUAUUUCUAUGCUUUUAUUUUUAUCUUUGUCAGCUUCUCCUGUUACAUAUUUUGUAAUUAUGACACAAAAAAUUUCAGGUACUGCAUUUAGGAUUAUCAAUAUUCACUUUUAACCUUUAGUUUUAGCGGUUUAUCACGAUUUAACAAAAAAAUAGGUAGAAUCGAUAUAAAAUAAAAUAAAAUACAUGACACUAAAUUGAUUACUUUAAAUUAUAAGGUGUACUAAAGUAAAAAAUAUGAAAUCAUAGGGUGGAAUUUAAAUUCCUGUUAGAUUUUUGCGGUACUUGCAGUUCUGUACGGCAGUUUUCAUCUAAAAAUCUAUAUUUUUUUGAAAGUCCAAAGUCUAGCAAACUGAGAUAGCAUUGACAAGCUUACCAAUGCUUUUAAAAGUUACAGCACGAAUAUACUUUUUACUUAAAAAAAAAAAAAGCUAAAUAUAUAUAUAUAUAUAUAAUAUAUAUAUAUAUUAUAUAAGAAAGAGAGGGAGAGAGAGAGAGAGAGAGAGAGGAGGAGAGUAGGUCUUGUGUGCUAUUAGGAGCACGGAGGCCUCCGUGCUCCUAAGCUGUUUUCGAUGAUGGAGCUUCUGAAUCGACGAUCAGCUUCAUUAGAUUUGAUCUAGCAUAUUUGAAGUACCUAGAAAAUAAAUUUUGUGACUUUUCAGUAUCAUUUUCCUAGCAACCGAAAGGGUUCAAAAUCAACAAUUUUUAAUAGUUGAUGUAUAUCGUUUGCAAGUUUAAUAAUGUAGAAGUAUUCAAAUCAGAUGAAAUUUUGAUUGAAAAUUCUUUAUACUAUUUACAGCAAGAUCAAUAUCUUUGAUCGAAAAUUUUAAUACUAUAUCACAAUUUUUUGUGAGAUUUUCAUUUUCAGCCGUUGAUUUUGAACCCUUUUGAUCGUUAGGUAAAUGAUAUCGAAAAGUCACAAAAUUUAUUUUCUAGAUACUUCAAAUAUGUUAGAUCAAGCCUAACGGAGCCGAUCGUCGAUUUGGAAAGCUCCAUCACCGAAAACGGCUUAGGAGCACGGAGGGCUCCCUGCUCCUAAUAGCACACAAGACCUACUAACUAACUAACUAACUAACUAUAUAUAUAUAUGUAUAUACAUAUAUAUGUAUAUACAUAUAUAUAUAUAUAUACACACAGCUCUUAGGAGCACGGAGGCCUCCGUGCUCCUGAGCCGUUUUCGAUAAUGAAAAUUUUGAAUCGACGAUCGGCUCCGUUAGACUUGAUCUAGCGUAUUUGAAAUUUCUAGAAAAUAAUUUUUGCGAGUUUUUUGAUUCAUUUACUAGUGAUCGGAAGCAUUCAAAAUCAAUAAUGUUAAUGGUUGAUAUCUACGUUUCUCAGUUAACGGUGUAGAAAUAUUUAAAUCAGAUGAAAUUUUGAUUACAAAUUCUUUAUACUAUCUGCAACAGAAUCAAUAUUUAAUAAACGAAAUUUUAUAGUACUAUAUCACCACUUUUUAUAGAAUUUUUAUUUUCAGUCGUUAAAAAUUAUUUGAUUUGAUCCUUUCGAUUGCUGGUAAAUGAUACUGAAAAAUCGCAAAAAUUAUUUUCUUAGAAACGUUAAAUACGCUAGAUCAAGUCUAGCGGAGACGAUCGUCGAUUCGAAGCUCCAUCAUCGAAACAGCUCAGGAGCACGGAGGCCUCGUGCUCUUGAGAGCACAACAGUCCUGCUCUCUCUCUCUCUCUCUAUAUAUAUAUAUAGAGUUGAGCUAGAAUACUCUCAGAAGCACAGGAGGUGGUGCUUUGAGUUUUUAACCAUUGGAUGGAGAUUUGUAGGGUUGAGAUGAUGGGCGGUGGUGGUGGUAGGUGAAAUAGUAUUUGAACCAAGGGUGGGGUAUUAGUAAUUAAGGAGUAGAUUCAAGUCUAAAAACUUAGAAGCACCAAGGAUUGGUGCUUCUAAAGUAUUCUACGUCAAUUUUAUAUAUAUAGAAUUGAGCUGAAAUAUGAUCUAUACACUUGAAGUUUAGAAAUCAAUUUCAUAUAUUUUCGAUAUUAUUCUCUAUCCAUCGAAUGGACACAAAAAUGAAUAGCUGAAAAUGAAUAUUCUUUAAAAAUUGAUGAUAGGAGUCUUGUAGUCAAGAUCAAGAGUAUAGAUCUUGUUUUAAAUAGUUUAAAAAAUUUUCUAAUAAAAAUUCAAUUGAUUUGGAUAUCUUUCACCGUUAAACGAGAAAACGCUCAUAUCGACCAUUAAAAUUACAAAAUUUGAAACCUUUGAUCAUAAGGCAAAUGAUGUCGAAAAGAUUUGAAAUUUGAUUCCUAGUAUUUCAAAUGGUAUAGAUCAUGUUCAACGGUGCCGAUGUCAAUUUGAAGCUCAUCAUCGAACAAAUGGAUAUAUAUAUUAUAUAUAUAUAUAUAUAUAUAUUAUAUAAUAUAUAUGCUGAUACUAUCAGUAAAUUGGAGGCCUCCGUGUUACCAAGUUGGUUUUAAUAAUGCGCUUCUAAACCGACGAUCGGCUCCGUUAGAUUUGAUCUACACUAUUGAAAGUAUUUGGAAACUAAAUGUCAUAAUUUUCGGUAUAAUUGAAACAAAUUUGAUAGCACAGAGCCGUCCGUGCUACCGAUAGUAUACCAGUCUAGCUGUAUUAUAUUCUAUCGAUAGCAUGAACGCUUGUUGUUGUCGAGUUUUCCGCCGUUAGAUUUAACCCUUUGGCUAUUUUCACACGUUAGGUUAUAGUAUUCAACCAUUAACUCACUUAACCCUAGAGAUCCAUAUCAUCCUAACAUACAUUUUAUAUCUAAGGGCCAAACCUAAUGGCACAAAUACCUUGGUGUUAUUGAUAAUACUCCAACCUAGUUAUAUAUAUUAUAUAUAAUAUAUAUAUAUAUAUAUAUUAUAUAAUAUAUAUAUAUAUAUAUAUAUAUAUAGUUAGGCUGCUCUAUCUAUCGGUAGCACGGGACUCCGUGCUACUAAGUUGUUUUGAUGAUACGCUUCUGAAUCGAUGAUCGGCUCGUUAGACUUGAUAUACACUAUUAAAAGUAUUUGAAAAUUAAAUUUCAUAAUUUUCGACAUCAUUUGUUGCUAUGAUCAAAAGGUCUCAAAAUUAACAAUUUUAAUGGCCGAUGUGAUACGUUUGUGAAUUUAACGGUGUAAAAUAAUCCAAAUCAGAUGAAAUUUUUAUAGAAAAUUCUUUUUACUAUUUAGAGUAAGAUCAGUACUCUGAUCUUAAAUUCAAGUCUUCUAUCAUCAUUUUUUAUGAGAUUUUUAUUUUCAGCGUUCAUUUUAGACUAUUUGUUUGAUAUGUAAAUGAUAUGAAAAUUAUGAAAUUUACUUUCCAAAUGCUUGUAGAUAUAGUGAGAUCAAGUCUAACGGCAGCGAUCGUCGAUUUGAAACCGCAUCAUUGAAAACACUUGGUAGCACGGAGGCCUCCGUGCUACCGAUAGUAUACCAGCUAUAUUAAUAUAUAUAUAUAAUAUAUAUAAUAUAUUAGUCUGGCUACUAUACUAUCAUGAGUACGAUCACUCUCGUACUCAUAAGUUUGUUUCAAUGAUAGAGUUCCCGAAUCAUAUAAUCCACACCGUUAAGCGUUAUCUAAGCAUUUAAACGUUUAGAAAUCAAAUUUAUAAUUUUUCGACCAUUUACCUUACGAUCAAAAAGCUCACAAAAUUGACAAUUUUUAACGGCUGGUAUGGAAUACUUGCUAGUUUAACGGUGCAAAAGUAUCCGAAUAUAUUGAAUCUUUGCUAGAAAAUUUUAUUCACUAUCUAGAUAAAGAUCAAUAACUCCGAUCUUAAAUUGAAGGAUCCAAUCAUCCAUUUUUAAGACAUCGUUCGAUUUUGACCGUUCAUUUUAUACCCGCUUGAUGGGCUUUAUUAUGAUUUCAAAAAAUUACGAAAUUAAUUUUCUAGCAGUUUCAAAUACUCAUAAUAGUAUAGUAGCCCUACUCUCUCUCUCUCUCUCUCUCUCUCUAUAUAUAUAUAUAUAUAUAUUAUUGAGCUAGAAUAUUUUUAGAAGCACCAAAGGGGUGCUUCUAAGUUUCUAGCCAUUGGAUCUACUCCUUGAAUACUAGCUAAUACCCCAUGGAUCAAAUACUAUUCCACCUACCACCAUCUACCACCAUCGUCUCAACCCUAUAUCUCUCCAUCCAAUGGUUAAAAACUCAAAAGCACCACCCCUUAGUGCUUUUGAAAGUAUUCUAGCUCAACUAUAUAUAUAUAUAUAUAUAUGACAUUCCUUAGAUUUUGAAAUUAUUUUAUAUAUAAGAUAUAAUAAGGUUAAACAUCUUAAUCCGAUUAUAGAAUUUUAGGCGAUAACUAGGUCCAAAAGACUAAUAGAGGUAAGCGUGUUACGACUAAUAGUUAGGUCCAAAAGACUAAUAGAGUUAAGCGUGUUACGACUAAACUAGCUCUAGAACAGAUGACAUUUCAGAAAAGCGAGGCGCCACUGUUGGUAUUAGAGUCAAUCAUUAAUCGAAAGUAUGAGAUGAGUUUCGAUUGAGUUAGAAUCAUACGGCAGGCAAAACGCAAUUCCCUGAGUGACAAUCGUGGGUGGAGGGCAAUUCUCUGACUAGCGAGACGAGUCCCACACCGUCUAAUACUUAUGAGUAUGCUUGAAUGUGACGAGGACAUCAGAACUUAAUGAAGAACAAAAUAUGACAUUCCUAAGAUUUGUAAUCGUCUUAUACACAACUUAUAAUAUGGUAAAACCUCUUAACCCAAUUAUAGCAGAAGCAUUUUGAGCAGUAAAUAGGCCGAAAGAUUAAGAGGAUUAAGCUUCUCAGAAUCAGAAUAAAUUUUUAUUGGAUGACCUCCUGAAUUAUGGGUCGUCACCGUACACAUAUCUAACAUUGCGUGCUGUAUACGAAAAGCACGCUGAGUUUGACAUAUGAGGUAUGAGAUACGCAAGAAUUUAAUUCAUUAGACCUACAACAUCAAUUAACGGCGAGAGAUUAGGAUUGGCUGUGACACGUGCUUUUCAUUUCCUCGCAAUGAGAUCAAAUGCCUCAACUAUGGUCCUAAUCUUUGCAUUUCAUCGUUAAUUACGCACUUGCCAUUAAAUCAUGCUGUUAAAUUGAAUGGAAAUGUCUACAUAUAUAAAGCAUCACAAUAGUUGUCUUGUAAUUGCAUUUGCACUUCUCAUUAGUGUAAAAACACAUUACUUUUUUUUAAAUUUUUUUUAUUACAUGUGCUUGGAAGUUACAUUGUGCUUACGUUGACAUUCAGAUUUUGUAAAUUAAGAACCUUUUUUUUUUUUCAAAACUUGAUUUUAGAAAAAUUUUAAUAUAAGAUAUCAAGUAUGAUGAGAGUGAAAGAAAAAUAAUAAAUGUAACGGAAAUGAAGUGCUAGAUUGGGAUGCUAUUAAUAACACUGAAUUUUUGUGCUUCGAAGUUAUUUUCGAUGAUGGAGCAUUCAAUUUGACGACUGGCACCACUGAAAGUGAUUUACGCAUAUAAAAUUUUUAGAUACCAAAUUUUAUAGAUUUUUUUACUUCAUUUAUCUAGUGAUCAAACUAUAUCAAAAGUGACAAUUUUAAGGGCUUUUUUUGCAAAUAGCCCCCAAAUAAAAUUCUUUUUUAAAAUUGGCCCUGUCAAAAAUUUAUUUGCAAAAAUGGCCCUGCCCCUGCCACGCAAGCGCCACGUCAGCGCCACGCGGGCGGGGCAAGAGUUUAAGUUGAACACGGUGAACCAUUCACCGUGUUCAAACACGGUGGCUGAAUCACCGUGUUCAACUUAAACACCUGGCCCCAGCCCCGCCCGCGUGGCGCUAACGUGGCGCUUGCGUGGCAGGGGCAGGGUCAUUUUUGCAAAUAAAUUUUUAACAGGACCAAUUUUAAAAUAAAAUUUUGUCAGGGGGCUAUUUGCAAAAAAAGCCCCAAUUUUAAUGAUAUGUAAAACAUAAUUCCUCAGACUAUGGAGAACUUGCAAUUUGGUACUCACAUUUUAAUUUUAGUAACUUCUUACUAUAAUCUAAAUUAGUGGACUAUAUGUUGAUAUGUUUGUAAUAUGGAAGUGGGGUGAGGUGACUAUACAUGUCAUAAGUGAUGAUGCAUUAAUAAUUAAAAUAUCAUAUCACUUUUUUAUUUUAGUUAUUCAUCGAUAAUUAAUGAAUUAAAGUAGGAGGUAAAACUUGACUGCAACAAUUUUAAAACUUCGUAGGAGGUAAAACUUGACUGCAACAAUUUUAAAAGUUCGAAUAAGAAGUUGCUAUAAAUUAAAGUUCAAGAAAUAAAGCGUCACAUGUACCAUAGUUUUACGACCAAAAUUGUGAUUUAGCCUUUUUUUUUUUAGUUAAUUUCAUACAGGUUCUUACAAAUAUAAUGAAUUACAAAUAUAUUCCUAUAAAGUUCAACUUUCAUAUGUUGUCCCUAUUAAAAUCUUGAUGUUUUCUAAUAUGUCCUUGCCGUUACGAUCCAUUAGAAAAAAUUAGCUAAUUAUAGGUAAAAUAUUUAAUUCUAGUUAGUUAAUGAGGUGAAUUGACCUUUUUAACCCUUUUUAAUUAAUAGUUGGGAUUUUUGGAGGGACAUAUUUGUAAUGAUAAAAAGGUCAUUUCACUUAUAUAAUAAACAGUGUUUUAACGGUAACAAAAUAGAGAGACAUAUUUAAAAAUAUUAGGACUUUUAUAAGGACAACAUAUGAAAGCUGAACUUUGCAUGAAUAUAUUUAUAAUUUAUUAUAUUUGUAGGGACAUGUAUGAAAUUAACCUUUUUUUUUUUAAGUCAAUGACUUUUCUACGGCACUUUGCUUUUAUUUGUAUGACUUGCUCAUAUGAAAGCUGCACUUUUUAGAAAUAUAUUUGUAAUUCACUAUAUUUAUAGGCUGCGUUUGGUUGGAGGGAUAUCCCAGAACAAGACGGCAUAUCCCUCUUUAUCCCCCCAAACACAAUGAAAAAUAAAACUUCGUAGUUGUUCCGGGCUUAACGGGUUGUUCCGGGAACAACCCGUUAAGCUUGUUCUCCCUUCCAUGGAGAACAAGGUGGAACUUCUCUUUUUUGUCUCUUUUUCUUUUUAUUAUGCCAUUUUAUUUAUUUUAUACUUUAUUUUAAUUAAUUUCAAAUAAAUUAAAUGAAUGCUCACAUUUAAUAAUAAAUAUAUUAAUAUAAAUAUUAUUUUUAUGAUAAUAUAUUUAUAUUUAAAUUUUAUUAUAUAAUAUAAAUUAAUGAAAUUUGAUAUAUUUUUUAUCUUAUUGAGUUUUAUCAUUUAUAUAUUAAUAUUUAAUUAUUUUAUUUUAUAUUAAGUAUUAUAUACAUAAAGUNACGGUAACAAAACAGAGAAAAAUAUUUAAAAAUAUUAGAACUUUUGUAAGAACAAUAUAUGAAAGCUGAACUUUGUAUGAAUAUAUUUAUAAUUUUUUAUAUUUGCAGGGACAUGUAUGAAAUUAACCUUUUUUUUAAUGACUUUUCUACGGCACUUUGCUUUUAUUUGUAUGACUUGCUUUGGCCUUUUGGUCAAUGUUUAAUUAAUUAACUUUAAAAUAAAAGGAGCAACAUAUGAAAGCUGCACUUUUUAGGAAUAUAUUUGUAAUUCACUAUAUUUACAGAAAUUUUUAUGGAAUUAAUAUUUUUUUUUAAUGACUUUUCUGCGGCACUUUGCUUUUAUUUUUAUGACUUGCUUUGGCCUUUGGUCAAUGUUUAAUUAAUUAACUUUAAAAUAAAAGAAGCAACUUCUUUUCAAUUAGAUAUGUUAUAAUAUCAUUGGCACGUUCUCCAUGGGAUUAAAUGCUAAUUAAUUAAAGUCUCCUUUAAGGAAGCAAUCCUAGGGUUGCAUAGAAUUGAUUUUUUUAUUUAAUUUUUUACUUUUUUUUAUUUAUUAUAUUUUACCUUAAAGAGCCUAGGUUGAUUGCGUUGGUCUUUAUAUUUAAUUUGUGGAAAAAUAAAGCAAGUCAUAAGUCCAAAAUAUGUCGUAUACAAUAGAACUGAUUCGACCGAAAAGUUUAAACAGUUUAAUAUAGAUUCGAUUACGCAAAGGCCCAGUCAAAAUAAUUACAAUAAGAAUAUGAUUCCUAGUGUUUAAUCUAUAAAAAUCGUAUUCCAAGAUGAAUAUAAUAGACAAAUAAAAAUAUGAAUAAUAUAUAAAAAUUUAAUUUGUUAAAUAUUGAAGGUCAGAACUAAACUCGCCCUCUCACAAAAUAGCCGACUAUAUUACCAAAACAUUAAGUCAAGGGUCUGCAUAGUUCAAUACUCUAUAUUUUCCACUAAAAAUAUUUUAAAUAUUUUUAAUUUGUUUCCUAUGUGUCUAAUUAAUUAAUAAACUUAAAAGAAAGAAAGGCAACUUUGUCACAAUUAGACAUGUUAUUAUAAUUGGGCUAAUUUUUUGGUAAAAAUGUAAAGAACUUAUCUGAAUUAUAAAUCAUUUUGAGUUAGCUAUCCAACUUUUUAAAAUUUCAGAUUUACUAUCCAGCCUUUCAAUUUACUUGAUUUAAAUCAGUCAACAGUGCUUGAACUUUAAAAUUUAAGCUAAUUACUUACUCUAAUAAAUUAUAUGUAGUUGUGAGAAUUGUAUUCACUAGACUAACUAAAUCUGUGAAGAUAGACGAUGCAUUCAAAUUUAGAAGUAAAAGUAUCGCCGGCUGACUUAAAUCAAAUAAAUUAAAAAAUUAGAUAGCUAAUUUAAAAUGGUCCAUAGCUCCAAUAUGUUUUAUAAGUUUUUAUCUAAUUUUUAAGAUUGGAUCGCUAACUCAAAAUGGUUGAGGGAUAAAGUAUGACAACGGUUCAAUUACUUAAGAUAUGACACAUAAAUUGGAACUUAUUGAACCGAACAGCUAAACAGCUAUAUAUAAAUGUGAUUACACAAUUAUAAAUAGCUAAACAGUGAAAUUCACCAACAAAGGAACAGCACAAAUAAUUCUGAGUUUAAGAAAAAAACAUUGUUUAUUUACAUUUCCAAACUCUGAGCUCGUAAAAUUUUGUCAAAUUUAAUCCGAAUGUUGAACUUGUGCUGUCUCACUGUAACGCCCCAAUAAUUCCACAUCGGAUGAAAAAAUAAUUCUGAUUAGAAUAUAUGAGGCCUAAUAAUAACUGGUCUUAAAUAUUUUAAGCCGAUGGUUUGGACCUAACGAGUUAUUAUUAUUAGCGGGUCGACUCGUUACAAUAGAUAUCAGAGUCGAAUACCACUGGAAAGUGUGAGAGCUAAGUGUUAUGCGGGACAAAUUGCUAUACUAACGAGUUUGGUAGGAGCUCUAACAUCGCUUGAUAAUUCUGACAUAUAUGUCUGUGGUCUGGAUUUGAACAGUCUAUGUAAUAACUAGAUUUAAAUAUUUUGGACCCAAAAUUGCCUGAUAAUUCUGACAUAUAUGUCUGUGGUCUGGAUUUGGACAGUCUAUAUAAUAACUGAAUUUAAGCAUUUUCGGCCCAAAUCACCUGAUAAUUCUGACAUAUAUGUCUGUGGACUGGAUUUGAACACUUCAUAUAAUAACUAGAUUUAAGUAUUUUGGCCCGGUGUUUUGGAUUCAACGAGUUAUUGCUGCUAACGGGUCGGAUCGUUACACUCACAAAAUGUCACGCCCCGAAUUACCACAUUUUUUCGGGUAUGCCAACAGACCCACUGUAUACAUAGGAAUUUUCCGUGUAUACGAAGCGAUAGCGGUACCUGUAAUCACAACAUAACUACAACCAGUAGUGUAGAGCUGCUAAACUGAAACCUGUAUAAAUAAAACAUAAAGGAGUUCUGGUACAUACAAAAGUCCACGACCCAACUCGCUCCAGCAAGUACAAUGACAACAUAACAGUAUGUACAAAGAAAGCCCCAAAACUAUCUCUGUAUGGUACUUCUCUAGCACUGCGACAAGACUGGUAGAGAUCUAGCUCGCGACGCCCUUCCCACGGUCCAAGUCAGCAACAACAGCAGCCGCAGACGAAGGCUCUGUUAAAAGGUGUUAACAACUGGGUGUGAGAACUACUAUAAAACAAAUAGUUCUCAGUAGGUACUGCCACCGACCUCAACGGCUCACCCACUAGGUCUACAGAAAAAUAUGCACAAGGAUAGUAAAGGAAGCUGGAAAAACUCUACAGCUACAUGCCACUAUACUAUCGCUAAAUACUACGAGUUAUCUGUAGAUAUAACAACAACAAUCUCUGACCCAAUCUUACUAGGGAUUGUGAUAUACCCAUUCCGCCUGUCGAAGCUACACCGUACACCACCCCGAGGGCUGCCGGUGGAGAGUAGAGUCCAAGAAGACAACUACAACAUCAACGCAAAGCAAAGUAGCCAGACUCUGGAGCGGCACUCUGUCGGAUCGUUGGCGCUAACCAUUAAUCCCAAAAGCUCAAGCUGUUAGAAAUACGCAACCAAUUCACUUAAAGCGUACAGAAACAUCGUCCACGGGUCUCGAUUGUGACUCGGCCCACCUGGCCUCACGCCACUUCGUAUAUGGCUCAGCCUAACCCAGCCUCACGCCAUUUCGAACAUGACUCAGCCUACAUGGCCUCCCGUCACAGGGCAGGAUGCUGGCCCAUUUAAGCGAACAAUCCCCCCUCCAACACCUGCACACAUUUGGAGCAUGCAGGAAUCGAACCCGUGACCUCUGGCUCUGAUACCACUUGUCGAAUCGUUGGUGCUAACCAUUAAUCCUAAAAUCUCGAGCUGUUAGAAAUACGCAACCAAUUCACUUAAAGCGUACAGAAACAGCGUCCACGGGUCUCGAUUGUGACUCGGCCCAUCUGGCCUCACGCCACUUCGAAUAUGCCUCGGCCCAACCCAGCCUCACACCAUUUCGAACAUGACUCGGCCCACAUGGCCUCUCGCCACAGGGCAGGAUACUGGCCCAUUUAAGCCAACACACUCGUGGGCGCGGCCCAACCAAGUAUACAAGCGUAUCUCUGCCGAGCUCAAUCAGGCUCUCACAGGCUGUAGUCAAUGCAAAUGGGUCUAACUGGUUUAACAACCAAAACUCACGUGCCCUUGGCACAAUCUGAUGCAAAUCUGGGUCUACUGUCAACCUCGACGCCACCCGACAGUACAAAAUAGUCUACACACUACUGUCAAACGACCUCGGCAUCUCAGCAUGAGUGUAAACUCAUUCUACACUAAUUUGGAUAUCCACCGCAUACUAAUAGUGGCAAUACAAAAGAACCACAGCUCCUAAAGCUAAAACUGGUAAUUUUUCAGAAAUGACAGUGUAGGGUUCAAUAUUUUUCUGCUAAGUCAAUUCCAAGUCAAACAUAUAAAACGAAACAAGAAUUUAAAGCUCCAACUCAGAUUUCAUAACAAACUAUGUAAAUCGGUGAAUUGAGCUACUAACAUGAUAUUACACAUGAAAUACACAUGCUGACAAAAUCUCGGCUUAGGAGUAAAUCCGACAAUUUCGGUAAAUUUCAACCCACCUCGAAAAGCUUGUCUAACCACGGCGAGAAGUCGAAAGGAGGGGAUCCACGCGCUCGCCCGGCCUCCAACGGCGCAACCGCUAUGCACACACGCUCGAACGACCCUCCGGAUCAAUAUCAAAAUCCACCCGAGCUCGAGCCGUGACCUCCACCACGAGCGAUGUCCAAAACUAGAGAAAGAGAGGGAGUAGCAACAAAACCUCCCCUCAGAGCUCUCUACAAGUAUAAAAGGGCUGAGGAUAAACAUUGGGGUGAACGUCGCUUCAAAAGACCAAACUACCCUUACCUACUCAAAAAUCCAGCUGGAGUACCAGUACUCCACUUGAAUACCGGUAGUCGGGCCUUAAGCCCGCAGCCUCGCACAGUGGGUACCGGUACCAGCCCGAUGCAGUACCGGUCCCCGGGCUCGAUACCGGUACUCGACAGGUCAGUACCGGUACUCAGCAUCAUCUCACGCAAACCCGAGAGCAUCCUAUUUUGUAAUCCCACUGGAGUACCGGUACCCUUCUCUGGUACCGGUACUCAAUACUGAAAUCCUGCACUUUGCGGAUUUCAGUGUCAGAACUCCACUCUCGCCUCGCGUUGAGUCCGUUUUGCGUUCAUUUCGCGCCAAAACGACUCCAACUUGUUCCUAUACUCUCACGACGUGUCGACAAGUCUCAGAUGCUGAAAUCUUAUACUAUAACAAAAACGGUCUAUAGCGACACUUUUAAAUGUCGGUACAGGUUAAAAAAAGUGCUGCUGGCUAAAUUACCGACACUUUUAAAAAAUGUUGCUAUAUGUGGAGUCGCUAGGUAUAUAGUGACAAUUAAAGAGUGUCGCUAUAACCUAAAAAGAGUGCUGCUAAUUUAGCAAUACUUAUUUAAGCAUCUAGCAACCGCCGGAACUUUACCUCGUUAGUUGCGGUGGCGGAGGAGGACGAAAGGGAAGGGGCCUUUCGUCUAGCAUUUCAGUGGAAUGAGUGAGAGGAGAAGGGGAGAUGAUUUUUUUUUAUUUUUUCUUUUCUAUUUGUAAUCGGGUCAAAUGGGCUGGGUUGGGUGGGUUGAGUAGAGUAACUUUUUAUUUUUUCUUGGAUUCGGCUUUAUAUUUAGACAUUAGUAGAUUUUUUUUUUUAAUUUUGGCAUAAAUAGGAUACUUAGACAAAAAUGUCCCAAACAUGUAUCGUUAUAACUUAAUUUUGUUGUAGUGUAAUUACGGGCAACCAAACACCAAGGACACAACACAAAAUUUGACUCCGUCAUCUUAUUACAACCAAUAAUUAGUUAAUUAAUAUGAGGAGAUUGUUGCCAAUUUGAAUUGACUCAUAGCCUUCUAUGUUAUUAAGUUCUAAUUUUUUAAGUUUUCUUCAUUUAUCACGGCAAUUCUUAGUGUAUAAAUAAGUCAAAUAUUCCCCUUCACAUGUCAAAUAUGAAUUUUAAGAAGACUCAUAACAACAACAACUAGUAUUAUUAUCAUUAAGCUCAAACCUUUAGCUCAAAAUAUUUAAUUGUCUUUUUUGUAUUGGCGUGCGGCCAUCUAAACUCAUUAGAUAAAGUGUACGUAGUUAGAGUAAAAAUACAUAUAGAUACGCUUCUCCAUUUUCAAAUAGCACUAUAAAAAAUAUAUUGUAACUGACUCACUGUGAUAUCGCAAUGUGAUAUUUCGUAAAAAACUAAAAAUGAGUAUUGUGUUUUGUUUUUGAGAGAGAAAAAUGACGUGUUAUCUACUUUAUUUAUUAUUUUUUUAAUAAAUAAACUUAGCUAGAAAUGUGAAGUUAUUUUACUUUGAAUUUAAAAUCUCGAAUAUUAAUCACAGUGUAAUACUUUAUUCGUUGUCCUUCUCCUCGUAACAGGAUAUUUUUUUAAUUGUACUUUCUCAUUAUAUAUAAUGUGUUGGAAAUAAUAGGGCAGCGGAAACUUACAAACUGGAUAGCCAACGUAUCCGGGAACCCGAAUCGAAUUGGAUUGCUUGUUUUACAAGCUUUUUUGGAUCGUCCUUGUCUCGAUGCUUCUGGAUCUCCCACGUUUCUCGCCUUCUCCCACGCCUACGCCUUACGUCACGGAUCGGGUGCGUCGAAUGCGGAUGGGAUGCAACGGAUGUCAAUCGAAGAGGUCUACCAGAGUCCUCUUCUAUGUCCACGCUCCAAAACCCCGAGAACGUACAUGGAAAUCACAGAGAGGAAGAAAGGAAAAAAUGAGGAAGAUAUUUUGUGGAUUAUCGAAUUAGAUCGUAUUCGAUCGUCUCUCUUUCGGGAGAGAAAAGGGGGCGUAUAUAUAGAAUAACGGAACCUCUAAAUAUCAUGAAUCUCAUAUAAAUUAGGAUGAGGAUUAGGAUAUCUAUUAACAUAUAAUAGAUAUCCACUAGUAGAUGCGUUUCUUAACUGAUAAGAAACAUAUGAUUCAUUCUUAUCCUAAACUUAUUAGGAUAAAUCAUGAUCCACGUCUUAUGUGGAUUGGGUUAUAUCAUAACCCGCCAAUGUGGACACACCAUAUGGCAACAAUCUCCCACUUAGCCACAUUGGCCAAUUUUCUCUGACUUAUUCAUCUCUUCAUACGGGUAAUGGGGCGUGCGACCUGGCGAAAGAAACACAUGCAGGAGUGCUAUAUUAAGUCACCACCCAACUAACAUAGCACAUCACUAACUUAAUUCGUCUAUGCCCUAGACGUUUCAACACACACCGGAUCAAGCAUCACAAAGUCCCUCUCCUGUAAUGACGGGGCUCGACCCCACCGUUAUUUCUCGUACUCAUGAUUAUCUCAAGUAACAUAACCAAGAUAACCGCUCGGGUAAUGAGUCACAAGACUUACGUGGUGUGUUAUCGAAAUAUCUUCCUCAGCCCCUCACGUUAAUCCAUAUUGGCCCAAGCACUUUACUAGACAUGCUCCGCAAGAUCGUAUUUUCUCAUGACCCUGAGAUACACGCUAAGUUAGUUACUUUGGACGUCCACUUCAUAUCGUAGUUCUAAGUCGAGGGCACAAAAGGGUUAGUGCUCACACAGUGACAUAGAGGGAAGAACUUAUGUCACUCUACUAACUGGUCGACAAGCACAUAUAGUAUGAUAUGUAUGCUAUGGCGGAGCUCCCACUCAAUGGCUCAUGUCACGCUCUAAAGAAAACGCCAUACGAACCUUGGUCUAGGUACCACUAAGGUAUCUAACCACCACAACUCAAGUCAUCUCUCUAACCUGAGUACUUAGGUUCGGCUACUAUACAGGCUCGAUAUAAAAUUUCACAAAAACUUUCAUAUCCAACACUUUAGAAUCUCAUCUUAAACUAAUUAAGGCGACUUUAAAUUAUAUCAAUACUUCAUUCAUAACAUAUAUGAACAAAGUAAUCAUAUUACAACUACUCAAGUUUAAUAUGAUUAUCUAGUCUCAUCCUGCUCACCACUUAGGUGCCAGGGCGAUCACCCGUGUGAGUGGGCUGAUCUGAGCCUGGUGACUUAUCGAAUAUGUGCCUACUAGUAUUAAUUACGCAAUCACAUUAAAAGAAGAAAAACAUAUUUUUAUUAAUAAAGCGUAAGAUACAAAAUAAUGUCCAUAUCAAAACCUACGAAGACCCAAACUCCUAACGUGGGUCUGAAACAUAUCCCUAGCUAUCGGCUUCGGCAACGGAUCAGGCACCAUUCUAGUGGUGGAGAUAUGCCUAAGAAUGACCUCGCUUAGCCUGAUCAUGUCUCAAAUGUAGUGAAAACGGAUAUCUAUAUGCUUUGUCCUGCCGUGAUACUUGGGAUCUUUCACAUACUCUAGGGCAGCCAUGCUGUUAGAGAACAUCUCAACAGGUUCAUUUGCUCGAGUCACGAUGUCGAGAUGCUGGAGAAAUCUCCUCAGCCAAACAGCCUCUUGAACGGCCACUGAACAAGCAACGUACUCCGCUUCCAUGGUUGACAAGGCAAUAUGGCUCGCUUCUUACUGCACCAAGAAAUUGCCCCACCUCCAAGCAUAAACAUAUAGCCUGAAGUGGACAUGCGUUCAUCUCUAUCACCGCCCCAAUCAGCAUCACUAUAUCCUUUCAAUCUCAAGUCCCCAGCUUGGAAGCAGAGAACGAGAUCACUGGUUCCUCUUAAAUAUCGAAGGAUUCUCUUGACCGCUUGCAAAUGAAUGGGUCCCAGGUUGCUCUAGUUAAACCAACAGCGAAACAAAUGUCAGGUCGAGUACACAUCAUAGCGUACAUCAAGCUGCCAACAGCACUCGCAUAAGGAACUUUACUCAUUUGCUCCUUUUCUUUAUCCGUUUUAGGACACUUAUCAAGAGUUAGAGUGUGAUUCUUCUCCACUGGAGUGUCAACGGAUUUACAAUGAUGCAUCCUAAAACACUCUAGAAUCUUUUUAAUAUAAGUUUCUUGAGACAAACCAAGAAGCUUCCUAAAGCGAUCACGGAUGACCUUCACUCCGAGCACAUAGCUCGCCUCACCUAUGUCUUUCAUUUCAAAAUUGAAAGACAACCACUCCUUAGUGGUAUUGAUUAACUCCAUGUCAUUUCCAGCCAAUAGUAUAUCGUCGACGUAUAGAGAGAGAAACAAAAUUCCAUUCUCUGUCUUCUUGACAUAUACACAGUGGUCCUCCUCUAUCAUGGACAUACCGAUAGAGGUGAUGGCUUCAUGAAACCUGAAAUACCACUGUCUCGACGACUGCUUGAGACCAUAAAUGGAUCUUUUAAGACGACAAACUUUGUCUUCUUGACUUUUGAGUAUAAAACCCUCAGGUUGAUCCAUAUAGAUCUCCUCCAUCAAUUCUCCAUUGAGAAAAGCUAUCUUGACAUCUAUUUGGAACAAUUCUAAAUCUAGGUGUGCCACUAAGGUUAGAAUCAAACAAACAGAGGCAAAUCGCACAACGGGAGCAAACGUCUCGUUGUAAUCUACCCCUUGCCUCCGAGUGUAGCCCUUGGCCACGAGCCGAGCCUUAUAUUUAUGUAGUGUUCUUGACCUUUGGAUAGGAUUGGCUUAGUAUUAGUGACUGGUCGACAUCUGGAGAGUGUCGGACUGAGUUGGAGUCAAUUCUGCACGAAUUGGAUGUAGAAUUGGACUCAGCGCACUCAAAUAGGCAAAACUGGAGUUUUGCCAGAUUCGGGCGCCCAGAACAUUUUAGGGUCGCCCAGAACUGAGUGUUGAAUUUAACUGAAACUGGAAGCCAAUUCGGAUCCCAUGUUCCGGGCGCCUUGAUGUGGGUCCGGAAAUUCGACAUCGUGAAUAUCGCUUGCUUCGACGCGUGGCAGGGCGGUAGGUGAGUUCCACUGGAGCCAUUUACGGGCGCAGCACACCGCGAGCGGAGAGUCCGAGGAGCCCGGUUUGUGCAGUCGGGAUGUUCUAGUCGCCCAGAACAUGGUUCCGGGCGCCCAGAAAUGCCCGUUUCUGCAGGGACACUGGAUAGCAGCUUGAGUUCCUGAGGCUUUUUGGAUCACUCUAACUCACUAUAAAUAGAUGGAAUGCGCCCCUUUGCUGUUCUUUUCCUCCCUUCUUCACAGAGAAGUCCCUUUUAGAAUCUCUACCCUCGGAUUUGCCUCAAUUUGCAUCAAACUUCCAUUGAUCCAGCUUGAUGGAGUGCUGAUUCUGCAGUUCUUCAGCAACGACCUCCAGUGUUUUGGCUCGUGCGCGACGUAGGAAGGUCGGAUUUUGACGAAACUUGGUUUGCUGGAUUUUAGACUUCUAGAGGAAUCUACGAAGCCCUGAAUUGCAGAUUUUGGUUGAGGUUAACUUGGUCAAACUGAGGCUUUUCUAGACUGCUGUUGACCUUGAGCUGAAAAUGGGAUUUUUGAGCUUUUCUUGAUGCUAUCUUUGUUGGCAGUGGGAUUUUGGACCUGAGAUUGAUCACCCAUCAGUAGUGGCUGGAUUUGGAUCUGUCCUCACCAGAUUUAGAGAUCAUUAGGUGAGUUUUGACAUUGGAAUUGAGAUAAUUAAGCUUAAGUGCUGAAAUUUUUGGUAAAUUGAUGGUUUUUAUUGAAUUUUUGGGUGAAUUGUAAAUCCAGAUCUUGAGGGGCUUUGUUGCUGGUUUGGAGGUGUUUCCAGCAGUGUUGCUUGUGAUCCGAGACCAUCUUGCUGCCAGGAGUUGCACUAGAGGUGGGUGUAUCAUCGGUUUCGCUCCUAAGUGCAUGUUUAGUCGACGUGUAUAGUUCGAUUUUUGUAUAUCAUGCUUUAAUUCAUCGAUUAGCAUCUUGAAUGUAAUAUGAAUGUAGAAGCAUGCUGAAAUGAAUAUUUAUAUUAUACAUGUUGGACUUGAAAUUUGACUUAGGAGAAAACCUGCGUUUUGACCCGUCAUAUGCUUAAACUACCAGAUUUAGCUCUAGGAGCCGUGAUUCGAUUGUAUCGUUGCAGUAUCAGUGCGAUGGAUACCUGGGGUAGUUUAGAAGGCAUUUACGCUCGUGCUGGGGUGCCGAGCUUAUUUUUCAGCAGAGUUUAGGCUGUUUCGGGUCGUUGGGUGCCGUUCGGGUUAGCGGUGGACCCAGAUUCUUGUUUUGGUCACAGAUUGUGCCGAGGGCACGUGGGUUUGGUUUGUAGACCUGUUUUGACCCUGUUUACUUGACUUUGGCUAGUUGGAGCCUGAUUGAGCUCGACAGAGAUACGCUGCAUACUCGGUUGGGUAGCGCCUACGAGUGCCACUUCGGAGUCAGGCUUUGUGCUUUCGCAUUGGUGUCGCUUAUGCCAGUUGGACUUGCUCUCCACGGACUAGUUAGUGUGGAUAGAGCCCGAUAGUCGCAACGGGGCAGGGACGGAUGUAUUCACAGUCCCGAGGACGGGUAUGCUUACAGUCCCGAUUUGAUUGGGUCAGAUUGGACAUUUUCUACAGUUGGUUAGUGUAGAGCAUGAUAGAGUAGUGUUUGAUAGCGGUAGACUUUAUUCCUGCAUUUACUACUAUUUUUGCUCCCUUCUAUAGACUUAGUGGGUGGACCGAUGUUGUUUUGGGCGGUACCCACUAAGGACUACUUGUUUUUACAGUAGUUCUCACGCCCAGUUGUUACCUAUGUUUUUGCAGAGCCACAGGUUCCGGCUGCUGCACCGUCUGCGGACCAGGAUCGAGGCAAGGGCGUCGCGAGUUAGAGCCCUACCCGACGUGCUGAGCUAGAGGUGCCCUACUGCAGGUAGAUGUUUUGUUUCGAGUUUAUGUACAUAGUUGACUUAACUCGCCAGUGCGAGUAGCUCUGUAUUUUGGAUCUGAACUAUGUAUAUGAAACUCUGUUUUAUUUAGCUUCUGUUUUCUCUAGCAGCUCUCUACUACUGUUCGUAGUAGUGUUUGAUUUACAGGUACAGCUAUCGCUUCGUAUACAGGGAAAAUUUCUUUGUAUACGGCGGAUUUGUCGGCGUGCCCGGGGAACGUGUAAUCCGGGGCGUGACAGAUUAAGUUGGUAUCAGAGCUUUGCUGUAGGUCGUGGGGACCUAGGAAACCUAAGUUUGGCAAACCUUAGGGAAGCAAGACGUGAGAGGCGUAAUUUUAUUGCGAAAGUCAAUGAUUAUUUGUUUUAACUCCUCUUAGAGUAGAGUGAGUGACUGAAGGAGUUUCUGUUUUGGCCUGAGAAAUUAUGUUGGCUGCAGACGACAUAAUUUUGGAGGAAAACAGGGACCGCCUUCUAGACUUUCGUUGAUUGGGUCGAGAGUGUUGCGUUGUAUCUGACCCCGAUUUGUUCCUUUCAGCUAUGUAUCGUCGCCGAGGUCGACCGUCGUUGCGGGAGCGCGCCCAGUUGGCGCGGGAUCAUGCUGGACCUUCUGAGAGAUCUGAGCAGAUGGAGCAGAGUACUCGGCAGGAGCAGGGUGACAGACUGGGGGCGAGUGUACCCCCUGUUGUGGAGCCGAGUGCGCGACCAGAGACUAGCGCACCCCCUGAUUUGAGUGCACAGUUAGCUGCCCUGACCGAGGUGACGAGACAGCAGGGGGAGUUAUUGCAGAGGUUGUGUGAGAGGAUAGCUCAGCCACCGAGUUCAGCACCGAGAGUACCAGAGUCGCCAGUGCCACCCCCGACUACUCCAGUGACCGCACCAGCUGCAGCAGUUCCUCCGUCGGCAGCAGUUCCAGUAGCGCCAGUUGCGCCUGCUAGGGGGCCAGUACCGUUGACUGAGGCCGAGCAGGAGCGGUGGACGGAGAGAUUAGCUCGUUUUCGCCGAUUUGAUCCACCGAUCUUCGAUGGCAGAGGCACUGAGGCCUGGAUUGUUGAAGGAUGGGUCAGUGCGAUGGAGAAGUUAUUCGAGGAUCUGUUUGUUCCAGAGUGGGAGCAGAUACCUCUGGGAGUACACUAUCUAUCAGGUGAUACACAUGAUUUGUGGCAGAAAGCGAGGCGAGACCGGGGACUGGUGGCGACGCAGCUGAGGUGGGAUGAGUUCUGUGGAAUGCUGUAUGGGAUGUAUUUUCCCAACAGCAUGAAACAGAAGAUCGAGGAGGAUUUGAAGAGGAUCCAGCAGGGUGAGCGGACAGUUCAGGAGUACGUUCGGGAGUUUACUAGGUUUCUGAAUUGUGUUCUGUUCGUGGCCAGAGACGAGACACAUAGGGUUUACUUGUUUGAGCAGGGUUUGAGACCUAACCUUUUCAGGUUUGUUAGGGCGCAGAGGUCGAGGACUCUGGAUGCGUCCAUUGAGCAGGCAUUAUGGGAGGAGAGAGGAGAGGUGUCGCUCAGAGAGAGGGCUCAGGGGCCGGGACUGAGCCAGGAUAGGAAGCGCCCAGCUCUAGACGACGGAGGCCAGUCGAGUAGCAGACGUCCGCCGAGGCCUCCACGAUCUCGUUCUCAGGGUCGUGGGUUCUCGGGACGCCAGCGAUCCAGGGACUCUCGUCAGAGGGGACAGCCAGAGAGGACGCCGCAGUGUGUGAUAUGCGGAGGACCACACUGGCCCAGACAGUAUGAGCAGAGGGAGAGCCGGUGCUACGGGUGUGGUCAGCCGGGACACAUGAGGACAGCUUGUCCUCGAGCAGCAUCUCCAGCACCAUCAUCAGCUUCAGCUCCACCAGCACCUCAGCAGUCAUUCAGAGCAGCACCACCGAGUUACCACCAGGAGGAUAGGUCGUCCGAGCCGCGACAGGGUGAGUGGCGACAGUAGGCUCAGAGUGGCAGAGUUUAUGCAACUCAGGUGGAGGACUCUUCAGCAGCCGACCGAGUGGUGGCAGGUAUCACUUUGAUUUUCGGCAUUUGUACUCGUACUCUUUUUGAUACUGGAGCUUCGCAUUCCUUUGUUUGCCGAGCAUUUGCAUUGUUGCAUGGUCUAGAGUUAGGAUCCUUGUCACAGGCACGAGAGGUGCAGAUCCUCGACCAUGUCUUGCAGGUUACAAAGUGUUGUUGGUCCUGUCCGGUGCAGUUAGACUCUUGGAUCAUGCCCGCAGACCUGUUGGUGUUAGGGUAGCUGCAGGACUUCGACGUAGUGCUCGGUAUGGAUUGGCUGGCGCGGUACUAUGCUACUAUCGACUGUGGAGCGAGGAUUGUGACGUUCCGCGAGCCAGGCCAGGAGGAGUUCACCUUCAGAGGCUGUAGGAGCACGUUGUUUGCCACUUGGAUAUCUUCGGCGAGGGCUCGACAGCUGAUGAGUAGAGGAUGUGUUGCUUUUCUAGCGAUUGUAACAGAGGUGCCUACGGCGGCGCUGGGACUCGAGGAUAUCCCUAUAGUCCGCGAGUUUCCGGAUAUGUUUCCCCCGGAGUUGAUGACGAUGCCGCCGGAGAGGGAGAUUGAGUUUGUGAUUGAUGUAGUUCCUGGAACUGCACCAAUCUCAAAGGCACCUUAUAGGAUGGCACCGGCAGAGCUGAGAGAGCUAAAGGCGCAGCUUCAGGAUCUGAUGGAUAGAGGGUUUGUGAGACCCAGUGUGUCGCCUUGGGGAGCGCCGGUGUUAUUUGUAAAGAAGAAGGAUGGUUCGCUCAGGUUAUGUGUUGAUUACCGGGAGCUGAAUAAAGUGACCAUCAAGAACAAGUAUCCUCUGCCGCGCAUUGAUGAUCUAUUCGAUCAGCUGCAAGGAUCUUGUGUCUUUUCGAAGAUUGAUCUCCAGUCAGGUUACCACCAGCUGAGGGUGAGGGCCGAGGAUGUUCCCAAGACGGCUUUUCGGACUCGGUACGGGCAUUAUGAGUUCACGGUGAUGCCUUUUGGAUUGACGAAUGCCCCUGCCGCAUUCAUGGAUUUGAUGAACAGAGUGUUCAAGCCGUUCUUGGAUAGGUUUGUGGUAGUCUUCAUCGACGAUAUCCUGAUUUACUCCCGGAGUGAUGCUGAGCAUGAGGAGCACUUGAGGAUUGUGCUACAGCUUCUGCGCGAGAAGAAGUUGUAUGCCAAGUUAAAGAAGUGCGAGUUCUGGCUACGGGAGGUUGCUUUCUUGGGCCACGUGAUUUCAGCUGAGGGCGUAGCAGUGGACCCGAAGAAGAUUGAGGCGAUUCGAGAUUGGCCUAGACCGACGACGGUUACUGAGGUACGGAGCUUCCUGGGACUGGCAGGAUAUUACCGUCGGUUUGUGGAAGGCUUUGCGAAGCUUUCCACACCCCUCACACGCUUGACGCGGAAGGGGAUUCGUUUUGUCUGGAGCGACGACUGUCAGAGGAGCUUUGACGAGUUGAGAUUGAGGUUGAUGUCGGCUCCUAUCCUUGCCCUUCCUGUUAUGGGCGAAGGAUUUGUGAUCUACAGUGAUGCAUCGCACAGUGGACUUGGUUGCGUGCUGAUGCAGCAUGGUAGGGUGAUUGCUUAUGCUUCACGGCAGUUAAAGGAUUAUGAGAAGAAUUACCCUACGCAUGACUUGGAGCUUGCCGCGGUGGUUUUUGCUUUGAAGCUCUGGCGGCAUUACUUGUACGGCGAGCACUGCGAGAUUUUUACUGAUCAUAAAAGUCUCAAGUAUCUGUUCACCCAAAAGGAGUUGAAUUUGAGACAGCGCCGGUGGUUGGAGUUGCUGAAGGAUUAUGACAUCAGUAUCCAGUAUCAUCCCGGCAAGGCGAAUGUGGUGGCAGAUGCGUUGAGCAGGAAGGCAGUGCAGAGCUUGAGUAUGUUGAUCACUCGGCAGAGACCGUUACUCGAGGAGCUGAGACGGCUGGGACUCGAGGUAGUGUCUCCUGGGUUUACUGCGAGAUUGACGUCUAUGAUCUUACAGCCCACUCUGUUGGACAGGAUUCGAGAGAAACAGAGUGGGGAUCCACACUUGUCGAGGAUUCGAGAGCAGCUUGAGAGGGGACAGGCCGAGGGCUUUGUUGUGGACAGUUCGGGAGUACUGCGGUACAGGGACCGACUGUGUGUACCUAUGGAUUCAGAGAUCCGAGAGGACAUCUUGAGAGAGGCUCACUGUUCACCUUAUACGGUUCACCCCGGUGGAACCAAAAUGUAUAAGGAUUUAAAGGCUCAGUUUUGGUGGAAUGGAAUGAAGAGGGACAUUGGUAGAUUUGUGGCUCAGUGUCUGACUUGUCAACAGGUAAAGGCCGAGCAUCAGGUACCUGCUGGCAAGCUUCAGAGUCUACCAGUGCCCGAGUGGAAAUGGGAGCAGAUCACGAUGGACUUUGUCGUCGGAUUGCCUAGAGCACAGGGUGGUUUUGAUGCGAUUUGGGUGAUAGUGGACAGACUGACCAAGUCUGCUCACUUCUUACCAGUGCAGACCACUUGGUCCAGAGAGAGACUCGCUCAGUUGUAUUUGGAUGAGAUAGUGAGGUUGCAUGGCGUGCCCACUUCGAUAGUAUCCGACCGAGACCCGAGGUUCGUCUUGUACUUUUGGAGGAGUCUUCAGACGGCCUUGGGCACUGUCUGCCACCACGAAUGACGUACCUCGCACGGUCGAUGAAUUUUCGGUGCGUGGGGUAGUAUUCAUGAUUCAGAUGAGUAUUUAUAUGUAUGUGGGUAUCAGGUUUUGCGGGUCCAUGGCUUCCAAUAGAUGCAAGCAUCUAUUGUUAAUUACCCCCUGUAGAUUGGGGUACCUUCGAUUAGGAGACCUUUAUAGAUGGGAUGAGAUGAAUCGCGUCUCGGUUUAUUGAAUCCUAAGUAUAUGUAUUAGGAUUCAGUUAGAUUUGAGGUUGAUUAGGCCCUAAGUAUAUGUGUUAAGACCUGAUCGAUAUUAAACUCUAUGUAUUAGAGUCUAAUUGGUUCAUGAGAUAUGGGUGUGAGAUCUGGGCAUUGGUUCAUAAGAUUUGGGUAUUGGUUUAUGAGAUUUGGGUAUUGGUUCAUGGGAUAUGGGCAUUGGUUUAUGAGAUUUGGGUAUUGGUUCAUGGGAUAUGAGUAUUAGGUUGGAUGUAUGGUUCAUGGGAUUUGGUCCAUGAGGUUUGGUGUAUGGUUUAUGGGAUUUGGUCCAUGAACUUGUUUUUGGCUCAUGGGAUUUGGUCCAUAAGGUUUGGUUUUGGUUCAUUUGGGUUCAAGUUUGGGUUUAUUUGUGGGUUUAUUUGUGAACUAGGUUUGGUUUGGAUUUGUGGUCCGUACGUGAACUUGAUUUGCAAUUUGGGUUCGCACAUGAACUUAAUUUGCAGUUUGAGUUCGUGUAUAAACUUGAUUUGCAAUUUGAUUUGGGGUCCAAAGAAAUCCCCUUUUGGUUUUGCAAUUAGAUUUGGGGUCCGAAGAAAUCACCUAUUGAUUUUGCAAUUGAAUUUGGGGUCCAAAGAAAUCCCCUUUUGAUUUUGCAAUUGAAUUUGGGGUCCGAAGAAAUCCCCGUUUGAUUUGAAUUUGAAUUUGAUCUUCAAAUUUGAUUUGGUUUGGGGUCCGAAGAAAUCCUCGUUUGGUUCUGAUUUGGGGUCCGAAGAAAUCCCCGUUUUGAUUCCAAUUCGGGGUCCGAAGAAAUCCCCGUUUUAAUUUUGAUUUGGGGUCCGAAGAAACGAGGAAUCAAAGAUUCCCCUCCCCUCUUCUUGCGAUGCUGCGGAUGACGUCGACGAAGUUGAUGACGGUGGCGUGGAUCUGUUCGGCCAUCGGAUUUGAUUUGACAUUUUCGAAUAAGUAUUGAAGGGUCCGAAGAAACGGGGAAUCAAAGAUUCCCCUCCCCUCUUCUUUCGAAAAUAUCAAACCGGCGAUGCUGUAGAUGUCGUUGGGGAUGGUGGCGUGGAUCUGUUCGGUCGGCAAAUUUGAUUCAAUAUUUUCAAAAUGUUUUGAAGGGUCCGAAGAAACGGGGAAUCAAAGAUUCCCCUCCCCUCUUCUUUUCGAAAAGAUCAAAACGGCGAUUGUAGAUGUCGUCGACGGAGUUGUUAACAGUGGCAUGGAUCUGUUCGGCCAGCAAAUUUGAUUCGAUAUUUAUCGAAGAAAUGUUGAAGGGUCCGAAGAAACAGGGAAUCAAAGAUUCCCCUCCCCUCUUCUUUCGAAAGUAUCAAACCAAACAUGCUGGAGAUGGUCGCGGCAAUGUAGAUCAUCCAUUCCAUCAUCAACGACUUCGAAUGGGGUAUUGAGAGGUCCGAAGAAACGGGGAAUCAAAGAUUCCCCUCCACUCUCCCACCGAAGCCAUCUAGAUGAUAUGGAUGGCUACGAUCGUCGGACAAAAGAAAAAAAAAAAAGAGGGGGAAGAAAAGAGAUCUUUUUUUUGUUUUAUUAUUAUUUUUACUUUCUUUCUUUUUUCUUUCUUUUUUACUACCUGCUGAUGGAUUCGAUGAAGCGGCUCAACGAUCUCUCUCUCUUUCUGCGGCUCGGCGAUUUCUCCUUCUUUCCGCGGCUUGAGUGAUAUCUCCUCCUUUCCUCGGCUCGGCAAUGUAUCCUCCUUUCAGCAGCUCGGCAAUAUCUCCUCCUUUGAAUAUUUUGAACUUGGAAGUGUGUAGCAAUCUAUCUAUCGUGUCGUCUCUCUCCAAAAAAAAAUUCCCUGAAUUUGAUUUCGGUUCCCGUAUUUAUAAUGGGAGGGGAGGAGUUAGUUAAGAAUUCAAAAUUCGAAAUUCGAAUUUUGAAUUAUUUGUUGGAUGGUUGGAGGAUAUUUGGGGAGUGGUUGGGAGUUCAAAAUUCGAAUUCGAAAUCGAAUGAGUUGUUGGAUAGUUGGAAGAUAUUUUGGGAGUUGGUUAGGGAAUUCAAAAUUCGAAAUCGAAUUUUGAAUGGGUUGUUGGAUGAUAUUUUGGGAAUUCAAAAUUCGAAAUUCGAAUUUUGAAUGGAUUAUUGGAGGAUACUUUGGUAAUUUGUUGGGGGUUCAAAAUUCAAAAUUCGAAUUUUGAAUAGAUUAUUAGAUGGUAUUUUGGGAAUUCAAAAUUCGAAAUUCGAAUUUUGAAUGGAUUAUAAUUUGAAAUCGGAUUUCGACUAGAUACUUUAUAAGGUGUGGGUGUGGGCCGUCGUUGAUCAGACCCACCUUAAUUUAUUGGGCUCAAAUUAUAACGGGCUGAAAUAAAGGCCCCCCCUCACCAUUUUUUUAUUUUUUAUUUAUUUGUUUGGGCUUUCGUAAGGGCCCGCCCACUUAUAUAUAUUUUUUUAUUUAUUUGUUUGGGCUUUCGUAAGGGCCCACCAAAUCACAUUUUUAAAUGUGCUUAUUGUAUAUUAUAAUUAUUGGCCCCAAAUUUUCUGGUUAACAUGAGACCUAUCAAAAUUGUUUCAGUCUGAAUCUAAUCAGUUUCGAUUAUGAUUAGAAUUUUUUUUUUUUGUCACUUCAAACAAAUUGCCCCCCACCUUUUCGACGUAAGUGUUUCGCGCGCGACGAAAAGGUGCCUAUCUUUUCUUUUUUUUUUCGUUCGGACACCUUUGAUCAUCCUUUUUUUUUCUUUUUUUUUUCUCGGUCCCCCACAUAGACCGUACCGCUUUUUUUUUUUUUUGAAUAUCAUCUCCGCGCCAUAUGCAUUUAAUUUGAUUGUUCGAUUGCUCAGUUUAAUAACAUAACGGUUAAUAUAAAAAUGCUUAGUUUAAUGACAUGGCGGUCGAUUGGAUGGCGGUCUAUAUAAGAGUGCUCAGUUUAGUGAGAUGGCGGUCUAUUGGAUAUGGAUUGCUCAAUUUAACGACGUGGCAGUCAAUUGGAUAUUUGUUGCUCAGUUUAAAGACAUGGCCGUCUAUAUAAAAGUGCUCAGUUUAGUGACAUGGCGGUCUAUUAGAUAUGGAUUGCUCAGUUUAACGACGUGGCGGUCAAUUGAAUAUUUGUUGCUCAGUUUAAAGACAUGGCGGUCUAUAUAAGAGUGCUCAGUUUAGUGACAUGGCGGUCUAUUUGAGGUUUGGUGCUCAGUUUAAUGACAUGGCGGUCGGUUUGANNNNNNNNNNNNNNNNNNNNNNNNNNNNNNNNNNNNNNNNNNNNNNNNNNNNNNNNNNNNNNNNNNNNNNNNNNNNNNNNNNNNNNNNNNNNNNNNNNNNNNNNNNNNNNNNNNNNNNNNNNNNNNNNNNNNNNNNNNNNNNNNNNNNNNNNNNNNNNNNNNNNNNNNNNNNNNNNNNNNNNNNNNNNNNNNNNNNNNNNNNNNNNNNNNNNNNNNNNNNNNNNNNNNNNNNNNNNNNNNNNNNNNNNNNNNNNNNNNNNNNNNNNNNNNNNNNNNNNNNNNNNNNNNNNNNNNNNNNNNNNNNNNNNNNNNNNNNNNNNNNNNNNNNNNNNNNNNNNNNNNNNNNNNNNNNNNNNNNNNNNNNNNNNNNNNNNNNNNNNNNNNNNNNNNNNNNNNNNNNNNNNNNNNNNNNNNNNNNNNNNNNNNNNNNNNNNNNNNNNNNNNNNNNNNNNNNNNNNNNNNNNNNNNNNNNNNNNNNNNNNNNNNNNNNNNNNNNNNNNNNNNNNNNNNNNNNNNNNNNNNNNNNNNNNNNNNNNNNNNNNNNNNNNNNNNNNNNNNNNNNNNNNNNNNNNNNNNNNNNNNNNNNNNNNNNNNNNNNNNNNNNNNNNNNNNNNNNNNNNNNNNNNNNNNNNNNNNNNNNNNNNNNNNNNNNNNNNNNNNNNNNNNNNNNNNNNNNNNNNNNNNNNNNNNNNNNNNNNNNNNNNNNNNNNNNNNNNNNNNNNNNNNNNNNNNNNNNNNNNNNNNNNNNNNNNNNNNNNNNNNNNNNNNNNNNNNNNNNNNNNNNNNNNNNNNNNNNNNNNNNNNNNNNNNNNNNNNNNNNNNNNNNNNNNNNNNNNNNNNNNNNNNNNNNNNNNNNNNNNNNNNNNNNNNNNNNNNNNNNNNNNNNNNNNNNNNNNNNNNNNNNNNNNNNNNNNNNNNNNNNNNNNNNNNNNNNNNNNNNNNNNNNNNNNNNNNNNNNNNNNNNNNNNNNNNNNNNNNNNNNNNNNNNNNNNNNNNNNNNNNNNNNNNNNNNNNNNNNNNNNNNNNNNNNNNNNNNNNNNNNNNNNNNNNNNNNNNNNNNNNNNNNNNNNNNNNNNNNNNNNNNNNNNNNNNNNNNNNNNNNNNNNNNNNNNNNNNNNNNNNNNNNNNNNNNNNNNNNNNNNNNNNNNNNNNNNNNNNNNNNNNNNNNNNNNNNNNNNNNNNNNNNNNNNNNNNNNNNNNNNNNNNNNNNNNNNNNNNNNNNNNNNNNNNNNNNNNNNNNNNNNNNNNNNNNNNNNNNNNNNNNNNNNNNNNNNNNNNNNNNNNNNNNNNNGUACGUGGAAAGCUCAGUCCACGUUUUGUAGGCCCUUUCGAGGUAUUGGAGUAGUCGGGCCAGUUGCUUACAGGAUUGCUCUACCACCACGGCUUGCCGGCAUUCAUGAUGUUUUUCACGUCUCGGCUUUGAGGAAAUAUGUGUUCGACCCCUCCCACGUGAUUGACUUCACUCCGCUUGAGAUUGGCGAGGACCUGAGUUACGAGGAGCGACCGGUGCGGAUUCUGGCUCGUGAGUCGAGGGAAUUGCGCAACCGGGUCAUACCCUUUGUAAAGGUGCAGUGGAGUAAUCAUGAGGAGCGGGAGGCGACUUGGGAGCCGGAGACGGUGAUGAGGGAGUCCUACCCCUACUUAUUUGAGGCUCUGGAUUGAGGUAUGUGUUCAGUUUCGCGGACGAAACUUUUUGUAGUGGGGGAGGAUGUAGUGUUCUUGACCUUUGGAUAGGAUUGGCUUCAGUAUUAGUGACUGGUCGACAUCUCUGGAGAGUGUCAGACUGAGUCGGAGUCAAUUCUGCACGAAUUGGAUGCAGAAUUGGGCUCGGCGCACUCAAAUAGGCAAAACUGGAGUUUUGCCAGAUUCGGGCGCCCAGAACAUUUUAGGGUUGCCCAGAACUGAGUGUUGAAUUUAACUGAAAUUGGAAGCCAAUUCGGAUCCCAUGUUCCGGGCGCCCAGAUGUGGGUCCGGAAAUUCGACAUCGUGAAUAUCGCUUGCUUCGACGCGUGGCAGGGCGGUAGGCGAGUUCCGUCGGAGCCAUUUACGGGCGCAGCACACCGCAAGCGGAGAGUCCGAGGAGCUCGGUUUGUGCAGUCGGGAUGUUCUGGUCGCCCAGAACAUGGUUCCGGGCGCCCAGAAACGCCCGUUUCUGCAGGGACACUGGAUAGCAGAUUGAGUUCCUGAGGCUUUUUGGAUCACUCUAACUCACUAUAAAUAGAUGGAAUGCGCUCCUUUGCUGUUCUUUUCCUCCCUUCUUCACAGAGAAGUCCCUUUUAGCAUCUCUACCCUCGGAUUUGCCUUAAUUUGCAUCAAACUUCCAUUGAUCCAGCUUGAUGGAGUGCUGAUUCUGCAGUUCUUCAGCGACGACCUCCAGUGUUUUGGCUCGUGCACGACGUAGGAAGGUCGGAUUUUGACGAAACUUAAUUUGCUGGAUUCUACACUUCUAGAGGAAUCUACGAAGCCCUGAAUUGUAGAUUUUGGUUGAGGUUAGCUUGGUCGAACUGAGACUUUUCUAGACUGCUGUUGACUUUGAGCUGAAAAUGGGAUUUUUGAGCUUUUCUUGAUGCUAUCUUUGUUGGCAGUGGGAUUUUGGACCUGAGAUUGAUCACCCAUCAGUAGUUGCUAGAUUUGGAUCUGUCCUCACCCGAUUUGGAGAUCAUUAGGUGAGUUUUGACAUUGGAAUUGAGAUAAUUAAGCUUAAGUGCUGAAAUUUUUGGUAAAUUGAUGGUUUUUAUUGAAUUUUUGGGUGAAUUGUAAAUCCAGAUCUUGAGGGCCUUUGUUGCUGGUUUGGAGGUGUUUCCUGCAGUGUUGCUUGUGAUCCGAGACCAUCUUGCUGCUAGGAAUUGCACUAGAGAUGGGUGUAUCAUCGGUUUCGCUCCUAAGUGCAUGUUUAGUCGACGUGUAUAGUUCGAUUUUUAUAUAUCAUGCUCUAAUUCAUCGUUUAGCAUCUUGAAUGUAAUAUGAAUAUAGAAGCAUGCUGAAAUGAAUAUUUAUAUUAUACAUGUUGGACUUGAAAUUCGACUUAGGAGAAAACCUGCGUUUUGACCCGUCAUAUGCUUAAACUACCAGAUUUAGCUCUAGGAGCCGAGAUUCGAUUGUAUCGUUGCAGUAUCAGUGCGAUGGAUACCUGGGGUAGUUUAGAAGGCAUUUACGCUCGUGCUGGGAUGCCGAGCUUAUUUUUUAGCAGAGUUUAGACUGUUUCGGGUCGUUGGGUGCCGUUCGGGUUAGCGGUGGACCCAGAUUCUUGUUUUGGUCACAGAUUGUGCCGAGAGCACGUAGGUUUGGUUUGUAGAUCUGUUUUGAUCCUGUUCACUUGACUUUGGCUAGUUGGAGCCUGAUUGAGCUCGACAGAGAUACGCUGCAUACUCGGUUGGGUAGCGCCCACGAGUGCCAAUCCGGAGUCAGGCUUUGUGCUUUCGCGUUGGUGUCGCUCAUGCCAGUUGGACUUACUCUCCACGGACCAGUUAGUGUGGAUAGAGCCCGAUAGUCGCAACGGGGCAGGGACAGGUGUAUUCACAGUCCCGGGGACGGGUAUGCUUACAGUCCCAAUUUGAUUCGGUCAGAUUGGACAUUUUCUACAGUUGGUUAGUGUAGAGCAUGAUAGAGUAGUGUUUGAUAGCGGUAGACUUUAUUUCUGCAUUUACUACUAUUUUUGCUCCCUUCUAUAGAUUUAGUGGGUGGACCGAUGUUGUUUUGGGCGGUACCUACUGAGGACUACUUAUUUUUACAGUAGUUCUCACGCCCUGUUGUUACAUCAUCUUUUUGCAGAGCCAUCGUCUUCGGCUGCUGCUAUUGCUGAUCAGGAUCGAGGCAAGGGCGUCGCGAGUUAGAGCCCUACCCGACGAGCCGAGCUAGAGGUGCCCUUCUGCAGGUAGUUGUUUUGUUGGAGUUCAUGUACUUACCUAUCUUUAACUCGCCAGUGCGGGUAGUUUGUAUUUUGGAUUCUGGUAUAUGUAUAUGGAACUCGGUUUGGUUUUCUUCUGUUUCUCCUAACAGCUUUAUACUACUGUUUGUAGUAUUGUAUGAUUUACAGGUACAGUUAUCGCUUUGUAUACAGGAAAAAUUUCUUUGUAUACGGCGGAUCUGUCGGCGCGCCCGGGGAACGAGGAAUCCUGGGCGUGACAAUUUAUUGAUUGAUCCAUCCGUCUUGCGCUUAAUUUUUAAAACCCAUUUAUUUCCAAUAGACUUGCGCCCAGGCGGAAGAUCAACCAAUUCCCAUAUUUGGUUCUUGCUCAUGGAGUCCAUCUCAUCUUUCACAGCAGCCAUCCACGCACUGCAAGCUGACGUCUGUAAUGCUUCUUUAUAAGAAGCAGGUUCAUCAUCAUCGAGCGGAGUGCACAUUAAAAUAUCCUCUUCGAUCUCAAAAUGUCGACGGAGAAUAUGUCCACGUUCACUUCUACGUAAUGGAGGGUCUGAACUGUCGACUUCUAAGGGUAUGCUCUCAUUCAAGGAAGCACUCCCACUAGCCGAAGGAUUGCUACCACUUCCUUCAGCGACUUCGGAAGUAAUCGAUCACCCUCAAUAUCAGAUGGGGUAGCGUCGUCGUGUAACUAAUACAAUCCAACGUCUCUUCGCAUUUCACAAAUGCUUGAAAAAUUUCCUUCUAGGAAUUCCACAUCAAGAGAUUCAAUCUCGGUCAUACUACCAUCUGGGUGUUUACGAUACAUCACAUAGCCCUUCGAAUUUUCAGGGUAUCUGAUGAACACAUGCUUGCUCACUCUAGGGCCGAGUUUUUCGAAUCUAUGUGUGAGACUGUGAACAUAUCUAUCCGAACCCCAGGGGCGUAAGUAGUGUAAACUAGGCUUUCUACUGCUCCACAACUCAUAUGGGAUAGUAGGCACUGAUUUGCUAGGGACUCGAUUAAGGAUGUAGGCUGCAGUCAAAAGAGCAUCUCCCAAAAAAUUUAUGGAAAGUUGCACUUGCGCCAUCAUUGCGGUUCCUUCGCUCUGCAACACCUUUUUGUUGAGGAGUACCAGGAAUAGUGAGCUGUCUACUAAUGCCCUUUUGCUCACAAUAAGUCUUGAACUGAUCAGACAAGUACUCACGACCUUGGUCAGUGCGAAGCACCUUUACACUUCUUUCUAUUUGAUUCUCAACCUCUGCAACGAAGCGCUUGAAGCAAUCUAAAGCUUCAGAUCGGCGAGAAAGCAAAUACACAUAUCCAUAACGAGAAUAAUCAUCAAUGAAUGUGAGAAAAUAGCAAUCACCAUGCCGGGCCCUCACAUUCAUUGGUCCACAAAUGUCUGAGUGGAUUAGCUCUAAAGGAUGAGAGGCACGAGUAGCCUUACAGCCAGACAAGGCCCACACAUAGAUAGGUCAACUUUGGCGAGAGACCCUAAAAGGCCUUCUCGAGCCAGUCUAUUCAUUCUUUCUUGACCUAUAUGGCCUAAUCUGGCAUGCCAUUUAACGGAUUCAUUACAGAGAAUAGAUAAAGAAAAAGAAGAAGCAAAUGCAAACGAAUCAUCCUCCAAAUAUAAUUUAAAGAAACCAUCAAUUAAUGUACCAUAUCCAAAUAAAGUACCAUGAAAGAAAAUAUCAAGGCGGUCACUGUCAAAAUGAAAUGAAUAUCCUAGAUGCAACAAAGCUAAAAUUGAACAUAGAUUACAACGAAUUUCGGGUGCAUAUAGCACGUCCUGAAGAAGUAAAGUGCGGCCACCACGAAACUUGAGUUGGUACGAACCGACUCCAAGGACUUUUUCCUUCGUGCCGUUCCCAAGGGUGACAAACUGUGUUCGAGACGGUACUCGAUGGUAAUCUACGAACCCGACUCGGUCACAAACUACGUGUUUGUUUGCUCCUGUAUCCACAAUCCAAUCAGGAAGAGAAUGAGCUACUAAAGCAUGAAAGCAAACAAAACAGUGUGAGUUGAGUGGUAGGGUUACCAUUUUCAGCUCAGGAUAAUUUCGAGCGAAAUGACUCUUCUGCUUGCAAUUGUAACAUUUUAGCUUUGUAGCAUCCUUACUACCAGCGCGUUUGCCUCUUCGGCGCUUUCCAACUCCACCCUAAGGAGCUUGAUUCCAUUUCUUCUGCGCUCCAUUGUUGUGAUGCUUUUUGUGCUUGGGUGUAAUCCCAUUGCGCUUCUCGGAGCAUGCAACAAAAGCAACAGAACGGUUUACUUCCAAGCGCUCUGCUUGAGAUGAUGCGAGAUAUCAUUAAACAUUUUAAUGUUCUCGUUGUGCGUCAUCAGGAGCUUCAUCUGGGACCAUUCAGUAUCAGGCAGUGAACGAAUCACUGCUAGAACUUGUUGCUCAUCAGUGAGCUCAUUUCCAGCAGUCUUAAGGUUCCGAAUCAUGGCACUGAUCACACGAAGGUGCUCAGCCAUUGAAUGCUUCGGGUCUUUAAUGUACUGUAGAAACUUGAGAUUUAAAGCACGUAGCCUUGUGGAUGAAGUUUGGCCAAAAGUGAUUUCAAAUUGUCCCACAUGUCCUUGGCAGUUUCAAAGAUCUCAAACUGUCCAAUGAGGUCGUCUUGCAUGGCACACAACAUAGUGUACCGAGCAGUUCGAUCCUCCUUGAUCCAUUUGUUAUAGAUCUCUUUUUUAUGCUCAGAAGCUGUGCCUUCGGCAGGCAUGACUCUUUCGACAGAAAGAGUUUCAAGAACCCCUUGUUCAUUAAGCAGAUAUUGCAUUUUCCUAUGCCAGAUAUCAUAAUUCUUUCCAUCUAGCUUAUCAUCUCUAGUGAAAUCAGCUAUGAUGUUUUUGAAAGUCAUUUCACUACAUUCAAAAAAUAGGUUUAGACAUUAGGCACAUAUUUCCAAAAAAAAAUUAACAAGAUUGGAACAUUAUCCUCGACACAACGGGAUCGAAAACUUCGCUAUACUCGUAAUCAUCACCCAGUGUCGGUUCAAAUACUACAAUCUUAUUAAUUUUCUAUUAAUUUUGAAACUUAUCCAAAAGUCAGAACUCAUCCAUUUUGAAGAACACAUCAUUUUCUUGAAAAAUAUUUAUAUAAGGAGAACUUAUCUCAUAAUAUCAUCACAUAAAUAAAAAAUAAGUACUUAUGCCAAAAUUAAUUUGAAAACGUCGACGCUGUGUAAAACACAUUCCUUUACAUGGCCUUAAUUAUUACAUCACAUUUUACAUAAUUAAAACCUACUACAUCACUAUAAGAUGUUCAUCAGAAAAAAAAAAAAAAAAAAGAAAAAAAAAAAGAGAAAGUUCUACAGGAAUACUGCACAUGUCGAACCCAUUUUUUCAAAAUUAAAUUUUGUUGAAAGAACACCGAAAUAACAUAAGUACUUAUAUGCCAAAAAAAAUUAUACAAUCACAUACUACAUAAGCAUUUAAAAAACACCAACAUAGGAUAAACAACACAUGCAGGUUCUAAAAUUGGCAUAAAAAAUUAUAUAUGUAUCCAAAAAAAAAUUUACUACGCAGGAAACAAAAAUAACCACAGAGUAAUAUGUACAUAUAUAUCAUUAACAAUCCUAAACUGCACGGGUGGCCGGGCCGAGCUUGCUAGCCCACCAGCGCGCUGCAGGGUCGUGCCCGCGCGGGUGUACGCCCGCGCCCGCGCGGUGCGCGCGGGUGCGCCCCACUCCCGCAGCAGGCCGGGCCCGCGCGGUUCACACGGGUGCGCACCCGCGCCCACAGCGGGCCGGGCCCUAGCGGUGCGCGAGGGUGCUCGCCCAUGCCCGCAGCGGGCCGGGCCCGAGCGGUGCACGCGGGUGCCUGCCCGCGCCCACAGCGGGCCGGGCCCGCGCGAGUUUGCCCCGCUCCCGCAGCAGGUUGCGCUAGUGUGGUGCGUGCGGGUGCGCGCCCGCGCCAACAGCAGGCCGGGCCAGCGAGGUGCGCGCGGGUGCGCGCCCAUGCCCACAGUAGGCCGAGCCUGCGCGGUUCGCUCGGGUGCGUGCUGGCACUCGCCCGCAGCAGGUCGCGUCGUGCUCGCCGCUCGAGCAAUUUUAUUUUAUUUUUAUUCCAAUGCACGAAGCAGAGAAUAAAGAAAAAAAAAAUACUAACUUAUGUAAAAAAAUUCGCAUAUUUUAUGAUCAAUUUGAGAGAAAACUAAAACUAAUUUAGUUUUUCUCUUCCUUCUUUUUAAUCGAUUUUACAUAGAAGACGAAAAAAUUGUAGAACUAAUCUACUUAAAAAAAAUUGAUCAACAAAUGCGAUCUAAGAAACAUCACAGGCAUGAUCACAAGGCGAAAACAAACACACAAGCUCUGAUACCAAUUGUUGGAAUUAAUAGGGGAGCGAAAACUUACAAACUGGAUAGCCAUCGUAUCUGGGAACCCGAAUCGAAUCGGAUUGUUUGUUUUACAAGCCUUCCGUCCUUAUCUCGAUGCUUCUGGAUCUCCCACGUUUCUCGCCUUCUCCCACGCCUACGCCUCACGUCACGGAUCGAGUGCGUCGUAUGCAGAUAGGAUGCAACGGAUGUCAAUCGAAGAGGGCUACCAGAGUCCUCUUCUAUGUCCAUACUCCAAAACCCCGGGAACGUAGUUGGAAAUUCCAGAGAGGAAGAAAGGAGAAAAUAAGGAAGAUAUUUCGUGGAUUAUUGAAUUAGAUCGUAUUCGAUCGUCUCUCUUUCAGGAGAGAAAAGGGGGCGUAUAUAUAGAAUAACGGAACCCCUAAAUAUCCUGAAUCUCAUAUAGAUUAGGAUAAGGAUCAGGAUAUCUAUUAAUACACAAUAAAUAUUCACUAGUAAAUACAUUUCUUAACUUAUAAAAAAUAUAUGAUUCAUUUUUAUCCUAAACUUAUUAGGAUAAAUCAUGAUCCACGUCUUAUGUGGAUCGGGUUAAAUCAUAACCCGCUAAUGUGGAUACACCAUAUGGCAACAUAAUGCAAUCUCUCUACAAUCCGGAAUAACAAUUAACUUCACGUUGUUAACAUCGAUAUACUUGUUGCAUACAUGCAUGACUUUUAAACCUCUUCCGCAUAAUACAAUGAAAGACUAUUAGAGUGUCAUACAAUAAACUCUUUUGUGUUUUGAUUCAGGUGCUUUCAUGAGGUUCAGUUACACACAUGAUUUGAGAUUAUCAGAUGAUGUGAGAGAUUUUAGAAUUAUCUUCCGUAAUUCAGGAAAUGGCUUUACCAUAGAUGAAAUGAACUUUUUGAUCUCUUAAAUCUGUUGUUUUACUUGUGAUUUCUUCUUGUUUAGUGAUCUCAAUAGAAUCCAAUCUAUGAGUUUUGUAUGGUAUUGUGUUCUAAAUACUGUUAAGAAGUUCUUAUUAUUUAUUUAUAUAUUUUGAACAAAUCCGUAGGUCCAUCCAAAAAUCUCAUUCAGAAACCUCCAAUCACUAGUGAUAAAUUUUAUAUUUAUUUUUUCUCUUCAAAAAUAUUUGGUUAAAUUCGCCCCGGUAAUAACCCACAUGUGAGAGAUUAAAUGUGAUGCCCCUACUUCUCAUAGGAACACCCAUCCUACCACUCAAAAUACUUAAAACGGGUUAAGAGUUCAGCCCUAUUAUAUUUUAUAUAUAGGACUAGACUCGUCUCGCUAGUUUUAUCAUUCCGAUUUUGGCUCAGCCGAGACUCAUCUUACACUUUCGACUGGUAAUUGGCUCUGAUACCAACUGUGACGUCUUAACUUUCCAGAGGGUCACCCAUCUUAGAACUACCGUCCUAACACGCUUAGCUCUCUUAAUUUUUUAAACCUAGCCACCAUCCAAAAUAUUUAAACCGGAUUAACAGUUUAGUCCUAUUACAUCUCAUAUAUAAAACUAUUCCGAAUCUCACAUUAAACCCUCAACUUUUUGAUCCACGACCGAAAUAUCAACUAGCUAAUCUAGACAGCGGUGAUAUUUUAUUUUUCUAAUCAAAUUCUAUUGGCCAGAAUUAAUAGAUUAAAUUUGCCUCGUUGAGAGCCCGUCCUCUUACUUAAUAAUGACUCUUAUAAAGAGUAGCUUAUUUAGGGCACUUACUAUAAUAGCUCAUUUCAGGUGAAAAGUACUUGGUAGGGACGCAAAUUGAUUUGGGAAGUUGGAGCUUCCGUCUUGAUUCAUCUUGCAUGCGACGGUAAGUGGGAAUUGAAAAUAUAAAAACACAUACCUACUUCAAAUCCGUUCUGAUCCGUUAAGUAAAUACAGUAGGAGGCGAAAAACCGCUUUCUUUUUUGAAUCUGUUUCGAUCCACCAAAACUUCGCCAACAAUUUACUCCCGUCCCGAUUGACCCCAAUUGGAGCCGUAAGUGAGAGCCAAAAAUAAAAUUAAAAUUAAUUCGUCCCGAAUCCACCCCGAUCGGACAAAAAGUGGAGCGGGAAAAGAAAGAUCGCUAAUGCUUGGGUUUCAUAAUCCGUCACCAAUCUUCUAAAUCUUGCUCGAGAGUCUAUUUGGCAAUGAAUUUGCUUCUUACAAGAUUCAUUUUGAAGAAAACUUUGUGAUUCUACUUCGUACAAUAUUUUUUUCACUUCUUUCAUAUAUAGUGAGAACCAAAUUGUGCGUCACUUGAUGUUUGAACAUAAUAUAUUAAAAUAUUAUUCUCUACUAAUUUAUACUUUUUGAGACAAAUAAUUAUUUUACAUAUUACCAAAGCAAACUUUCUAAUUUUCUUUCAUUUAAAAUAAGUUCACAAAAUGUUUCUCGCCUAGGUUUGAGGAAUGUUAAAUCACAGCACUCCACUAGUUUAAAAUUAGGAAAAAUUUACUAUAUGCCCUUCCAAAAGCAUAUAAUUGCAUAUAUUCCCCUUUAAAAUUUGAAAUAUCAUAAAUGAUCCUCUAUGUGUAUGAAACCUUCAAAAAUCCAGCUAUUUUAUUAAUUAAAAUUUAUGUAAAUAUCAAUCGAAUUCCUAUUUUGCCCUCUUUGAAAACAAUUCAGUACUCACAUAUCAAAUAUAGUUUCGAAAAUACCCUUUAAAUUCAAGAAAACUUUAUAAAUUUUAAAAAAAAAUGUUUUUGUAAACCGAGCUAAAACAAACUUUCAAAUCUAAACUAAUUGUAAAAAAAUUAAACUCAAAAUUUUAAAAAUAUGAGAAAAGUAAAAAAAAAAUGGUUAACCAGCUUACAACUUUGAAACUAAUCCAAAUAAAUUAUUAUGUUACGGAGUGAACUAUCUAAACUAAUAUAAUGUGUGAACUAACUCAUUUAGCACAUAUUACGAAAGAAGUUAUUGGUUAAAAAUUUUAAAAUAAAAUAUCCAUAUAAUAUAUAAAGUAAUUUUUAAUAUCUUUAUUUAAUGUAGUAAGUAAAUAAUAAAAGUUAUGGGGAUUAAAUUACAAGAACAAGAAUUAACAGCUGAAGGGGUCUUCAUAUAUUUUUAGUGGCAAUAUGUUUGUAAGAAAUUAUAUAUUUCAAAGACUAAUCUGGAAGUAGUCUUAUUUGUAAAGAUGUUUAUAGUAUUUUUUAAUUUUAGAAGGUUAUAAGUGAAAUUGAUUCUUAUAUCUUUACCUACUUUAUUCUAAUAAAGAAUACUCAAAAGUAGGGAUAAAAUGGCAACAUUAUAUUUUAAAAUGUAUAGAAAUUGAUAUUAAAUAGAGAAGGACCUAUUUAUGAACCGUAUUUGACAUUUGGGUUAUUCAUGAAAUUUCAAAAAUUAAAAGGGCAUCUAUGAAAUUUCAGAAUUUUAGGAGGGCAUCAGUGAAAUUGUGUUAAAAUGUUGUGGACAAAUAAUUGCUUUUUCCUUGGCAUUAAUUCUAACAUUAGUAUUUCCUAACUAGGGAUGGAACUGGCCCUGGGCCUAAAGAAGGCCGGUCCCGAUGGGUCAUAUAUGGGCCGGGGUUUGGAUAUCAAAUUUAUAUAUGAGAAUAUAUUAUAAAUAGUAUUAUUAUAUACAAGCAAGUAAAUAUAUAUAAGUACGUAUUAUUAUAUAUAAUUAUAUAUUUAAUAUCUCCACUCACAGACAUGAUGAAUUUGAAGGGCAUUUAUGUGACCAAAAAAACUAUAUGAUAGAAAAUAGAUUUAGAAAUACAUUUUAACAAUAAGUAGAAAUAUCGAACAUGCAAAAUUAUAAUAUGGUUUGGUUUCCAACGAGAUAAUAAUAAUAAUAAUAAUAAUAAUAAUAACUUCAUUAGAUAUGCAGAUGGUGUGGUCUCAACUGAGUGCAUCUAAUUGAGGCUCGUAUUUAGGCCUUGUACAUUAUGGUUUAAUUUUUGUGAGCCCCAAAUUGGCCUAAUUAGGGUUUCCUUGAGUUGAGAACUUAUUGUUUACUUGCUCAUUGCAUCACUCUAGAUUAUUUUUACAAUUCCGUGCAUAAGAAAAUUUUUCUCUAUAUUUAGAUGUACAUAAAAAAUCUAGGAUUAAUUUCAUUCAGCUCCCCCGUAAACAUAUCAAUAUAUCGCAGAUAUAUAUCUGAAAAGUUUAACUUUUCAUAUUUAUCCUUGCAAAAAUCCGGUGAUAUUCUUAUUUGCUUAUCUGAUUUAUUACCGUUAGUGUACUGUUUAUUUUUUAAUAAAAAAUAAGUAAAAUGAUAUUUUUGUCAUCACAAAUACAUCCCUUCAAAUGUUUUAACUGUUAGAAUUAUGCAAAAAUAUUUUUUCAAAAAUUGUCAAAUGACAUCUUCUUCCCUUUUACCAUCACAAAUAAUAUAAGAGGGUAAAAAGAUCAAUUUACUUCAUUCACUAGUUAAGGUUAAGCAUUUUAUCUAUGGUUAACUAUAUUUUUCUAGCAGAUCCUAACAGCGCGGGUAUAUUUAAAAAUAUUAGAACUUUUAUAAGAAUAAAUAGAAAAAGUUAUACUUUAUAGAGAUAUAUUUACUAUCCGAUAUAUUUACAGGGAACUGUAUGCAAAUUUGGGAGACAAUCAAGCUGGGCCUCCUAAUUUGGACGGUCCAAAUUGAUCCAACCGCACGAUGCGGAGCGGAUUUGUCCAUCCGUUUCUGGGAUGCCUGACCCGGCCCGUAAAAAUUCGGUCCUAGUUCUAAAGAUUUGCUUAGACCUAACCUCUCAAUUUGUGUGGAAUAAAAAAUUUUCUUUUCAUCAUAAAAAGUGAUUAUUUUUUUUGUAUAUUUUGCUCUCUAAGAGAGAUGUUAUUUUUAAUUUUUUUUUAAAUUUUUAGAACUUUAGUUCUUUAUAACUAUAGGUAUUGAGGCAACAUAAAAGCGCGUAAAAUGCACACGACCAAUCAAAUUUUUAGAUAAUUUUCUUCGUACUAGAAUAAAAUUGAAAAAAAAAAAGUAUUACCACAUUUCUUUUCCACCCAGAAUUAUGCAUAAUUUAUUUCUGUGAAAGCACCGUAUAAUAUAAAAGAUGCACUAUUAUGUCUGAAAAUGAGACGUCGAAAUUAUAAAAUUUUAUAUUUAUUUUACUAAAAAAAUCAGGCGUGGUAGAAAUUAAAAAUUUUUGUGAAAUUUUAUGGUCCCUUAAAACACGCGAAUUCAAAUUCUACCUCUCUGGUUGGUAAUUUUUUUUUCCCAAAAAAGUUUGAUUCAAAAAGUCUAAAAUAUUCUUCUGCGAAUUUUGAAUUUAUCCCAAAAUUUUAAAUUGAGUACAAGAGACAAGUAAAGUUAUGAAUCUCUUAAAUAUAAAACUUUUAAAAAGAUUUUAUAUACUCAAAUUAUAGUAUCCCUAGUGUUUUGUAGCCCGUGUGAUUUCAGCAUCUGAGGCUUGUGACACGUCUAGAGAGUGUCGGAACAAGUCGGAGUUGUUUUGGCAUGAAAUAGACGCAAAACGGACUCAACACGACACGAGAGUGGAAUUCUGACACUGAAAUCUGCAAAUUGCAUGAUUUCAGUGUUGAGUAUCGGUACUUAAGAGGAGUACCGGUACCCUAGUAGAUUUCAGAAUUGAGUGCUCUCGGGUUUGAGCGUAUUCGAUGCUGAGUAUCGGUACCGACUUGUCGAGUACCGGUACCGAGCCCAAGUACCGGUACUGCAUCGGGCGAGUAUCAGUACCCAGUGCGCGAGACUACGGGCUGAGGGGCCGGGUACCAGUAUUGGAGUUGGAUACCGGUACCCCAGCUAAAUUUUUGAGUUGGUAAAGGAUAUUUUGGUCUUUCGAAGUGACGAUCAACCCAAUGUUUAUCCUCAGCCUUAUAUACAUAUAGAGAGCUCAGAGAGGAAGGUUUGUUUGCUGCUCUGUCUCUCGCUCUAGUUUUGGACGUGCUCAUGGUGGAGGUCGCGACUCGAGCCCGGGAGGUUGUCGACGUUGAUCUGGAGGACCGUUUGAGCACGUGGUCGUCGCGGUUGCGCCGUUGGAGGCUGUGCGAGCACGUGGAUUCCCUUCUUUCAACUUCUCGCCGUGGUUGGACGAGCUUUGCAAGGUGGGUUGAUGUUUACCGAAAUAGUCGGAUACUCGGAUUUCCUCCUACGUCGAGAUAUUGUCAGCAUGUAUGUUUUAUGUGUAAUAUCAUGUUAGCAGCUCAAUUCAUCGAUUUGCAUAGUUUUUGUGAAAUUUGAGUUGGAGCCUUAAAUUCUAGAAUUGUUUUACAUGUUGGACUUGAAAUUGACUUAAAAGAAAAUCAUUAAACCCUACACUAUCAUUUUCUUAAAAGUUACUAAAUUUAACUUUAUGAGUUGUGGUUCUUUUGUAUCACUGCUGUUAGUAUGCGGUGGAUACCCAGAUUAGAGUAGGUUGAGAUUACACUCGUGCUGGGAUGCCUAGUUAGUCUUACAGUAGUGUGUAGACUAUUUCGGGUUAUCGGGUGCCGUCGCGGUUGACGGUGAACCCAUAUUUAUGUAUUUUGCAUCAGAUUGUGCCAAGGGCAUGUGAGUUUGAUUGUUAGACCGUUGCAUUGACUACAGUCGUCAGAGCCUGGUUGAGCUCAGUAGAGACACGCUUACAUACUCGAUUGGGUAGCACCUACGAGUGUCGCUCCGGAGUGAGCCUUUACAUGCGUUGUCAUCAUCGUAGUCCUGUUUGGACAGUGUUCUUGGGCCGGCCACCUCUGUGGUGGUGUGCGGUAUAGCUUGGACAUAGGCUGGACAGGCUAGUUGGCAGUCCCUUGACCUUGGGUUAGUGUAGUCGUUGUUGCAGAGGGUGUAUUUUUUAUAUCUAUAGAUAGCUCAUUGUGAGUAGCGAUAGUAUAGUAGCAUUUAGCUGUAGAGUUCAUUCCAGCUUUUCUUACUAUCUCUUGCACGCAUUUCUGUAGACUUAUUGGGUGAGCUGUUGAGGUCGGUGACGGUGCCCACUGAGGACUAUUCUAUUUUGCAGUAGUUCUCACACCCUUUUGUUGACCCCUUUUUGCAAAACCUUCGUCCGCGGCUGCUGCUGUUGUGGAUUUAGACCGAGGCAAGAGAGUCGCAAGUUAGAACCAUCCCUUCUUUGGUUGCCAGCUAGAGGAGCACCUAUCCAGAGGUAGUUUUGUAUUUUGUUUGUACAUAUUGUGAUGUUGUCAUGGUACUCGCUAAAGCGAGUUGGGUUGUAGACAUUUUGUAUGUACAGGAACCCUUCGAGGUUUAUAUAUAUGUUUAUUUUUCAGUUUAGCAGCUUUUUACCUUUUAGUUGUAGCUUGGUUUUGUUUACAGGUACAACUAUCGCUUCGUAUAUAGAAGAAAUUUCUAUAUAUACGACGGGUCUGUUGGCGUGCCCGGAGAUCUGUGGUAACUCGGGACGUGACACAAAUAAUUAAGAAUUUUUAUAAGAUUAAUUUAGUGUAAAAUGACAUAUAAUAUUAGUUCUAAAAAAAGAGAAAAUAUUUUUAUGUGUUGAAUAAUUUAUGUGUUGAAUUUUUUAUAAGAUUAAUUUCGUGUAAAAUGACAUAUAAUAUUAAUUCUAAAAAAGAGUAAAAAUAUUUUUAUGUGAUAAUUUUAUUGAUAUAGUUGGAUAAUUUAUGUGUUGAAUUAAACGCAAAAAUAAUUUAUUUUCAUAAAUUCUAAGAUAAAAUACGAAAUAAAAUAUUUCUACAAGUCAGAAAUUCUAUUAUGAGAAUAGAUUUUUCAAAAACAUAUAUUUUAAGUAAAAUAUUUAAAUUUUGUGAAGAUUCUUACAUGUAAAAUUAUAAAAAACAACUGUUAUUAUCUAAAAACUAAAACUAUAAAAUAAAACAUUAUUUUUCAAAAGCAUAAGCUAUCCGUGAACAGUUAUAUUUUUAUAUUUCACAAUUUUUUGCAUGUCUAGAAUUGAGACAUUUCGAUGGGCUCAUGGCUUAAGCAAUCGGAGAACCCGUUAUUCUUCAAGGCUGUGGUUGGUUCGGGUAUAAGUAAGAACUGCUAGUUCCAGGGAUAGGUACAAGUUCAGGUAUAAGCAGGAACUAGACCAAUUUUGCGUUUGGAUGAAAAUGGGCUUGUUUCUAGGAAUAAGGUAAUAGUGUUUGGAUGGUUAGAUUGGAACAAGAGGAAUAAGAGUUAUAAUUUGAAAUUAAAAUUAUAUUAUGUAAUUAAUUAACAUCAAAAUAUUAUUUAAAAAUAAAUAAUAAAUUAAUUAUUAAUAAUUAAUUAUAAAUAAUAAUUAUUAUUAGUAAUUAAUUAUAAAUAAUAAUGUCACGCCCCGGAUUACACGUUCCACGGACACACCGACAAAUCCGCCGUAUACAAAGGAAUUUCCCCUGUAUACGAAGCGACAGCUGUACCUGUAAAACAUACAAUACUACAAACAGUAGUAUAGAGCUGCUAGAAGAACUAGUAAAGUAAAAGAAACCGAGUUCCAUAUACAUACACUGAAUCCCAGAGUACAAAGCUACUCGCGCUGGCGAGUUAAAAGUCUGUAUGUACAUGAACCCAAACCAAAACAUCUACCUGCAGUAGGGGUGCAUCUAGCUCUGCUCCUCGGGUAGGGCUCUAACUCGUGACGCCCUUGCCUAGCUCCUGACCAGCAACAGCAGCAGCCAAAGACGAAGGCUCUGCAAAAACGGGAUAACAACUGGACGUGAGAACUACUGUAGAAAUAAGUAGUCCUCAGUAGGUGCCGCCCUCAACAAUCAUCGGUCCACCCAUUAAGUCUACAGAAGGUAACAAGGCUAGCAGGAAAAGCUGGAAAGAAAUCUACAGCUACAUAUCGCUACACUAGCAUGAUCUACACUAACCAACUGUAGUAAAAGUCACAACUGACUCAAUCUCACUAGGGACUGUGAACACACCCGUCCCGCCUGUCGGAUCGAACCCGUAUCCUACUCCAGGAAUAGCUGGUGGAGAAAACUCUCUAGGGACUGUGAAUACACCCGUCCCGCCUAAUUAGGUGACACCGUAGCUCAAGAGUAACUGGCGGAGAAAACUCUCUGGAGACUGUGAAUACACCCGUCCCGUCUACUAGAAUACGUCGUAUUUCAAGAGUAAUCGGCGGAGAAAACUCUCUAAAGACUGUGAAUACACCUGUCUCACCUAAUUAGACUACACCAUACCUCGAGAGUAGUCGGUCCCAGAAAAAGGUCCAACAGGAUGGUUAAGACUCCACUCACGUCACAACCUCACUAAAGGUAGGGAAAAACGUCACUCACUAUCUCACCCGGGCUGCCCAAAACGGACCCACCCUACCUGUAUCUAGCUGCGCCGUACACCACCCCGAGGGUAGCCGGCUCAAGAACUGUCCAACAGAAACUGCGACACUUAUCGCACUGAAACCUCAUUCCCGAAUAGCAUUCACGAGCGCGACCCAACGAGUUUACAAGUAUCUCUGUCAAGUUCAUACCGCUCUCACAGGCUAAGUCAAGUAACCGACCUUAACUGGUCUAACAACGAACAGGUAAAGUGCCCUCGACACAAUCUAACGCUAAAAAGGCGAUACGAGUCCACCGUCAACUCCGACGGCACCCAACAGUCCGGAACAGCCUGAACUCUACUAUAAAAAUACACUCGGCAUCCCAGCACGAGCGUAACUAAAAAUUAAACUACCUGAAAUAUUCACUAUGAGGAUACUGCAACAGUAUAAAAUAAUACAACGGCCCCUAGGCUAAAUCAGGUAGUUUAACAUAUGCCAGGUCCCGAAAGCCGGUUUUCUCCUGUGUCAAAUCCAGGUCCAACAUGUAUAAUUUAUUUAUAAAAAUAGGCUCCAAUUUCAGUUUAGAUGAAAACAACAUUUACAAAUAUGAAACUGAGCUAAAACAAUAGUAAUGUGUAAUACUAACAAUACAUGUUGACCAACAAGACUAUACGAGUAGGAAUCCGAUGAUAAACCCACCUCGAAAGGUAAAUCCAAUCCGGCGCGACGUCGAGAACGGCGGAAACGCACCCUCGUCCAGCCUCCUCGUGAUGCUACGACUGCAACCGUAUCCUCGAACGGCUUUGCGGCGCGACGUCAAUGUCGAAUCCGAGCUCCUCGGCUACCUCUACCCGUGCUCUCCACCAUGCACGUAAUUAACUAGAGAGAACAAAAAAAAAUGCACACUCUCUGUUAAUUUGAAGAGAUAAACAUGAAAAGGGUGGUGGCAUCCUUAUCCAAAAAAAUGACCACUAUGCCCCUAGACCAACUCAAAAUGAAGGGUAUUACAUCCUCCCCCACUAUAAAAAGUUUCGUCCUCGAAACUUAAAACAUAUCUCAAACCUGAGUCUCGAACAAGUAGGGAUAGGACUCCCGCAUCACCAUCUUCGGCUCCCAGGUUGCCUUCCGUUCCUCAUGAUUGCUCCACUACACUUUCACAUACGGGAUGUCCCGGUUGCGCAAUUCUUUCGUCUCCCGAGCAAGAAUCCGCAACGGUCGCUCCUCGUAUCUCAGAUCCUCGCCAAUCUCUAGUGGAGUGAAAUCGAUCACGUGAGAAGGAUCGAAAAUAUAUCUCCUCAAUGCUGAGACGUUGAAGACAUCGUGAAUGCCAGCUAGUCACGGGGGUAGAGCGAUCCUGUAAGCAACUGGUCCAACUCGCUCCAAUACCUCAAAAGGGCCAACAAAGCGUGGACUGAGCUUUCCACGCACUCCAAAUCGGCAAAUCCCUCUGGACGGCGAGACUUUAAGAAAUACAUGAUCUCCAACCUGGAACUCUAAGUCUCGUCUCCUGGUAUCGGCGUAGCUCCUCUGGCGGCACUGGGCUGUCAAAAGGUGUCGUCGAACAACUCUCACCUUUUCCUCAGCCUCUAGCAAAAUCUCAGGCCCAAGUGUCUUCCUCUUACCCACAUCACUCUAAAACAACGGGGAUCGACAUCUGCGUCCAUACAACGCCUCAAACGGAGCUAUCUGGAUGCUCGUUUGAUAGCUGUUGUUGUACGCAAACUCAACCAGUCUCAAAUGUCGAUACCACCCUCCUCCAAAAUCCAGGACACAUGCCCUCAGCAUGUUCUCUAGAGUCUGAAUGGCCCUCUCUGACUGACCAUCUGUCUGUGGGUGGAACGCUGUGCUAAAAUGCAACUGAGUGCCCAAGGCUGUCUGUAGACUCCUCCAAAACUGAGAUACAAACCUCGGGUCUCUGUCUGAUACAAUCGACACUGGCACGCCGUGCAGCCUGACGAUCUCAUCCAGGUAUAGAUGCGCGAGUCUCUCUCUGGACCAGAUGGUCUGAACCGAUAAGAAGUGAGCAGACUUGGUCAGUCUGUCCACUAUCACCCAAAUCGCAUCAAAGCCACCCUGCGCUCUAGGCAAUCUCACGACAAAGUCCACCGUAAUCUUCUCCCACUUUCACUCGACACUGGCAGACUCUGAAGCUUGCCAGCAGGUACCUGAUGCUCGGCCUUCACCUAUUGGCAAGUCAAAUACUGAGCCACAUACCGGCCAAUGCCUCUCUUCAUUCCAUUCCACCAAAACUGUGCCUUCAAGUCCUUAUACAUCUUGGUUUCACUUGGGUGAACCGUAUAAGGAGAACAAUGAGUCUCUCUCAAGAUGUCCUCUUGGAUCCCUAAAUCCACCGGCACACACAGUCGGUCCCUAUACCGCAGUACUCCCGAACUGUCAACAGAAAAACCCUCAGCCUGUCCCCUAUGUAGCUGCUCUCGAAUCCUCGUCAAGUACGGAUCUCCACUCUGUUUCUCUCGGAUCCUAUCCAACAGAGUGGGCUGCAAGACCAGAGACAUUAGUCUCGCAGUAGACCCAGGGGAUAUUAUCUCAAGCCUCAGCCGCUGGAGCUCCUCAAGUAACGGUCUCUGCUCAGUGAUCAUCACACUCAGGCUCUGCACUGACUUCCUGCUCAACGCAUCUGCCACUACAUUCGCCUUACCGGGAUGAUACUGAAUACUAAUGUCAUAGUCCUUCAGUAACUCCAACCACCGGUGCUGCCUCAGGUUCAGCUCCCUCUGUGUGAACAGAUACUUGAGACUUUUAUGAUCCGUAAAAAUCUCGCAGUGCUCGCCGUACAAGUAAUGUCGCCACAACUUCAAAGCAAAGACUACCGCGGCAAGCUCCAAGUCAUGCGUAGGGUAAUUCUUCUCAUAAUCCUUUAACUGCCGUGAUGCAUAAACAAUUACCCUACCAUGCUGCAUCAACACACAACCCAGUCCACUGUGCGAUGCAUCAUUGUAGAUCACAAAUCCUUCCCCCAUCACAGGAAGGGCAAGGAUAGGAGCUGACGUCAACCUUUGUCGCAACUCAUCAAAGCUCCUCUGACAAUCCUCACUCUAGAUGAAUCUAAUCCCCUUUCGCGUCAAUCGAGUGAGGGGUGUGGAAAGCUUCGCAAAGCCUUCCACAAACCGACGGUAAUAUUCUGCUAAUCCAAGGAAACUCCUCACCUCUGUCACCGUCACCGAUCUGGGCCAACCCCGAAUAACAUCAAUCUUCUUCGGGUCCACUGCUACUCCCUCUGCUGAUAUCACAUGGCCCAAGAAAGCAACCUCUCGUAACCAGAACUCGAACUUCUUCAACUUGGCAUACAACUUCUUCUCUCGCAGAAGUUGUAGCACAAUUCUCAAGUGCUCCUCAUGCUCAGCAUCACUCCGGGAGUAAAUCAGGAUAUCGUCGGUAAAGACUACCACAAAUCUAUCCAAGAACGACUUAAACACUCUGUUCAUCAAAUCCAUGAAUGCUGCAGGGGCAUUCGUCAAUCCAAAAGGCAUCACCGUUAACUCAUAAUGCCCGUACCGAGUCCGAAAAGCCGUCUUGGGAACAUCCUCGGCCCUUACCCUCAAUUGGUGGUAACCUGACUGGAGAUCAAUCUUCGAAAAGACAUAAGAUCCCUGCAGCUGAUUAAACAGAUCAUCAAUGCGCGGCAAGGGAUACUUAUUCUUGAUGGUCACUUUAUUCAGCUCCCGGUAGUCCACACACAGCCUAAGUAAACCAUCAUUCUUCUUCACAAACAACACCGGCGCUCCCCAAGGCGAAACAUUGGGUCUCACAAACCCUCUAUCCAUCAAAUCCUGAAGCUGUGCCUUUAGCUCUCUCAGCUCUGCUGGCGCAAUCCGAUAAGGUACCUUUGAGAUUGGUGCAGUUCCAGGAACUACAUCAAUCACAAACUCAAUCUCCCUCUCCGGCGGCAACGUCGUCAACUCAGGAGGAAACACAUCUAGAAACUCAUGGACUAUAGGGAUAUCCUCGAGUCCCGGCGCCGCCGUAGGUACCUCCACAACUGCCGCUAAGAAAGCGAUACACCCACUACUCAGCAUCUGUCGAGCUCUCGCCGAAGAUAUCCAGGUGGCAAACAACGUACUACUACAGCCUCUGAAAGUGAACUCCUUCUGGCUUGGCUCGCGGAAUGUCACCGUCCUCGCUCCACAAUCGAUCGUAGCAUAGUACCGCGUCAACCAAUCCAUACCGAGCACGAUGUCAAAGCCCUGCAGCUGCCCUAACACCAACAGGUCUGCGGCAUAAACCACGAAUCUAACUGCACCGGACACGACCAACAACACUCCGCAGUCUGUAACACAUGGUCGGGGAUCUGCACCUCUCGUGUCAAAGACAACGACCCUAACUCUAGACCAUAUAACAGUGCAAAUACUUGGCUAACAAAAGAAUGCGAGGCACCGGUAUCAACUAAAGUACGACUACAUAUGCCAAAAAUCAAAAUGAUACCUGCCACCAUACGGUCGGCUGCUGAAGAGUCCUCCCGAUGGUAACUCGGUAGUACUCCAAAAGUCUGCUGGUCAGCUGGCUGCGCUGAUGCAAUGGAUAGUGCUGGAAAUGUCGCUCUAGGACACGCUGACCUCACAUGUCCUGGCUGUCCACAAGUGUAGCAGCGACCCUCUUUCUGCUCACAUUGUCGGGGCCAGUGUGGUCCUCCAUAAAUCACGCACCGCAGCGUCCUCGGUGACGGUCCCUGCUGAAGCAAUCCCCUGGAAAGCUGACGCCCCGAUGAACCACGACCCUAAGAGCAAGAUCGAGAAAGCCUCAGCGGACGUCUGCUACUCGCCUGUCCUCCAUCAUCUGGAAAAGGGCGCUUCCUGUCUUGGCUCUGCCCCGGUGCCAUAGUCCGCUCCUAGAUGGGUGUAACUCCGUGUCCCACCAAGAGUACCUGCUGCACAGAUGCUCCUGUCUCAACUCCUGACCACUGAGUGAUAAUCUCAUAAAUUCUCUGCAAUAGUACACUCUGCUGCUUGAUCACUGUCAGGGCAGCCAACUGCUCUCUCAAAUCAGGGGGUACACUUGCCUCCGGUCGUGCACUCGGCUCUGCCUGGUCGGGCAUCUCUAGCGGUGCGACUUGAUCCCUGGUCGACGGUCAACCUCGGCAGCAAUCAGAACGAAACAAAACGGGGUCAAAUACAACUCAAACACUCUCGACCCAAUCAAUGAAAGUCUAGAAAGCAACCCCUGUUUUCCUCUAAAAUUAUGUCGUCUGCAGUCAACAUAAUUUCUCAGGCCAAAACAGGUACUCCUUCAAUCACUCACCCCACUCUCGGAGGAGUUAGAACAACUAAUCAUUGACUUUCGCAAUUAGAUUACGCCUCUCACUUCUUGCUUUCCUAAGGUUUGCCAAACUUAGGUUCUCUAGGUCCCAACGACCGAAUGCUAAACUCUGAUACCAACUUAAUCUGUCACGCCCCGGAUUACAGUUCCCCGGACACGCCGACAAAUCCGCCGUAUACAAAGGAAUUUUCCCUGUAUACGAAGCGACAGUUGUACCUGUAAAACAUACAAUACUACAAACAGUAAUAUAGAGCUGCUAGAAGAACUAGUAAAGUAAAAGAAACCGAGUUCCAUAUACAUACACUGAAUCCCAGAGUACAAAGCUACUCGCGCUGGCGAGUUAAAAGUCUGUAUGUACAUGAACCCAAACCAAAACAUCUACCUGCAGUAGGGGUGCAUCUAGCUCUGCUCCUCGGGUAGGGCUCUAACUCGUGAUGCCCUUGCCUAGCUCCUGACCAGCAACAGCAGCAGCCGAAGACGAAGGCUCUGCAAAAACGGGAUAACAACUGGACGUGAGAACUACUGUAGAAACAAGUAGUCCUCAGUGGGUGCCGCCCUCAACAAUCAUCGGUCCAGCCACUAAGUCUACAGAAGGUAACAAGGCUAACAGGAAAAGCUGGAAAGAAAUCUACAGCUACAUAUCGCUACACUAGCAUGAUCUACACUAAACAACUGUAGUAAAAGUCAAAACUGACUCAAUUUCACUAGGAACUGUGAACACACCCGUCCCGCCUGCCGGAUCGAACCCGUAUCCUACUCCAGGAAUAGCUGGUGGAGAAAACUCUCUAGGGACUGUGAAUACACCCGUCCCGCCUAAUUAGGUGACACCGUAGCUCAAGAAUAACCGGCGGAGAAAACUCUCUGGAGACUGUGAAUACACCCGUCUCGUCUACUAGAAUACGCCGUAUCUCAAGAGUAAUCGGCGGAGAAAACUCUCUAAAGACUGUGAAUACACCCGUCUCACCUAAUUAGACUACACCAUACCUCGAGAGUAGUCGGUCCCAGAAAAAGGUCCAACAUGAUGGUUAAGACUCCACUCACGUCACAACCUCACUAAAGGUAGAGAAAAACGUCACUCACUAUCUCACCCGGGCUACCCAAAACGGACCCACCCUGCCUGUAUCUAGCUGCGCCGUACACCACCCCGAGGGUAACCGGCUCAAGAACUGUCGAACAGAAACUGCGACACUCAUCGCACUGAAACCUCAUUCCGGAAUGGCAUUCGCGGGCGCGACCCAACGAGUUUAUAAGUAUCUCUGUCAAGUUCAUACCGCUCUCACAGGCUAAGUCAAGUAACCGACUCUAACUGGUCUAACAACCAACAGGUAAAGUGCCCUCGGCACAAUCUAACGCCAAAAAGGCGAUACGAGUCUACCGUCAACUCCGACGGCACCCAACAGUCCGAAAUAGCCUGAACGCUACUAUAAAAAUACACUCGGCAUCCCAGCACGAGCGUAACUAAAAAUUAAACUACCUGGAAUACUCACUAUGAGGAUACUGCAACAGUAUAAAAUAAUACAACGGUCCCUAGGCUAAAUCAGGUAGUUUAACAUAUGCCAGGUCCCGAACACGGGUUUUCUCCUAUGUCAAAUUCAGAUCCAAUAUGUAUAAUUUAUUUAUAAAAAUAGGCUCCAAUUUCAGUUUAGAUGAAAACAACAUUUACAAAUAUGAAACUGAGCUAAAACAAUAGUAAUGUGUAAUACUAACUAUACAUGUCGACAAACAAGACUAUAUGAGUAGGAAUCCGAUGAUAAACUCACCUCGAAAGCUAAAUCCAAUCUGGCGCGACGUCGAGAAUGGCGGAAACGCACCCUCGUCCAGCCUCCUCAUGAUGCUACGACUGCAACCGUAUCCUCGAACGGCUUUGCGGCGCGACGUCGAUGUCGAAUCCGAGCUCCUCGGCUACCUCUAUCCGUGCUCUCCACCAUGCACGUAAUUAACUAGAGAGAACAAAAAAAAAUGCACACUCUUUGUUAAUUUGAAGAGAUAAAUAUGAAAAGGGUGGUGGCAUCCUUAUCCAAUAAAAUGACCACUAUGCCCCUAGACCAACUCAAAAUGAAGGGUAUUACAAAUAAAUUAAUAAUAUCGAUUAUCUAAUUAAUAAUAAUAAUUAUUAUUAUUAUUAAUUAUUAAUAAAUAAUAAUAAUUAUUAAUAAUUAAUUAUAACUAAUAAAUUAAUAAUAAUAAUUAUCUAAUUAUUAACAAUUAAUUAUAACUAAUAAAUUAAUAAUAAUAAUUAUCUAAUUAUUAAUAAUUAAUUAUAAAUAAUAAAUUAAUAAUAAUAAUUAUUAUUAUUAUUAAUUAUUAAUAAAUAAUAAUAAAUAAUAAUUAUUUAUUAAUAAUUAAUUAUAAAUAAUAAAUUAAUAAUAAUAAUUAUCUAAUUAUUAACAAUUAAUUAUAACUAAUAAAUUAAUAAUAAUAAUUAUCUAAUUAUUAAUAAUUAAUUAUAACUAAUAAAUUAAUAAUAAUAAUUAUCUAAUUAUUAAUAAUUAAUUAUAAAUAAUAAAUUAUUUAAUUAUUUAAUUAUUAAAGGAAUAAAUAAUGAUUUAAAUAUAUUAAUUAGAUUAAUUAAUAAUUUACCGCCAUUAAAAUUAAAUUUAGAUUUUAAUUAACCUUGUUCUCAUCAAGGAACAAGCUAGUUCCAGAAAACGGGUGGAACAGCAGUUUCAGCCUUAUACUAUCUUGUUCCAGAAAUUCGAAAAUUACUGUUCCCGAGAACCAAACAUACUGUUUGGGAACAAAGGGGGGAACAAGGACUUAUUCCCCUUUUGUUCCCGAACCAAACGCUACACAAAAGUUUAAAUUAUUAGAGAAUGAUAUUUUUAUAUUUAACAUUCAUCAUCUCGCCCAAAUUUGAGACUUUUUAAUCUAUUUUAUAAACUUGAAUUAAAUAUAAAAAAAUUAAUUAUACGAGAAGAGAAUAGUAUUUUUGGAUUUAACACUCCUCCCACGUCUAAACUUGGGACUUUUUAGUCUAUGCAGUACCAAGCGGAACUUUCUAAUAGGCUCGUAAAAAAAAAAGUCAAUUAUGUUAGGGGCCGGCCGGACUUGAAUUAAGACCCCCCUAGCUACUUCCAUACAUAUAAAAUCAAAAAAAUCGUUAUUCUUCUAAAACAUAAACGAUUAAAUAACGAUGUUUUUAUAUUUAUUCCUCCUAUUAAUUUAACUAAGGUUUUAUUCAGUUAUUCAAGGUUAGUUAUAUAUAUUGUCAAUUCUUUUUCUUUUCUCUCUUUUUUUUUUUGUGAGAGAUAGGUAGCACGCUACCCGCUUUGUUUAUUUUAUUUAGUAAUAAACUUAGUUGGGGAUAUGAAUCAGCUAGGAUUCAAACUUGGGUCUCGGAUGUCAACUACCAAGCCCUUUACCACUUACUUUAUGGACGGUCGGUUAUAUUGUCGAUUCUUAAAGUUUGGAUCCUAUGCUUAUUGUAGUAAUGAAGUCCCAUUGUUAUUUUUUGGGACAAUUGUUUAUAUGCCCAGAAAAGUUUCUGACUUUUUUAUAUACCCCUUAUAGAAAACUAAUAUUAAAAGUACUCUUUUAAGGCUCCAAAGUCUUUCAAAUAUAUCAUUAGAAUUAAAUUUCGUUAAUAAACUAUUAGAAACAGUUGUUAUUUAUGUAAAAUUACUACUUUGCCCUUUCAAAUAUAUCCCUCUACCGUCACAAACAUUUUUCUCUUGAGUUAGGGGCAAAAUAAGUAUUUUGAUUUUUUACCUUUUCAAAUAUACUCUUUUACUUUCUUUAAAAAAAAAAUUACUGUUUUACUAUCACCAAUUUUUCUUAUUUGCUUUUAAAUUAUGAAUAAAAUAAGUAUUUUUAUAAUUUUUUUUAACUAUGAUAGAAAUUUAACUCAAGUUUAAUCCGAGAUGAUUUAACAGGCACUAACAACAGAAAUAUUUUUGAAUAACAAAAAAAUAUAUGAGGAGUAUAUUUGAAACAAAAAAUAGUAAAGAUAAAUAAAAUAUUUUAGAAAUUUUGAGAGAUAUAUAACAAUUAUUAUUAUUCACUAUUUUGAUUGAAAAUCCAUUUGAGCAAAGAUAAAAAAGUAUGAACAACUCCACUACCAGCCAUUCAAAAUUGGCCUCCUUUACCCCCUUUUUUUUUAAAAAAAAAUUUACAUUGUCUCUACUUUGAAAUGUUUUUUUUAUUGAUUAAUUUUUAUCAAUUAAAUUAAGAGUUUUAUCAAAUUCAUGAGCGCGAGUGUAGGUUCAAGGAAUAAAACUCAAAAUAUAUUUCAAGCUAAGUUUGAGAAUUACUAGACUCUCUGGAAUUAUANAUAUAUAUAUAUAUAGAGUUGGACCGGGCUACUAUUAGUAGCAAAAUGCAAAAUCUCAUUGUUGCUAUCAGUUUUUUAGCCUUUGGAUCAACUCUUUUCAUUAUUUCUAACCAUUGGAUUAAAUAUUAUAACCCAGUGGGAACCACUCAACCCUAGGGGGGCCACUCAACUCUAACCGACUAAUAUCAUCCUGACCCUACAAUUUUUCAUCUAAGGGUUAAAAACUUGAUACCAAAAAAAGCGUUUUACUAUUAAUAGUAUUCCAGCCUAAUUAUAUAUAUAUAUAUAUAUAUAUAUAUAUAGAGAGAGAGAGAGAGAGAGAGAGAGAGAGAGAGAGAGAGAGAGAGAGAGAGUCCGGCUACUAUAUUCAUAUGAGUACGAUCACCCUCGUACUCAUAAGUUGUUUUCGAUGAUAGAACUUCCAAAUUGACGAUCCAUACCGUUAAACAUUAUCUAGAGCAUUUAAUACUUCUAGAAAUUAAAUUUUAUAAUUUUUCGAUAUCAUUUACCUUACGAUCAAAUGGUCACAAAAAUGAUAAUUUUCAACGGCCGGUAUGAGAUAUUUGCUAGUUUAAUGGUGAAAAAGAAUCGAAAUAGGUUGAAUUUUUGAUAGAAAACUCUAUUCACUACCUAAAUAAAGAUCAAUAACUCCGAUCUUAAAUUGAAGGAUCCGAUCAUCCAUUUUUAAGAUGUUAUUCGAUUUUAACCGUUCAUUUUAUACUCGCUUGAUGGACUUUAUAAUGAUUUCGAAAAUUUAUGAAAUUUAUUUUCUAGAAGUUUCAAAUACUCUAGAUCAUAUUUAACGGUGUGGAUCGUCGAUUCGAAAACUCCAACAUCAAAAACAACUUAUGAGUAGUGAGGGUUCUAUACUCAUAAGAGUAUAGUAGCCCUACUAUAUAUAUAUAUAUAGUUGAGCUAGAAUACUAUCGGUAGUAAACGAGUCGUUUUACUACCGAUUUGUUUUCGAUGAUAGAACUUCCAAAUUGACGAUCGGGUCCGUUGAACAUAAUCUAUACCACUUGAAGUGUUUAGAAAUCAAAUUUCAAAUCUUUUCGACAUCAUUUGCCUAAUGAUCAAAGGGUUUCAAAAUUUGUAAUUUUAAUGGUCGAUGAGAGGCGUUUUUUCGUUUAAUGGCGUAAAGAUAUCCAAAUCAAUUGAAUUUUUGUUAGAAAAUUUUUUAAACUAUUUAAAACAAGAUCUAUACUCUUGAUCUUGAUUACAAGACUCCUAUCAUCAUUUUUUGAAGAGUAUUCAUUUUCAGUCAUUUAUUUUUUUGUUCACUUGAUGGAUAAAAAAACAAUAUCGAAAGUACGUGAAAUUUAAUUUCUAGGUAGUUUAAAUGAUUUAGAUCAUAUUUAACGGAGUCGGUCGUCAAUUUGGAAGCUCUAUCAUCAAAAACAAAUCGGUAGUAAAAUGACUCGUUUACUACCGAUAGUAUUCUAGCUCAACUCAUAUAUUUAUAUAUAUAUAGAACUAGGCCAACAUACUAUUAAUAGCACCAAGUCAUUGGUGCUACUAAGUUUUUGGCCAUUAGAUUAAGAGAUGUGCGGUUAGGAUGAUGUGGGCCCCCAAGGGUUGAGUGGGUGGUUGGUUGAAUAGUAUGAUCUAACAGGUGAAAAUGAUCAAAAUGGUAGAUUUAAAUAUAUGAGAAUGGCUACUGUACUAUUAGGAGUACAGCAGUACUCAUUGUGCUCCUAACUUUCUAAUCACCCAUCAAGUUUCAUGGGUGAUUACAAUGAGAGAUAGAAGAGAUAUUGGAAAGAAAUAUAUAGUAGAUCAUGUGUGCUAUAUAUUAGCACUCUAUUUGGCUCGGGUAUAAAGGGGGGGAUAAGGGGGAUAUCCCCCCUUUAUACCCCAAACAAAAAAAAAAAUGGUGGGAACAAGUGUUCCCACCAUAAUGGGUUGUACCAAGUACAACCCGUUAUGGGUGGGAACAAGUGUUCCCAUGCACCCGGGGUUGGAACAAGCUUGGGCAAGAUUGUUCCAACCCACUUGAGAGAGAGAGAGAGAGAGAGAGAGAGAGAGAGAAGUGUUCCCAUGCACCCGGGUUUGGAACAAGCUUGGGCAAGAUUGUUCCAACCCACUUGAGAAAGAGAGAGAGAGAGAGAGAGAGAGAGAGAGAGAGAGAGAUAUUUAUUUUAAAUUUAAAUAUAAAUUUUUAAAAUUUAUAAUUUUAUAAUUAUAUUUAAUAAAUUAAAAUUUUAAAUUUUAUUAAAUUUUAAAUUUUAAAUUUGAUAUUUUAAAAUUUUAAAUUUUAAAUUUGAUAUUUUUAGUUUUUAAUUUUUAAAUUUGUUAUUUUAUAUCUUUGAAAUUUAAAUUUGGUCUGAAAUUUAAAAUUUGAUAUUUAAAAUUAAAAUUUUUAAUACUAAAAUUUAAAAUUUUAAUUUCUAAUCUAAAUUUAAAAGUUAAAAUUUAAAAUUUAAAAUUAUAAGUUUAAAAUUCAAUUAUAGAAAUAAUNAUUUAAAAUUUUAAUUUCUAAUCUAAAUUUAAAAGUUAAAAUUUAAAAUUUAAAAUUAUAAGAUUUAAAUUCAAUUAUAGAAAUAAUAUUAUUAUUUUCUAUUUAUAAUUACCAACUAUUUCUCUUAUUUCCAAAAACCAUCCAAACACAAUUUUUUUAGUUCCAGCUUAUACUGACAAUUUCAUCCAAACAAAAAAAUACCCUUACUCCUACAAAAAUCCAUACUUGUAUCUAUCCCCGGUAUAACUAGUUCCUACUAAUUUCCGAUCCAAACGGAGCCUUACGAGAAUGGGGGCCUCUGUGCUCCUGAGCCAUUUUUUAUGAUGGAAUUUUCGAAUCGACGAUCGGCUCCGUUAGACUGAUCUAACGUAUUUGAAAUAUCUACAAAAUAAAUUUUACAAUUUUUCGAAUAUCAUUUAUCUAGCGAUAAAAAGAAUUCAAAAUCAAUAAUUUUUAAUGAUUGACAUAUAUCAUUUGCAAAAUAAAAAUCAAUUUCAGUUUCGAAAAAUAAAAAUCAAUUUCUAGUGGUUUUAAAUAUUACUGCUGAGGGCAAAAGUGGUAUGGCUAAUUUUACUAUAUUUGAAAGAUUGGCAUAAGAUUUGAUAUAUAUUUCUAUACAAAAUUUGGCUACCAUAACUGGCUCAGAUAAAUUCUCACCCUCCUAUGAUAAAAUCAAUUAUUGGACAAAAAUAUAUUUUUUAAGCCAUAUCUGACACGCAGAGACUUAGAACAAAUGUCCUUUCUUCUACAGUUUUAAACAUUUUUAUUUCAAACUCUCCUACAACGAGAAAAAAAAAAAAGAAAAACAAUUUUUUUAUCCAUUAAAUGUGAAGAGUAGCUCAAUCCAUCGGGUAGUGGAAAGUAGUCCAGGUACUAGUUACCUCCUAUAUUUGUAUGUGAUAUUUACGUGUCAUCCGUAAAGUUUUGCCUUUUUUUGCUUUAAAAUUGUUUAAAAAAUUUAAAAAAUUUAAAUUUUAUUGGCAGUUUCCGUGAAAUUGAGGGAUCAAAAAAGAACAAGAGGUGAAGAAUAAUAUUUGAUACGUGUAAUAGAUAUUUUGGGUAUAUAUAUAUAGAGUGAGGCUACUAUGCUAUCGGAAGCACGGAGCCUUUCGUGCUUCCAGUUUGUUUUUGAUGUUGCGACUUUCGAAUCGUCGAUCGGCUCCGUUAAACUUGAUCUAGAGUAUUUGGAGUACCUAGAAAAUAAAUUUUAUUAUUUUUCGAUAUCAUUUGCCUAGUGAUCGAAUAGGCUCAAGAUCAACAAAUUUCAAAGGCCGUAGUGAGCGGUUUGCAAGUUUAACGGUGUAGAAAUAUCCAAAUCACGUGAAAUUUUGAUAGAAAAUUUUUUAUACUAUAUAAAACAAGAUCAAUAUCUUUGAUUUAAAAUUUUAAUGUCAUAUUAUUACAUUUUGUAAGAUUUUUAUUUUCAGCCGUUGAUUUUGAGCUCCUUCGUUCACUAGGUAAAUGAUAUCGUAAAAUCAUAAAAUUUAUUUUCUAGGUACUUCAAAUACUCUAGAUCAAGUUUAACGGAGCCGAUCGACGAUUCGAAAGUCGCAACAUCGAAAACGAGCUGAAAGUACGAAAGGCUCAGUGCUUCAGAUAGUAUAGUAACCUCACUCUAUAUAUAUAUAUAUAUAUAUAUAUAUAUAUGCACAUGCACGAUGUUUCCAAACUAUUGAAGAUAUUUUGUAUCUUUAUAUUCAAGACGUAAUAUCUAAAGUACUUUUCAAAUAUAGGGUAUAAGUCAAAUUUAAGAUUACAUCAUAUACAUCAAACUUUCAAUGAUGCUUCUUAUCUUAGUUGUUAGUUUACUAAUAUUGGACGUAAGUCAAAUAUUAAAAUUAUUUUAUGUUAAAUCCUUAAAAAUGCACUUGGUUCAACAUAAAAAUAUUUUCGAUGAAAAAAAUAUUUUACAUUUUAUAAUAUUCAAUUUAUAAAAAAAUUAAUUUAUUAUCAAAUAUUUAUUUAAUUAAAAAUUUAUAUUUAUUUGGUUAGGAAGUAAAAAAAAAAAAUAAAUAGGAAAAAAUUCAAGCGAUUUGAAUUUUUAGUUUUCACCAACAAAUAAUGAAAAAUGAAAACUACAAACAUUUUUCAAAUCCGUAAAAACAUUUUUAAUGAAAAAAAAAAUAUUUUACUUUUCACGUUUUCAAUUCGUAUUUGGCCGAACCAAAUGCCCUUAACAAAACAGAAUUCAUUGAAGUCCUAAAUUCAACAAAAUUAUUCCAAACUUUGAAAUUCUUUUGAAUUUUAUUCACAGAUUUGAUUCUAUUUCUAACGGAAUUUUGCGCAUAUUCAGAUCACCAACUCAAAAUUUGAAAUUCAAACACAAACUUUCCAAAAACUCAAAAUGGGCAAAUACAAACCCAGCAUUGAUUUACUAAGAUUUAAGCCAUAUAUACAUCUUCUUCUCAUUGUGACUUAAAAACAAACAAACCCAACUCCCUAAAACACCCUUCAAAAAGACACCUCAUACAUUAAAGGCCCUUCCCUCCCCAUACAAAAGGACUAAAUUGCAAAAAGACCCUCUUUCUCUCGCGCUCCCACUUCAUAAAAUAGAAAAAUAUAUCUACAAUAAUAAUUUAAAAUAAAUUUUUACAUUUAAAGUAAAAUAGAUUAAAUUAAAAGGGGUUGUUACUUAAUUAGAACCUAAUAACGUAGAAAUAAUAAUAGUAAAAUAGUAAACUCCUCAACGUUAAUAAUCUUUUUUUUUUUUAACUCUCUCUCUCUCUCUCUCUCUCUCUCUCAACAUGCUCCCAAAAACGAGAAAUAACGAGCACUUGAGAGCACGAAUCUUUAUGUACACGUGGCGGGGGGGCUGUGCUACGCCACUGCGGCGAUCCCGGGGCCGUGGCCGCGGCCGCGCGCGUCGGCGCGGCGAUCGAGGCAGUCAAAACCCUCGACCCGAACCACGGCCGGCUCGAACCCGGACUUGACCCGGGCGCCGCAGCCCGACCGGCUUUUCGAACCGGUCUGGGCCGGUAGGUGGUGAGCCGGCGGCUCGAGCUCGCCGAACCGGGGGUCGUGGACCAGCGGGUUGGACGCGCGGCUCGGCGGGGACCCGCAAAAGAACGGCGGGGAUGACGCCACGUGGCCCUGCUCAUCGCCCUGCAAAUAAACAAAUUUAAUUUAAUUAAUUACCUUGCUAAUUAAUUAAUAUAGCUUAUAUGUGGAAAGGGUUACUCUAAUAAUUAAAAGAAAAAUGGUCAUAAAUCAUAAGUGUCGGUAUUUGAUACCGUUGCAACUAUAGGCCCCCUUUUUUAAAAAAAAUAUUAAAAAAUUAAUUAUAAUAUAUUCAGUUAAAAAAUUAAAAUUUUAUUAUUAAUUCGUUCGUACAGCAUUAUUAGCCGUUGAUGUUUAUUUUACUUUACGGGAAAAUUUAUGCGUCUUAAAAUCGAUAAAAUUCAAAUAAAAAGACAUAAAAAUUGCGCAUCAAUAAAAAAAAAAAUUUUUAAAUUUGAAUUUCCUACGAAAAAUUUUAAUUUUUGAAUAAUAAUAUCUCUAAAGGGAAACGCUUUUAUUAUUAUUAUGGUUUUAAAUAAGGAAUGGAAAGGGGAAACGUUCCUAUUCAGAAGAAUGUUCGCGUUCCACAAUAAUUUCCUACAAUUCAUUCUUUGCAUAAUAUAUAUAAUAAAUAUCUAAAUAAAUAUCUAAAAUUAAGUGAAGAAUAAGUCGAAUAUAUUAGGAAAUAAACUAUACCAGGUUAUUUUUAUAUAUAUAAAGAAAAAAAAUUAAAAAAAAAAAAACGUUUCCACGUAUAAAAUUGCGCUUUUCCCGCUAGCGUUUCCUAUCGCUUCCAUAUAAUAUUAAAAAAAUAAAAUAUAAAGAUGAUGAUAAUAAAAGGAGGACAAAUAUAUAAUUAUAACCAAAAAUUGACGCUAUAUCGUUUUUUUUGGGGUUGGAAAAUAAAAACCGUAAAUUACUAAUUAACUAUUAACUAUAAUUAACUAUAGAGGCAAAAAAUAAAAAAUAAAAAAAUUCUCACCAUAAAAACAUCGAACAACUCCACCGCGCGGGUUAGAAUCGUAGAUCUCGGGUUGAUACCUGGUGUGCAACAACCGGAUGGGCGAACCGGGUGUCGGGGCGUGAACCGGGCCGAGCCCGGCGCGUUUGGGGCAGGUGGACCGCGAUUGUUUUUCCGUCCGAACCGCCGAGCGGGCCCGCAUCACCUCCUCCCACGCGGCCAACGCGCUCUGCUGCAUCGCACACCGAUUCAUUUUUUUUCCCUGACCUUUUUUUAAUUAUUUAAAUCACGCAACCUCCUGAGAAAUAAAUUACGACAAAGGAAUAAAAAAAUUUAAAAUAGGAGAAGAAGAAAUAAAUAUUCGGCUAAAAAACUUAGAUUUUGAAUCAUGGUACUACAAAAAAAAAAAAAAAAAAAAAGGGAUUUUGGGCACGAUUUUUGCAGCAAUCUUUUAAGGAAAAAAAAAAAAAAAACAACUCAUGAAAGAGAAAAAUUAAAUUAAAUGGGAAAAAAAAGAGUAAUAAAAAAAUUACCUAAAAUUAUGGCCUCUCAAAAAUCAAAAUAGAGGCGAAGUAGAGAACGCUGUAGGAGGGGAAAGGAAAAAAGGAAGGAGAGGAUGAGAUAAGGGGUGGGGGGAUUUUAUAGAGGAGGAGGAGGCAAUGAGACAGCUAAUAAAAUAAAUAUAAAUAAUAAAAAUUAAUUAAAGAUAAAAUAAUUUUUAAAAAUGGGAAAAAAAAAAAAAGAAAAGGCAAAAGAAACACAAAGGGGCGUGACUCGUGAGGCCAUCGAAGGGCGAGGGGUAUGAUGAUGACUAAUAAUAAAAUUAUUCUCAUUGCAUAAGGUUGUAAGUGAAUUUACAUAUAUACCCUUCUGGAAUCUUAUAAACAUAUCAAAAUAUUUUUAGGGAAAACUUCAAAAACACCCCCCUGUGGUUUCAUACAUUCUCACUUUUGCUACCCUGUGGUUUAAAAAAUAUCAAUUUUGUCCCCUGUGAUUUCAUUUUCUUUUUGUAUCCAUUUUAUUAUUAUUUUUUUUAAAAUCAGUGAACAAAGUUAAAAUUAAAGGAUACUUAAAGUGACUAUUCGAUAAAUAUAGAUGGUUAUCUGAAGUUUUUGUAUAUUUAAUUUACGAAAUAUUAACGGAAAAAGCUUCCGAAAAAGAUUAAAAAUGAAACACAGGCGGGUUAAAUUGAUACGUUUUUAAACACAGGGAGCAAAGUGAGAAUGCACGAAACCACAGGGGGGUUUUUUGAAGUUUUCCCUAUUAAUGAGUCCAGUCUACUUUUAUACACAUAAAUUUUCGGUCAUUAAAUCUAUUAUUUUAAUCAUUUUCAUCGGUUAUAUCAUACUAUUCAACCAACCAUCCAUUCAAUACUGAAAAACUACUAUUAUCCUAAUCGGAAAUCACUAUCAUCCUAUCCGCACGUCUUUUCAUCCAACGACUGAAAAUUUAGUAGCAUAAAUUGCUCUUUACCUAUAAGAGUACAUAUAAUAGCUCUAGCCAUUUUUUAAUUACGUCCUUUAAUUUUGAGGUGAGAGUUUUGUUCGUCUCCUAACUGAUUAUCAGAUUAAAAUAAUUUUAUUUUAAACUAAAAAUUAAAAUAUAAUUUAUUUUUUAUAUUUAUUUAUUUAGUUAGGAGGUCAAUAGCUUUGAAACUGCAGUUGUUGUGUAUUUCUAUAUAUUUUGUAAUAAAUUUUUGACUAGCAAAUUAAAAGAGUAAGAAAGAUACCUUUUUAAUAUCUCUUUCGUGUAUUUAAUUUUGUCAUCAGUCAAGACGAAGUCGAUUACGAUGUUUUGAGAGCAAUGUACAAGUUUAAGUUAUGACAAAACCAAACAACAAAAGCAUAUAUUUACAGUCGAAAAUAUGCUAUGCUUCUCUUUAUUUUCGGUGAAACAAAUAUACUCACACUAUUAUUUCUUAUACAACAAAUCAUAAUUGGGAAAAAAAAAAAAGAAUCGGCAAAGACUCUAUUUAGAAUUACGGAAAGAA
RNAcentral lists this long non-coding RNA (92090 nucleotides) under Ananas comosus (pineapple). Its description in RNAcentral is "long non-coding RNA (ACOM_LNC019574)". The record is from RNAcentral. Lineage: Eukaryota; Viridiplantae; Streptophyta; Magnoliopsida; Poales; Bromeliaceae.